This 109815-nucleotide long non-coding RNA is filed under the name Phaseolus vulgaris (common bean). RNAcentral's name for it is "long non-coding RNA (PVUL_LNC003307)". Lineage: Eukaryota; Viridiplantae; Streptophyta; Magnoliopsida; Fabales; Fabaceae. The record is from RNAcentral.
UGUAAUAUAAAUAAGUUGGCAUGGAAAGCACCUCGAUUCCAUUGAUGAAAGCGUAGGAGUUUGGAUUGGAGGGAGUGAAGGUGAGGAUAAGCCUCUCACCGUCGUUGACGUUGACCACGUAUUCUCUGAAGAUAGUGGUGGUGGCUUGAGCGUCGGCGUUAAGAGAGGCGUUGAAAACGUUGAGGAGAGUGAAUUGGUUGGAUUGAAGGGUGAAAGAAGCUUGGUUGCGGGGAAAGUUAGGGUAGUCGGCAGGGUAGAAGAAGAGGCGAAGGAAUUUAGGGCCUGAGGAGACGGGGAAGGAGUAGUUGAAUUGGGAACGGGACAAGCGUGCAGUGGAAUAGGGGAUUUCAUUGGUGGAAGGAGGCUGUGUUGUUGCCUUCUCUGAAACGGUGCCGUCUUGGAAAGAUAAGUACUUUUGACCGUCGGAUGAUUUGCCGGUGGUGCCGCAACUGAUGGUGAAUAUUUCCUCCGGGAUGUAAGCCAGAAGGUGUACGGAUAAGUGUAGAAGCAAGAAGAAAAGUGUUAAGGAAGUGAAGAUGGUCAUGGUUUGCAGUGAGAGAAAAAAGGGAAGAAAGUGAAGAUGGUCAUGGUCAUAGUUAUUACGUUGAUUGGUGAGUGAGGUAGUUGCUAGGAAACACGAAAGAUAGUGUUGGUAGUGGAAGCCAUGAUUUGUAGUGACAGGGAACAGAAGUGAAUGAAGUCGCGAAGACUUAUCAUGAGUGUUAGGUUAGAAUUGCAUGGAAGGUAAGGAGAACGUUGUUUGUUAGCGAAAGACCACUGCGUGUCUAUUCACUUGACACUUUAUUAAGAAAUUUCCACCACUUAUAUAAUAUAAAAUUCAAUGUAAUAUUCUAAUUUAGUGAAUGUGUAAUCUCGAACACGGUUUCUUCUUUAGUACAGAAAAAAACGAAAGUGCAAAAGAAAAAGGAACAAAACCUGCUAAUGUUUUAUUGGAGAGUUAAAACAAAAGUUAAAGAAAACUAGGAGGGUAAAAUAUACAGAUAACCACUAAAUUUAUAAAUUUUAAUUUUUCAUUAAAUUUAAUUACAUUUUACCACUCUUAUAAAAUUAAAAUUUCGAGUACCGAUAAAAUGAAUGAUAUAAAUUGUAAGAUGGUAAAUUUAUAUCAUUCUCAUUCGAAUUUGGGCUACUUAUACUUCAAAUAACACAUGACUGUUUUUUCACCUAAAUAUUUUCCUCCAUUGAAUUUAAAUUAGUGUGAAUAAAUAAUUGUCGUUUCCUUGAACGCUUUUUGUUAUUUUUUAUUGUUUUCAAGUCAGGUGCUUUUUUAAUAUCAAAGAUUUCAUUUUUUAUUUAUAUUUUCAUAUUUUUUAGUUAAAUGUAAUUUGUAUUUUAAUUUCUGUACCGGUCCGCACGAGGACUUGGCAUCCGAUCCAAACUGACUAACAUGACCAACGACGAGCUGAUUAAUAAUCCAACGCUUGUUAAUCUCCUUUUAUUAGGCCCAUUAAUGACCAUGGACCCACAAUAAUUGUAUAAAUUAGAAUAGAUCCCAAAUGAUAAGGUACACAAUCAUCUAAUCAUAAAUACUAAGUACUAAAUACUGGAGUCUAACUUGAGUAUCAGAGUACCUUUUGCAGGUACCAUCCGAGCCAACAGUUAGCUAGGAUGAGGAGUGGAAGAGUGAGUGUGAGAGUUCAGCCGAGAAAAGGGAGUGAGGUGCAGACCGACCGACCGACCGAAGGAGUAGUUCAAAUCGUUCUCUUGGUUCUAACCUUGUUCGAGAACAAUUGACGCUCAUUGUGGGGCCGAGAGAACCAGAAUGAAGAAGAAAGUAAAAGGUGUCGAUUAGAAGCAUGGUGAACGAGAAGAUGUCUGAUGCUGAGUAGAUGACGCUCUUGAUGUCUCUGUAGAGAGAGAUGACUGAGAUAAAAAGAAGGAUUGAGAAGAUGCAACGGAAGAGUGAAAAAGAGAUUCUUGCUCUCCGGAGAUAGAAUGAGGAGAUGAAAAGGAAGUGGAUGGAAGGAGGUCCAUUUGUGGGACCAAGCAAUCUAGCUGGGAAGUCCUUCAUCCACCCUACUGGCCCUAGAACUAUUGAGGAGCCAAGGGCAAUCCACACCCAAGAAACUGAGGGUGAGUUCUAUCUGAACAAGUCUGUCCCCACUGUUGGGUUUAUUAAUGUCUAAGUUCAACGGAGGGGGGGAGGUGAAUUGGACUUAUUGGGAAAACUGUUUUAAGAAAUCCUGACAGAAAAGAACAUAUUGUUUUAGAGAAAAACAAAUUUAUUUUCUGAUUCCAAGUAGUAGUUUCAGAAAUACAACAGAUUGGUUUAGAAACAACAAAUUUAAUUUCUAACUUAACAAUUCUAAACACACGCAAAUUGAAAUGAUUAGUAACAAAGACAUCAAGUGUAGACCUUAAUUCUAGAAAACAAUUUUCAAAACCAUUUGAAAGCAAUUUAAAAAAGGUAAGGAUCCUGAACAAGAUUGCUUACUUGAAUUUUAACACUUGUAUUACUCAGUAAAAAAUUACAGAUACAGUUAAUUUUAAACAAGAUAAAGACCUUAUCAGAAUCUUGAAAAACAGUAUAUGAUUUAACCCAACAAAAGUUAAAACAACAAAUUCAAUUUUUAAAACAUCAUAUUCAUUUUAUUGCAGAUUAUCAGAUUUCAUAUUUAAAGAAAUGAUCAAGGAAAGAGAAAGGCACAUCUUCAUCUUCUGCAUGUGGAGCAUCAUCAUCUUCAUUUGCAUAGCCUCGAUUUGAUGCUUCAUGUUCCAUUCUUGAAGCAACAUUCCUUCUGUACACCCAUGCAUUUUCCUCCUUUUGAAAAUCCAUCUUGGUAAAAGUUGCAUUGUUUAUCUCACUAAUAGCCUUGAUAGUCUCAUUUCUCUCAUUAGUGUUGUCAACCUUAAAACAAUCAAUUAAUUUGGAGACAAAAAUAACAUAUGAAAAUUUAUAAUCUGUGAGCCUUCUGGAUUUUAGUAUAUGUUCUACCAUGAUGCUGACCCAAUUAAUUUUAAUUAUGUUCAUUAUACAAUAAAGUAUAAUUAAAUCUUCUUCAUGAAGGACGACAUGGUUACUACUUUGAGGUGUGAGUUUCCAUGCAAUCACAUAGGCAAAAUGCGUGGGGUUAAAUUCAGAUUACCUGCUUGAAACCGAUUCACAGGCUGAGCUAGAUGGCUUACACAACUUCUGUAGAACUGGAUUUUGUUGAAUUCCUGAAUCCCAGCUGUGUUUCCUGCUCACCUCCAGUCCAAAAUAUUUAAUCCUAGCUAUGUUGUUCCAAACUUCAUUUGUAAUGGUCAGCUUGACCCCCUUCACAUAUGAGACAAGAUUUCUUCCUUCAAGAGUAAGGUUAGUAUAGAAAACCUUUAUCAAAUCUAGAUAUAUAUUCCAGUCAUUUCCAAAAAAUGUUUCAGCCUUUGAUGUUUAAGCACUACUCUUGGUUCUUCCAAAUUUUCGCUUUUCAGCCAAUAAAAUUCUAACACCUUCGGAACGUUGAUUUGCUUCCUGCUCCUUUCAUGCAAGAAGGUUGUCAUGGCUUCAAUAUCUCCAGCAAACCAGUUUUCAAUAUACCAUGGUUACUAUUGGGUUGCUCUCGGGCUCCCCUCCUUUUGUGUCAUGAGGAUGUCAUUUUUUGUGUUGCUUUAACUUAAUGUUAGUCAAUGGUCAAAAGAAAAGAAUUUGUUUUUCUUUCCUAGUCAUACAUGUGAUCCUGAAACAAAAAAACAACACGUUAAAUAGAUUAAUAUGUUAUAAUUUUACUGCAGAGAACAAUUCAUGCUUAUUAUGCCUAAUUCGUUUUGCAAAAAAUUAAACCUAUCUUCAGCAAGAGAUUUUGUGAAAAGAUAAACUAGUUGCAGUUUAGUUCCAAUUAGGUUAAUUUCAUAAUUUCCAUUAGCAAUAUGUUCACGUAAAAAAUAGUGUCUUAUCUAAAUAUGCUUAGUUCUAUAAUGCAUAACAGAUUUUUUAGUCAAGUUAAUGGCACUAGUGUUAUCACAUAAGAGAGGUAUUCUACUUAACACAAUACCAAGUCACUUAGUUGUUGUUUUAACCAUAAAGUUUGAGAACAACAACUUCCUAUUGCAAUGUAUUCUACCUUUGCUGUGGAAAGAGCAACACACGCAUUUUUUUGCAGUGCCAAGAGAUUUAGCUUAACCCAAGCAUAUGACAAGUUCCACUUGUGCUUUUCCUAUCUAUUUUACAACUUGAAAAAUCUGAAUAAGGCAAUUAAAUUUAAGGAUACAUUACAUGGAUACCAUAAGCCAACUUCUUUGGUUCCUUGUAAGUAUUUCAGAAUCCUUUUAGCAGCACAAAAUUGUGAUUCCUUGGGAGCAGAUUAGAACAUGGCACAUAUACACACAACAAACAUGAUAUCAGGUCUAUUAGCUAUUAGAUACAAUAAAGAACCGAUUAAACCUCAGUAUUUGGUUUGAUCAACAGGUUUUCCAGCAGGGUCUUGAUCAAGGUGACAACUUGUAGAAAUGGGUGUGCUGAUUGCCUUGCACUGUUCCAUCUCAAACUUUCUUAGCAAAUCUUUGCAAUAUUUAGCUUGAUUUAUAAAGAUCCCAUCUUUUAGCUAUUUGACUUGUAAACUACGGAAAUAAUUCAGCUCCCUCAUCAUAGACAUCUCAAAUUCGCUCUUUAUAACCUCUACAAAUGCUUCACAUACCUUCAUUUGUUGAAUCGAAAAUGAUAUCAUCCAUAUAUACCUGCACAAGUAUAAUGUCUUCAUCCUUUUUCUUAAUCAACAAUGUCUUGUCAGAUGUACCACGGUUAUAACUCUGAGACAGUAUGAAAUCACUAAAUCUUUCAUACCAUUGUCUAGGAGCUUGUUUAAGUCCAUAUAGAGCCUUUUUGAGCUUGAAUACACGAUCAAGAAAUUUGUGAUCCUCAAAACUUGGGGGUUGUGAAACAAAGACCUCUUCAUUUAUGUAACCAUUCAGGAAGGCACUCUUGACAUCCAUUUGAAAUAGUUUAAAUCCUUUUAUGUAGAAGAAGGCUAGGAGAAGUCUGACAGCUUCAAGUCUUGCCACUGGUGCAUAUGUUUCAUCAUAAUCGAUUCCCUCUUCCUGGUUAUGUAACCUUUGGCCACCAGCCUUUCUUUGUUCCUUGUGAUUAUCCAAUGCUCAUUCAUCUUGUUUCUGUAUACCCACUUAGUACCUAUGAUAUUCAUAUCAGAUGUUCUUGAAACUAGAGACCAUGCCUCAUUUCUUGUAAACUGAUUCAACUAUUCUUGCAUAGCAAAGAUCCAGUUGCUGUCUUGUAGAGCUUCAUUCAUAAUUUUGGGCUCCACUUGUGAUGGAGAUCAAGCUCAAGUGGACAUGGAGGCCAAUCAAAAAGAUCAAGAAGAGGUAGAGGCACAAAUGGAGGACGCCCAUGGAGGUCAAAGCCCACCUCAAAGGCUUACAAGAAGCAUGUUCAAAGCUUUAGGAGCUAGGGGACAAUUAUUUUCUCUUUUUGUAAUUUCUUUGGUUGAAGGUGCUUAGAGGGAAACAUUAGAAACCUCUUUUGUUAUAGCAUCUUGUAGGAUUUAAUUAGGAGCUUUAGGAGGGGGGGUACGUUAGUAGAUAGGUGUAGGAGUAGAAUAGGAGGUGCCAAAGUGAAGGAAGAGGUCACACCUUCCUCAUGCCUUGUAAUUGGCGCCGAUUCUAGAACUUUUUUAGGAGGGAAUUUUUGAAUUUAUGUAGCUUGCAUUUCAGCACCUUAGGCUAUAAAUAGAGGUGCUCCCUUUGUAAAAUUCAGAUUUGAAUUUUAAUUAGAGAAACUAUACUCAAAUUUUGAGAGAGCAUUGGAGAGCUUUGAGCCUUCUUCUCUUGUCUUAUCUUGAUGGUUCCAUGGUUACCUCAAGUGGCGGCUUGCACACUCAUCUAGGAGCAUCCAUCCUUCUAGUGGCGUGAUCAUCCAACCAUACAUCCAUCUUCAUGAGCUUUCUCCUCUCCUUUCUUCUUUCUCUUUUGUUAUUCAUGUUUUAAGCUUGUGUUCUUGAGUUUUGGUUCAGUUAUUUGCUUUUUCCAGCAGCUGUUCUUCUUCUUCUUUGUGUUUGGUUCGGUGCCUUUUAAUUUCCAGCACUCCUUUUCAGUUUUCUUGCCUUUUAAUUCAGUUUGUUCGGUUCAUAGUUGUUCUUAUUCAAUUCUAUUCGGUGCUUUUGCUUUUUAUCUCUUUUUGGUGGUUCAAUUUGACAAUAUGUGGAACUUCCAUAUGAGUUUGGAUUUGGUGCUAGUUUUGGUGAGUUCUUGACUUAGAACAUUGAUCCAAUUCUAAGAAAAAGUGCCUAACUAUUGUCCAGCUCAAGUUGAUUCCUAAGAAUGUCAAGAAUCAUUCUCUUCUUUGUUAUUGGAAUCACAUCAACUUGUGACACAAAUGCCAUUGUUUCCCAUAAAUUAUUUAGAGACUUCCUGGUUGAGACCCCUUUUUCAAUGUUGUCACAUUCUCAAGGGUUAAGUCUCUAGGAGUUUUCCACUCUUUGGGCAAAUCUGCAGUAACAACAAGUUCUUUGACCGGACAUGAAUCAGUUGUAUUUAAAUCAAUUAAUUGAUUAUAUUGAAGUACAGUUCUCAAAGUUCAUCAACAAUAGGUUUAGGCAAAUAAUUAUCAGAUUCAUCAAACACCACAUGUAUAGAUUCUUCCAUUGUAAGCAAUCUUUUGUUCUACACCCUGUAAGCAUGCCCAUUAAUAGCGUAGCCAAUAUGUAUCCCCUCAUUAGAUUUACGAUCAAAUUUACCCAGAUUAUAUUUCCCAUUAUUCAGAAUAAAACAUUUGCACCUACAAAACUCUAAGAUGGCUUAUGCUAGGCUUUCUACCUUUAUAGAGUUCAUAAGGAGUUUUCUUAAGAAUUGGCUUAAUUAAGGUUUUGUUUAGCACAUAUGAAGCAGUGUAUACAACAUCUUUCCAUAAGUAUUUUAGAAGAUUAGAUUCAUUUAACAUGGUCCUAACAAGCUCCUCAAGUGAUCUAUUUUUCCUUUCUACUACAUCGUUUUGUUGAGGAGUCCUAGGGGUUGAAUAGCUAUGUUUGAUCUCAUGUUUUUCACAAAAUCUAUCAAAUCUAGCAUUUUGAAAAUUUCUCCCAUGAUCACUAUGAAUUGAUUUUAUGCUACAACCAUUUUCAUCUUGCAAUAUUUUAGCCAAUUUCUUGAAAGCAUCAUUCUUAGAAACAAGAAAGAGAGUCCAAGUAUAUCUUGAGAAAUCAUCCAUAAUCACAAAAGCAUAAUAGUUUCCAACUAAGCUAGCAUUUCUGGAAGGCCCACACAGAUCCAUAUGUAAAACAUCCAAAGGUUUAUUUGAAGAAAUUAUAUCCUUUAUUUUAAAGGAGACUCUUGUUUGUUUACCCUUCACAUAUGCAUCACACAAUCUGUUAUUUUGGAGUUUUAUAUUUCGUAAGCCAAAAACAAGCUCCUUAGAUUUCAAUUUGUUUAAAUGAUUUGGAAGGAUGUGGGCUAACCUCCUUUGCCAUAGCCAUGACUCAUCAUCCUUUGAUAAAAAGACAUUCAUUUACAGAGCAAUUAUGUAUGAUAUCUAGGAGAUAGAUAUUAUUUACCCUUUUACCUAUGAACAACACCUUACCAGAAGUUUAAUUUGAAAUUAUGCACUUGUUGGAUUCAAAGUUAACUUUGUAUCCCUUCUCACAUAAUUGGUUGAUGCUUAGAAGGCUAAUCCUUCCACAUAUAACACAUUCUCUAUUAAUGUUGAUCCUUUGGUUCCAACAUUUGAGUAAUAUCACCGAUCAGGUGUUUUGAGUAGCCACCGUCCAAAUAUCACUGGUUUGGUUUUCUAUUGUUUUUCGAAUAAGAGCUUGAAUAUUCAUUAUUCACCAUGAAGCACAUGUUUGCUUCUUCACUCUCAGUUGAUGACUAAAGCUUUUAUCUUGUUCUUUUAAUAAGCUUCUGGAUGAAGUGAAUGAGACUCGAAACCAAGUUCCUUCAAUGACAAAGAAACUUUAACCACUACACCGGACAAAUUCUUUUGUAUUAUUAUGAUUUUUAUUAUAUUUAUUAUUAAUAAUAAUAUGAAUAUAAUAUUAAUAACAUGAAUAUAGUAUUAAUAAUAUGAAUAUAAUAUUAAUAAUAUAUAAUUUUUAUAAUAAUUAUUAUUAUUAAUAUAAUUUAUAUUAUUAUUAUUAUUAUUAUUAUAAUUAAUAUUAUUAUUAUUAAUAUAAUUUAUAUUAUUAUUAUUAUUAUUAUUAUUAAUAUAAUUUAUAUUAUUAUUAAUAUAAUUAUUAUUAUUAAUAAUAAAUAUAAAUUAUAUUAGUAAUAAGAAGUAUAAUAAAAAUCAUAACUUGUUGGAAUAAUCUUUAAUGCUUUGAGUCUUGCAUAUUUAUAAUGUGCUUCGUGUGUAUUUCUGUUGAUUUGUCCUUUCCAUUAGUUGUUUUACACUUUCUCUUCGCUCUCGUCGACUCUCUUGCAGUUUUAAUGCGGACUCCAUCAUCAAAACGACAUCGUUCAUGGAUGGCCUCUGCAUCCCUUUUGUGACAAACAACUCACUCCAAUCUGGCAAAACAAGGCCAAACACUGGGGAGAGAUCUUCCCCUUUAAUAUGGGAUCCACAAUCUAAUUUGUACAUAAUUUUUUUAUCUAGUUUUAGAGAGAAUUAUAAAAGUUAAUCCUUUAAAAAAUAUAAUUAGUUUUUUCAAUUUAAAAAAUUCUACAGUAAUAUAAAGAAAUUAUCUUGAUCCCAUUCUAUUUAUUCCCGUAGAAUUGUUUCCUUGUGACAGUUUUUACUCUUUCUUUGCUUGUUGACACUGGUCACACUACUUCUCCAUUGAGAAUAGCAACAUUUUCACGUUGCUCUGCACUUUCUUGUAGCUGCAGCGUAAACUCCAGCAUCCCAGCCACAUCCUUCAUGGACGGCCUCAGCGAUCCAUCUUCCGACAAACAACUCAUCCCAAUCUCACAAAACUUCUUCAAACACUCUUCUGCAAUCUUCUUCUUCAACGUGGGCUCCACAAUCUCUGCUAUGCUCCCACUUUCGUAACAAUGUCUCACCCAAUUAGCAAGCGACACCUGUUUCGUCUCCGCAGUGUGAAUCAAAGGUGGACGACCACACAGUAUCUCAAACAACACAACCCCCAAAGAGUACACGUCAGACUUCUCCGUCAAACGGUACCGUUUAUAAUACUCCGGAUCCAAAUAUCCGAAGCUGCCUCUCACAUCGGUGCUGACGUGCGCCUUCGAAGUUCCAAUUGGCCCAAGCCUUGAAAGCCCGAAGUCCGAAACCUUGGCCUCCCACUUAUCAUCCAACAAGAUGUUCGUGCUCUUCACAUCCCGGUGGAUAAUCAUGUGCUUCGCGCCUGUGUGGAGAUAGUGCAGUCCACGCGCCGCCUCGAUGCAUAUCUGCAGCCGCUGCUUCCACGAGAUAGCGGGGUUGUCCGUGUUGUACAGAUGGUCACGGAGGUUGCCACGUGUCAUGAAAUCGUAGACCAAGAUCAUUUCCCUAUUAUCGUUGCAGUAGCCGAUGAGGGACACGAUAUUGCGGUGGCGUAGUUGCGAGAGCAUCUUGAUUUCGUUUAGGAACUCGCGACCCCCCUGCUGCGAAUCCGGUUUAAGGCGCUUGAUGGCGACCGGGGUGGAACCGCCGUCAAUGUAGCCCUUGUACACGUGGCCGAAUCCCCCGGUGCCGAUGAUAAAGACUUCGUCGAAGUUUAGGGUGGCCGUUCUCAUCUCGUCGAGGGAGAAGCGGCGGCAGAGUUCUGUCGACGCGGAGGAAUUCUGUUGCAUUUUUGACUUGGAUUCGUUAUUCUGGUUCUUAGUAUAAGUGAUAUUCUCAUAUUGUAAUAAUGCUACAAAGAAAACGGCAAGAGAAAUCAGAACGACGGCGGAUAUCAUCCACGGGACGGCACAUACCAACCACGGGAUGUCAAUUAUCAUGGAACCACUUCUGCUGCGGGUCUUCCCGUUUUGGCCGGGAAUGCUGUUGAGUGGAGUUUGAACCGGGUCCGGGUUGGGCCCGGCGAGGUUGUUUGAGCCGGCUUCGCUGAUUUUGAAGAUCUCGAGACCGUUCAGGAAGGCACUGUUGUAUCUCGUAUACGCACUAUUUUCGUCAGGGUGCAUUUGAAGCGAGAAAUUAAACUUUUUCUGACAAUCAUUCUUUGGAAUCAAAACGGCGUAGUCUCUGUGCACAGCUAGACCUUUUUGUUUCUGACUCCAUUUCAUUACAUCAGCACGAUCUUCAGCGCACUGGCUAUUUAUGUAAAUGAAGAAUCUCCUGUCACUGAUGUCAUUAAUAUGAGGAUCAAUCUCGCAAAAGUGGAGCCUGAGAACGUAAGUGAAGCCACAAUCAACGGGGAACAUCCAAGUGAGGUUGGUUAUUUUGUUCAGAGUAUUGUUUGUGCCCUGGCUACGCGCUGUUCUGAACAGUUCCUUUGGUGCCACGUAAUCAGGAUUCACGGUUAUCAUCUUACCACUCCAGUCACCUGGUAGAUCAUCAUUCUUUGGAUUUUCUUUAAUAAAAUAAGGAUGUUCGUCAGUCCAUUCCCUGAACAAACCGGUGUCGUUUUGUGGCGGGAUUUCUUGGCCUCCAGAGUUGAUUCUAUACUCAGUCUGGAGCGCAUAGCUGGUUCCAACGCUGUAGAGCGUGCUGGUUCCGACUUGCGUGAAGCCUAUCUCAUUUUGUUGGGUGUAAUAUAAAUCGGCUGGCAUGGAAAGAACCUCGAUUCCAUUGAUGAAAGCGUAGGAGUUUGGAUGGGAGGGAGUGAAGGUGAGGAUAAGCCUCUCACCGUCGUUGACGUUGACCACGUAUUCUCUGAAGAUAGUAGUGGUGGCUUGAUCGUCAGCGUGAAGAGAGGCGUUGAAAGCGUUGAGGAGAGUGAAUUGGUUGGAUUGAAGGGUGAAAGAAGCUUGGUUGCGGGGAAAGGAAGGGUAGUCGGAAGGGUAGAAGAAGAGGCGAAGGAAUUUGGGGCCUGGGGAGACGGGGAAGGAGUAGUUGAAUUGGGAACGGGACAAUCGUGCAGUGGAGUAGGGGAUUUCAUUGAUGGAAAAAGACUGUGUUGUUGCCUUCUCUGAAACGGUGCCGUCUUGAGAAGAUAAGUACUCUUCGUCGCCGGUCCACCUUCUUUGACCAUCGGAGGAAUUCCCAGUGGUGCCGCAACUGAUGGUGAAAAUAUCCUCCGGGGUGUAGGCCUGGAGAUGUACGGAGAAGUGUAGAAGGAGGAAGAAGAGUGUUAAGGAGGUGAUGAAGGUGAUAGCCAUGAUUUAUGGAGGGAACAGAAGUGAUUGAAGUCGCGAAGACUUAUCAUAACUUUCAAUGUAUCAUUUUCCAAGUAAGAAUUGCAUGGAAGGCAGGGAGAAAAGAACAUGCAGCGUUGUUUGUUAGCGACGGACCACUGCCUGUCUAUUCAGUUGAAGGUUUCUUCUUCUUCAGUAUAAAUCAAAACCGAAAGUCCAAAAGCAAAAACCAAAAAAAACAUGUUAAUGUUUUAUUGAAAAGUUAAAAAAAAAAAAAUUAAAGAAAAUUGAGAGGGUAAAAUAUACAGAUAACCAUUAAUUUUAUAAAUUUUAAUUUUUAUUAAAUUUAAUUACAUUUUAUCACUUUUUUAAAAUUAAAAUUUUGAUUACCGAUAAAAUGAGUGAUAUAAAUUGUAAGAUGGUAAAUUUAUAACAUUAUUCUCAUUUGAAUUUGGGCUAGUUAUACUUCACACACAUGACUUUUUUUUAACCUAAAUAUUAUCCUCCAUUGAAUUUAAAUUAGUGUGAAUAAAUAAUUGUUAUUUUCUUCAACGUUUUAGUUAUUUUUUUUUUUAUUUUUUUCAAGUCAGGUGCUUUUUGUAUAUCAAAUAUUUAGUUAAAUUUAAUUUGUAUCUUCAUUUAACAUUAUAUUUUGAAUAUUGAUAUAAUAUUAAAUUAAAGAUACUCUCUUUUAGAUAAUCAAGCUUCUAGAUAAUAAUUAAUCGUAAUUUAAAUUUUUGAAUUUUAACACCCUAUGUUAUAAAAAUACUGUCUUUAAAUUUAAUUUUAUCUUCAUUUACCUAUAUUUUGAAAAUUGAUAUAAUACUAGUUUAAAGAUACGGUCCCAUGCUAUAAAAAUAUUGUGUCUCAAAUCUUAAUUUAAUCAAGUAGUUUUGAUAAUCUCUUCCUAGAUAUUAAAAUACUAUACUUCUAAUAUAUUUAUAUUUAAUACAAAAAUAUAUUUACUAUUACUACAAGAAAAACGAAAUUUAGAUGUUAAACUUAAGUGUUGAUUAAGCAUAGGACAUAAAUAGAGUGGACCAACAGAUGUUAGAUGAUGUAAAAUAAGUAGUGUAGGUUAAACCAUUAUAAUGAAAGGACUUACUUGAAAAUAAAAUAAAAUAAUUAAAAUAAAAAUGCAUUGCAUAAGUCAAGUCGAUGUUGAUGUUGAUAACAUUAAUUCUUUAACUAUGGGUUGGACCAAUACAUAUUUAUUAUUCUCUUUUUACAAUUUUGUUAAAAUUUAUUUUAUGUACUAGUGCGACUGGACGACUAAGUGAGUUGGCCAAAACUCGGAUCGAAUCGCUACCUAGGCCAUCGUAGGAGGGUUAUGUGACGGCAUAUGGCCGAUCGAUCCUUGACACUGAUUCAAUGAUUGACCAAGUUAGCAGGAUUAACCCGUGGUUAAGGGUUGUUUAGCGCAACCCUAAAUCAAACCCACCAAUGAAGGCUCAUUAAGGUAAUAUAAAUAACACACAUUUCAAGAAGAAAGGUACGUUAUUAUCUACCGUACUCUGACACCUGAGUGCUGACACCCUGACUGACUUGAGCGUUGGAGUGUCUUCUGCAGGUACCAUCCCCGCCUGUGAAGCCAGACGACCGAGAGGAGGAAGGUGUAACAAAGAGCUUAGAGCAUUGUAGACCGACCGAAGGUGGAAGAAGGAGCAAUCAUUCUCCAGGUCCCAAACCCGUUCGAGAACAUUUUAUAACUAUGUUGAUUAGGACAUUAGGUGUUAACUUUUAUUUCUUUUAGAUAAUAUCAUUUAAUUUUUUGUUGAUGACAAGUAUAUGUAAUUAAAAUGAUUUAAUUGUUAAACUAUUUAUAAUUGUUAAAAGUAAGGCUCACAUAUCAUAUUGUUGACAAAAUAAAUUAUAAUGUUGGUGCUGUUGAAAGUAGGAUUCACAUUGUUGCAAAAGCUACUCAUAAAACUGUGAAUGUGAAUGUUGCUUCAAAUAUGAGGCACAUGCGUCUCAAAAUUGUAAAUUUGUUCAGUUAAUUUUCUUUCAAUUUUAGAAUUAAAAACUGGACAGAUAUGUAAUAAAAAAUGAUUAGACAUUCUAUUAGUAGACCGUUUAUUUUGAAAAUAUGUUUCUUUUUUUAUAAUAUGAUCACAGUGGAAAUGGAAAACUAUAAGAAUGAAAAAAAAGGUAUAUAUGCAGCACAAAUAAAAACAUGAAUUAUGCAGAUACAUAAAAAAUAUUUUUAAAAAAAUAUUUGUUUUUAAGAAAAAUAUUGAAAGUUUACCAAGUAAACUCCCAUGUAAGAGAUGUGGAUCACAAUUGGACACUCUUAAGUACCAAGCCUUUCCUGCCAGAGUUCUUCUUAGAUCACUUGAACAAAUUUCCUUAAAAGUUUUUGUUGAGACUUAGAAAUUAAAAGGGGAAAAAACUUAAGUUUAAGUUGAGAACAAAAAUAAGAAUAAAAUUGUUAAAAUAAUCAGGAAAAAAUAUAUAAAAAUUGAAAAAAAUAGAAAUUAAGAAUAAAAAAAUAAAAACAAAAAUAAACAAAAUAAUGGGAAUAAAAAUAAUUAAUAACAUAAAAAGAAAUAACAUAAUAUAUAUUGAAUUAAAAUAAAAUAAAGAUAUUUGUUUCCUCUAGUUUGGUUAAAAUUAAUAUUGUUGGUGUUGUUAGGGAUUCUCUUGGUCACUUGCUGCUUGUGGUAGUAUUUUUCGUGGGAGUAUGGGGGAGUUCAUUGGUGAUUUCUCUACUUAUCUUGAUAUCUAGAUGGGAGGAUGGGGAAUUCCAAGAUGAGUGGUGGAGAGUCACCACUUAGAGCAUGCUCUCAUAAGAUAAGGCCCAAAACUUUAGGAGAAAAUACUCACUAAACACUCAAACAGGGUUUCUUUACUUCAAAAUUCAAUGUGAAAUAUAUGAGGCAAGACACCCUAUUUAUAGGAGGGGUGCCUUGAUGGGCAAGAGUAAGAGGAGAAAGGAAAGGGGAGAGGCGAGGGGCGGUUAGGGUUGACUCUAGGUCAAUGCCACCCCUUUUAGGCUUCCUUCUAAAGGGUAGGUCAACAAAACCCUAACUUAGGUGCACAUGUCAUGAAAGUUGGGCUUGGAAAAAGCCCACUUUACGCUAUGUUCACCCUAAUUUGAGGAAUGAUAGGUUCUGAGGCACUGGUUGUAGAAUGAUCUUGAGCUAGUCCUGGGUCCUGUAUCAUGAUCCUAGUCAUCCUUCUGAAAGGUUGAGCUAGCUCAUUGGAUGCUCUAUCUCUCAGGACUUCAUCAUCUAUUGUGUGAACCUCUGACUUUCCGACUUUACCGCCAUGUCAUCGACAUAUGCUUGAACAUUAUGUCCCAACAUGGGUUGUAAAAUCCAAUCCAUAAGUCUUUACUAGGUCGCCCCUGCGUAACAAUAGUUGGCUACUUUGGCCAUGGACACUGUUUUUUCUUCAUCCCUCGGUUGCAUUCGAAUUUGAUUAUACCCUGAAAAAACAUCCAUGAAGCUGAGCAAACUACAAUAGGAUGCGUUGUUCACCAAGGAUUCUAUGUUAGGUAGGGGACAAGAAUCCUUGAGACAAACAUUGUUGAGAUCGAUAAAUCUACGCACAUCCUCCACUUUUUGUUUGGUUUUUUCACCAUCACAACAUUUGCUAGCCAUUUGAGAUAUUGAAUUUCCUGCAACAUGACCAGCUGUAAGGAGCUUUUGAGUCUCAUCCUUUAUAUCCAAGCUCUUUUCUUCAUUGAAUUUUCUUCAUCUUUGUACAAUAGGCUUUACGUUCUCGUCCAUUGUAAGAUGAUGACAUAAGAAGUCUAGGUCAAUGCCAGGCACGUCAGCGGACGACUAUGCGAAUGCAUUCAUGUUCUUUGAAAUAAUCUCCUUGAUCUUUUCCUCUAACUCUUCUCCUGGGGGCUCGGGACGUCUUUCCUCAAAGUGGGGAUGCUCCAUGUCUACAUCUGGUCUCCCUAAGCGAGUUCUAAUCGUGUGCGUACCUUUUCUGCUCCUCAAACUAUUCUUGUAACAUUUGCAAGCUACCUUUGGAUCCACCCUCAUGGUUAUUACUUUGCCUUCGGGCGAGGGCAGUUUCAACUUCAUAUGCAAAGUGGAAACCACUGCGCCUUGCCUGUUCAAUGAUGGUCGUCCCAGGAGCAAAUUGUAAGAAGAAGGGGCGUUCACCAUAAUGUACUUGAUCAUUAUGGUGUUUAUUGCAUUCUCAUCCAAAAAGGUUGUCCUCAGCUUGACAUACCCUCGAACUUCCACUUUGUUGCUGUGAAGGUAACAAGACAACCAUCAAAGAGCUUGAGUUGGUCGGGGAAAAUUUAUAGGGCCAAAUAAGUAUCCCAAAACAUGAUGUCGACUGAACUUUCCUGAUUAAUCAGGACUCGAUGCACAUUUUGUCCCAUAGUGAUAACCGAUAGCACCACAAGGUCAUCUUCAUGAGGAAAAACAUCCUCAGAAUCUUUGGUUGUAAAGCAGAGAAAAGGAAUCAAGAGUCGCUUGGGUUCUUGAGUUUCCAAUAUCACGGCUAUGAAGUAACGUUUUCGGCUAGAUGUUGACGAUCCUUCGCCAGAGAACCCCCUGCUAUGGCAUUAAAAUCUCCUAGAAUUGGGGCUUCAUGGCUUCGUCCUAAUAACUAUUCAAUGCUUUUCUUAAUGGUCUAAGUCCAACCAAACUUAUAAAUAGGUGAUGGCUCUCUCAGUAAAGGAAGACACUAACUAUAUUCUAUACUCUUAACUUUCGUAUUGUUAAGAACUUAUCAUCAUCUUUGUGCUUCUAUUGACUUGAGCAUUGGAUAGUCUUUUUUAGGUGGGUCUCCCUCUUUCAUUUAAGACCAACUAAAAGCUCGUUCUCUGAGGAACACGUAGUCCUCACUGAGGUACCCUCCAAGUUCAUUUCCGGUAGGAACUUUUGGUGCCCAUCGUGGGACCCUGGUAAAAUUUUUCCCUAGGACCACCAUAACAAGUAGACGCACCUUAAAAACAUAUGUUUUUCACAAAACAACAUGACCACCCAGCUUGAUGCUAUCCUCCGAAAGAACGAGGAAAGCAUGCAAAAGGCAAUGGAGAAAGUCCUUGAACAAAUGUAAGAUAAGAUUGAAAGGGAUAUAGCAUCCCUGAAAGAGCAACACAGGGUGGAAGCUGAAAAAAACCAAGCUGAGAUAUAAGCUUUACAAGAUCAAUUGAUGACAAGAAAUAACGAUCAUACUCAGACUGGUAGGAAUCCUACCCAGUAUGCAAAAAAGUCCCAACAGUUAUCGCUUGAACCAUCUAUUUAGUAAGAACAUAUUUCUCCUUACACAUAUACUCCAAGUUCAUCCUAGAGGGAGAUUUGUUAUGCUCUAACUCCAAGAUCAUCCUGGAGGGAGACUCGUUAUGCUCUGACUCCAAGAUCAUCGUGGAGGGAAACUUGGGGACACGAGUAGAUACCAUUCAAGGAAGUACCCAAUCAUCCUCUCAAUUAAGCAAUGAAAGCCAAUCUAAAAGGUUUCCACCCUUUUACCUCUGAGGUCAUGAGUGCUCAACUACCCCAAAAAUGGAAAUAGGCGAGCUUUAAAAAAUACAAUGGGACUUCAGACCCCGAUGCUCAUAUCAAAGCAUGCAUGACCCAGGUGAACCUGUUCUCAGGGAACAUGGUCGUACAUUGCAUACUCUUUCCAACCACGUUGGUGAAGCUGGUCUUGGAAUAGUACUAUUCCUAGCCUAGAAAUUCCAUUGACUCCUUUAACACACAAUGUGCACAGUUUUUACCCAUAUUUGAUGAUUGCAAACCAAUAGUUGCGAUGUUCGCUUUGUUGCACAAUGUGGUCCAAGGUGACAAAGAAAGCAUGCGACAAUAUAUGGCACAAUUUGCAAAAGCAACAUCAAACAUUCUUGACCUCCAUUCGGUUGUAGCCAUGGACGCCUUACAGAUAGGAUUUCAUUCAGGGAAGUUCUUAGACACCCUUUACGCAAAUUCUCUCGCCAACAUGGAUGAACUUCGCAGCCGAGUUGCCCGAUACAUCAACAUUGAGGAGAAUUUGAUACAAGAAGGACAAUAAUGAAAACCUCGAAAGUUGCCACUUCGGAAAAAUAAUUCAAAACAAAGCUAACAAAAAGAUUUGAAGAUUAUACUCCUUUGAAUACAAGUCGGGACGUGAUUUUGCACGAAGCGUGCAACCUCGGGUUGGUACAACUUUCGCCUCCACCAACUAGUCAUCCAUCAGUUGACUCGACCAAGAAGUGCUAUUAUCAUCAAAACAUGGGUCUUCUCCCUCGUAUCUUCUUUUUGUGAUUUUUUUAUUGACGUGCCUCCUUACCUGGGUGCAAACAACAUAUGAAAGUACUUGUCUGAAUUUUUUCAGCUCAAUAUGGACUCAGAAUAAAAUUUUAGAAAGUAGCGCGAAAUUUCACAAGUUUUGGUAGAGGAUAGCCUUGGUUUGCACAAAAUAUCUGAAAAAUUCUCCCAAAAUAGUUUCUUCCUGAAAUUCCACGUAAGAAUCUCCACUGAAUUUGGGACAAACACACGAAAAUUUCAGGUCAAACGGAUGAGUACUCACCCACGAAAAAAAUCAAACAGUUUCACACACAAACGAACCUUCCUUUUGGCCCUGGCAUUGAUGAAUAAAAAAUUUAUUGCCAAUCUUGUGGGACGAAUCCGGGGCUUAAAUCUCAGUAGACACAGUGACGAACGUCUGGUAAAAAUUUCAGACCAAAAUACCCAAGGAGUAAGGCGUAGUAAGUCCCAGACCGAGAGUGAACAAAACUAGUUUUCCGAAAACAAAACGUCCUGGCUUUUCUCCCCCGUAUCUUCUUUUUGUGAUUUAUUUAUGGAUGUGCCUCCUUACCUGGGUGUAAACAACAUAUGAAAGUACUUGUCUGAAUUUUUUCAGCGCAAUACGGACCCAGAAUUAAAUUUCAGAAAGUAGGGCGAAAUUUCACAAGUUUUGGUAGAGGAUAGCCUUGGUUUACACAAAAUUUCUGAAAAAUUCUCCCGAAAUAGUUGUUAGAAUGGAUGGCUUUAAACUAGAGGGGGGUGAAUUGUUUAAAGAGGGUUUUCGCAAACUUUUAAAACAAGAAUGAAAUUAUCUCAAGAAAUAAUUGAUAAGAAAUUCAGUUUGCCAAAACAGCAAUAAAAAACAGCAGUACCAGAAAAACAAUCGGUUGUUUCACAGAAACAAUCGGUUGUUUAUACCAGCAAACAACAAACAAAACUGAAUUUAAAGAGUUUAAGGAUAGAGAGAUUGCACACUGAUGUUUAUACUGGUUCACUCCAAAUCCAAAGCUACAUCCAGUCUUAGAAACCCUGAGGAAAUCCACUAAGCAAUCACACCUUGAUCACUUACACCACAACCAAGAAAGUGACCUUGAACACCUCAAGACACACACUCUUCUUGGCCAACACACCAACACUAAGAUUGCUGAUCUUGAUCCCCUUAAGAACACACAACAAAUCUCAGCAAACACAGAAAUGAAACUUGUUCAGUAGAGUACAAGGAUUACACUUGUUACAGAAGAUAAUAUGAAAUCAAUACAAGCAGAAUCCUAUUCCACUCACUUUGAUCAAUCACAAACUCUAAGCAAUCUUAGCUCUUUGAAAAACUAAAAAAAUCUUUUCAAAAUCUUGUAAAAGAUUGUUACUCAAAUAUGUUAUUCUGAAUUUAUUCAAAGAUGUUGUUUGUUAUCAAAUCUUAACAAACUCUUAAAUUGCAUUAAAAGAUUGGUCAAAGCUUUUAAUGACUGGAGCGUAAGCAGUUAAAUCAUUUAAAGCUCAAUCAAAGAUAAAACAGUUUUUCUGUUAUGGUCCCAAAACAAAAAAUCGGUUGUUUCCUCGAAUCAAUCGGUUGUUUUGGUUUUAACAGCUCAACCAUUUGAAAAAUAGUUUUCAAUCUUUUCUCAAAACAUCUAAGUAUAAACAAUCGGUUGUUUCAACAAAACAAUCGGUUGUUUUAACUUAGUUUGAAAAACAUUUUACUUUCACAAAGAUUGAGAAUGCCUAUGCUUUAGAUUUAAUCAAAUGGUGGAUUACAACACUCAAACUACCCCAAAACUAAACUAAACCAGCACAGUAACAACAAGCACAACCAAGGCUUCAACAUCCUUCAAAGGAUUUGGAUUCUUCAAAGCUUGAACACCACAUGGUUCAACAAUCUCCCCCUAUUUGAUGAAGACAAAUCCCUGAUGCUUGUGUUGUACCUGAUUGAAUCUGAAGCAGUUCCUGCAAGAUACAAUUUUGAACAAAGCAUAGAACUUCUAAUAUUUGGUUAGCACAAAUAUAAGAAUUAAAGUCCAGAGCUAAAUAUCAUAAACAAAUAUUACUCAUCCAAACUUGUUUUAACAACUAAAAAACAGAAAUUUAAACACAACAUAUAUAUCUCCCCCUAUUUGUCUUCACAAAUAGACAAAGAGAAGAGAUAAAACAAGAUAUAAUUGUUUUGAUUACAUCAGAAUUAAAGCAGUAACAACAGAAGGAAAAAAAAAUUGAAAAACAGAUAUAACCACAAAAAACAAUCGGUUGUUUCGAUACAUCAACCUGUUGUUUUUCCUCAUUCAUCAUCAUUUGCAAACUGAAGAUCAAAGAUUUGGUUCUGGACAGCUUCAAUCUGUUCAUCUAGAGUCAUGAAGCGUGCAUCCAUGUUGUCAAACCUGUUGUCAAUCCUCUGGAAAUUACUAACACAGAGAUCAUGGAGGUUUCUUUGAUUCUCCCCAAAGCUAUCAAGCCUAUUCAUCAUGAGUCUUUCAAAAGAAGACAUGGUUUGCAUCCCUUCUUCUUGAUUUCCAGCACCAGCACUAGGUCCAACAUCUUGAUAAUCUUCAGGUGGAUCUUCAUGUUGAACAUCCAUAUCAGCAGGCUCAUCUUGUUCAAGAUCAGCAGCACCACUAGAUGAGGCACCAAGAUCACCAUCCUUGCUAAUCCAUUUGCCAUCUACUUUGGUAAAACCCAUUUUGCUGAGUGAUCCAUUGUUCAACUCUUGAGUUGACUUGACCAACUCAGAUGUUUCAUCUUCAAGGUUCACUUCAAAAUAGAGUAGAAAUUUAGAUACCAAAACAACAUAUGGAUAGUGAUAGUCACAUAACCUCAUAGCCUUUUGCAUGUGCUAUUUGAUGAUGUGAAUCCAAUUGAUUUUGAUCUUCUUCAUGAUGCAGAAAAUAUAUACCAGAUCUUCUUCAGUAAGAACAAAAUGAUUACUCCCCCUUGGAGUUAAAGUCCAAGUCACAAUGAGAGUAAGCAAUCUUUCAUCAAGCUUUAGACCUCCAACCGAGCAUGUUCUCACUUGAGCAUGUUGAUUCUUCAAGCAACUCUUGUAGUAUUGGAUUUUGUUAAAAUCCUCCACUACACCAAGAUUUCCCUUGUUGAUUCUAAGCCCAGAGAACUUGAGACCAGCAACAACAGUCCAUACUUCAUGAGUUAUCUCCAUUUCUACACCUUUCACAUGAGAAACUAGAUUGUUUCCCUCAAACUUUAGGUUUGUGUAGAACACCCUUACCAAAUCUGGGUAAAUGUUUCCCUUCAUCUCCAGAAACUUUCUGAGAGAUUGAUCUUUGAGCAGCCUCCUUACAUUCUCAAGCUUUUGACUUUUCAGCCAAUCAAAGCACAACCUUGGGGUUGUUUAUCUUUUUGAUACUUGUUUCAUACCUAUACCUCUCAAUAAGAUCAUUGUCUCCAGAAAACCAGCCUUCUAGCCUUCCUCCUAACCUUACAACUCUGGUUUUGACUCUCUUUGAGGUGGGAGGAGUUGAUUCCAUGAUGGCAGAGAAGAAAACAGAUAAGAACUCACUUCACAGGUUUUUGCAAGAGAUGUUGCAAUAGAUGUUGCAAUUGGUUGUUCUUGUGGAAGAGAUUAGCUGCACCAGAUUUUAUAGCAGAAAAAGAAUAAAUUAGCAUUCAAUGUUAUGAGUGGGUACCUGAUUUUCAGAGAGAGAGGACUUGACUCUGCCCUGCACAGAAAACGUCAGAAAAAGCUGAAAAUCACAUGGUCUUCACAUGUGAUCUUUGAGCAGUGAUUAAGGCUCUUGAAUUUCUAAGAUUUUGGAAUAUAUUCCUUUAUGACUGUUGUAACUUCUCUCUGAACGUGAUCAACUUUCAACACAGAUUCUUUGACCAAGAUUCUCUCUUUGAAUUGAUCUGCAACGGAUAGAAAUUCAAAAUAACAAUUAAAAAGAUUUCUUCACAGUGCUGUCAGACCUAAAACAAUCGGUUGUUUUUCUGCAGCAGUUAAAACUGAUUUUGAAUUUUAACUAUGAGCAGAAAGAGUUCAAAGCAGAUGACAUUAAGCAUAUUAAAAAGAUUUUUUACCAUGAGAAAGAAAUUUGUACCGAUCUGGUAAUCGGAAGUGAUGACGUGGCAGCAAGCGAUAAUAUAGGCAUGUUGAACGGGACACCUGGCUGACAGAAGGGAAGCACAUUGGGAAGUUUGUGUAGUCGCCAAUUGUCAGCUUGGCGUUCUCCGAUCUCUAGUAUGUAUAACCGGCGGUCACCAGGCUCGCGUCAUAGUCGCCAUAUGUGAGUUCUAGGAGAUCAGGUGGUUAGAGACCGCCGAGUGGGGCACAUCGCCGAGAGAUCAGGAAGGCUUGCUUAAGGCUUUCGAGAGGUACAAGCACGAAGGAUGAGGUUAUCAGAUGAUCAUUCCCUAACCAGAAGUCGGGACAAGGGAACAGUUUCCCAGAACAUGCAUGAUGUGCAAGUGAAGCAGAUCGUGAUAGCGGCAGGCGAGACCACAGAGCAGGUGUGCAUGGUGACACCCCGUACUCGCCACUUAGAAGAGAUCGCACUCCAAGGAAGCUAUGCACCGAGUUACUCCUUGCAUGGGUAACUUAGUCGAAUAGCUUGAAGAGUAGAGGUGACGCUUAAGUAGAAGGGGGCUUCAGAUGGUGACACGUGUACAACUGGAUGCGAGCCACGUGUCCAGAGGUGUAACCGUCAGGAGAGAGAAAGUGCUCAGGUAUAUAAGGAACUCUAACGAACUUCUGAGGUACGCGCGUUUAGAACACUUCUUUACGCUUUCUGAGAACACUAGAGUACGCUUUUCAGAACACUGAGAUUCACUGCGCACGGUUCCUUGAGUUUGAUAUUCUCUCUGAGUAUUUGGUGAUUCCGUCACUGACUUGAGCGUUGGAGCGCGAUCGGCCGCAGCGGCGCCACUCUGUUUCUUUGUUUUCUUCAGGUUCUUACGAGGAAUAGAGACGUGAAGAUCGAAGGCUAACGUGGUGCGAAGCUGAUCGAGAGAAGAUACCUUUGACGUGGCAAGACUCUUGCACUCGAGUCAACCGGUAGGAUCAUCAGGCGCCCACCGUGGGGCCGUGUAAAACGUGUUUCCCAUCCACAGCGUGAGUUCUUGAAGUUUCUGUGAUUCUUGUGUGGUUGUGUGCUGGUGCAACCAUUUUCAGCGUUUUCACCGUUUGUUUGAGCUUUUGUUCGGUGAAUUGAAGUUCUCCACUGUUCAUUUGGGUUUUUAAUCGGUAGUUUGAAGUUUUCCACCGUUUGUUCGAGCUUUCGAUCGGUUUCUUGAAGUUUCUUACCAUUUGUGCGGGUUUCAAUCGGUAAAUCGAAUUCUUUACCGUUCGUUCGUGUUUCUGACCGGCGAAUCAGGAGUUUUAGUGGAGAAGUGGUAGGUUCGUGUUAAGAUUGCAAGUUUCUGUGGAGGUUUUGGCAUCCGAAUCUGUCGGCGUGCUGUUGUGGUUGCGUUCUUGGAAGUUCUUUGGAGUUUGAGAGUUUUUGACCGAUUGAUUGCUGGAUCGAUCGUUUCGCUGGUGAAGGUUUUGUUUGCUGAAGUUUGAUUUGCUGAUUUUUCAUGAGAAAGAUGAGAAGUACGCGUUCAAGUCCCGUUGUGCCGACCGCUACCGAAGGCGCCAUGACCAUGGCGCAGAUGAUGGAGAUCAUGUGUGCGUUGGAAGCAAAUCUGGAGGCAUCGCACGUAGAGUAGGCGAAGAUGCAUGAAGACCUGGUCGCCUCUCAGGCCAGAAAUGAGGAGCUCAGCAAAGUCACUGAGGAGUUGCGUCAAACUCUUCAUGAGUAGAGAGGAUGCACAACCGUGGAAGAAGUUGCGUCGUCAUCAUCACCGCGCGUGUUUCCGAUGCCUUUUGCUCAGGCGAUCACGGACACACCGAUCCUUGCGAGCGUGGUACCUGUGAAAGCUUCCUUCACCGGUGUGGAGGAUCCUGAAGCACAUCUCACUGUGUUCCACACGCAGAUGAUGCUGUCAGGAGGCUCAGAUGCUGUCUAUUGCAAGAUGUUUAUGAGCACGCUCCAGGGAACAGCGCUGGAAUGGUUUGUUAGCCUGCCUACAGGUCACAUAACCAAUUUCCAGCAGUUUUCGAAGCUUUUCGUCGACCAGUACAUUCUGAACAAGGCGCCACCGAGGGUGUCUUACGACUUGUUCGACGUGAGGCAGUAUCAGGGAGAGUCCCUCAAGGACUAUCUGAACCGAUUUGGAGCACAGAUGGUCCGCUCGCCUGCCAAAGACGAGGAGAUGUUGGUAUAUGCCUUCAAAAAGGGCGUGCUGCCGGGACCUUUUUGUGAGGCGCUGAUUAGGGGCCACCCCGCCACGUUUGCUGAAGUUCGACGACUUGUUGUGGCCCACAUCGCCGACGAGAGUGAGGUCGCCGAGAAGAGAUGGAGCGUGGCUCCUGCUAGGCCACGAGCCCAGACUAGAAUGCAGCCGUAGAGGGUGCUGGAGACGGCGGUGGCUAAAAUGGAUCAAAGGACUCGCCAUCCUUAUGAUCCAAAGAAAAACAAGGGAAGGGGCCCAGGGCGCCCUAGGGAGUUCAAUCGCCCACCCAGGUACAAGUUCGUCAUGGGAUUGGCAGACCUGAUUGCCAUUCCCAACAUAGCAGCCAGGCUUAAAGCGCCUGAGAAAGUUGGCGACAAGGUGUUAGGGCCAAAACCAAACGCAUGGUGUGAGUUCCACCAGAGUUUUGGUCACACCCUUGACUCGUGCUUGGCCCUGGGUUACCAGCUCAACGAUCUGGUCAAGAGCGGCUUCUUGAAUGAUUACCUGUUGGACAAGAGGACGGGGGGUGCGUCGAGCUCUCAGCCGGCGAGCGGUGAAGGCCAACAGCAUGAAGUGCCCACCCAUGGCGAGAUCCACACCAUUGCUGGAGGCUUCUCAGGUGGUGGAUGCACUGCAUCACAGCGGAAGAAGUAUGCAAGGUCUGUGAUGGCAGUGGAUGUCUUCGAAGAUCACUCGCCAUAUGUGGACAUUACGUUCACAAAGGAGGAUCUCAGGGACGUUGUGCCUCAUGACAACGAUCCCAUAGUUGUCUCGCUGAUCACGGCGGGAAGGUCCACCGAGUACUGGUGGACCAAGGAAGCUCGGCAGAUGUAAUGUUCUGGCCGACUUUCACCAAGCUACAACUACCCCUUGACCAGCUAAGGCCCUAUGGAGGAUGCUUAUAUGGGUUCGCUGGCGACCAGGUGGAGGUCAGGGGGUACAUUGAGUUGAGAACUACGUACACAGACGAGGCGGCCUCGAGGAUGGAGAAGAUCAAGUACCUCGUCGUGAAUGCCCCCUCAGCGUAUAACAUUCUGUUGGGAAGGCCAACCCUCAACAGAAUAGGAGCUGUGCCCUCAACCAGGCACAUGAAGGUUAAGUUGCCAUCGAUGGAAGGGGUGGUGAUCACCAUCAGAUCUGACCAGAAGGAGGUGAAGAAAUGCUACGAGAAUAGCCUCAAGAAUAAGAGGUCAGUAAGCUACAUCACAACGACACCGCCUCCCGGUGUGGAGCCCAGGCCACCAGAGGGACGAGUUGUUGAUUCGGCGAUGGAGGUGACCGCCGACGGCAAUGUCGUCAUGAUAGAUGCUGAAGCAAGGGGAGAGAACGCUGAUCGGGGGAAGAAGCGAGAAACCGCCCAGAGGAGGCUAGGGAGUCGGGAAUUGCCAGGGCGGUGAUCGCUAGGGAAACUAGGCCCAAACCCGUCGAGGAGUGGCUCGAGAGGGAGAUCGGGGGUAAGGUCUUCAAGUUGGGAAGAUCUUUGGAAGGUGAGCUCCAAGACCAGAUCGCCAAGGUGAUAGAACGACAUCUGGAUGGUUUUGCAUGGUCUGCUUCAGACAUGCCGGGAAUCGAUCCCGAUUUCUUGUUUCACCAUCUGGCAAUGGACACACAGGUAAGACCAAUGUGACAGAGAAGAAGGAAGUUUAACGAGGAGAGGAGACAGACGAUUAGGGAUGAAACGCAAAAGCUCCUCACCGCAGGCCAUAUCAGGGAGGUCCAGUACCCUGAAUGGUUAGCUAAUGUCAUGCUGGUAAAGAAGAGCAACGGGAAGUGGCGCAUGUGCGUCGACUUCACAGACCUAAACAAGGCUUGUCCAAAGGAUUCAUACCCUUUGCCAAGUAUAGAUGCCCUGGUCGACAGCGCAGCAGGGUGCAAGUUGUUGAGUUUUCUGGACGCCUUCUCAGGGUACAACCAAAUAAAGAUGCAUCCCAUGGAUGAAGAGAAGACCGCCUUCAUGACUGAGAGAUCGUGCUACUGCUACAAGGUGAUGCCCUUCGGGCUGAAGAACGCGGGGGCCACGUACCAAAGGUUGAUGGAUAAGGUACUUGCAUGAUGCUGGGAAGGAACGUGCAAGCGUACGUAGAUGAUAUGGUCGUGACCUCGUUAGAGAAAAGCAAGCACGUCUCAGAUCUGGAGGAGCUGUUUACCACGAUCGCCAAGUUCAGAUUAAAGCUAAACCCCGAGAAGUGCAUUUUCGGCGUGGAGGCGGGGAAGUUCUUGAGUUUCCUCUUAACUGAAAGAGGAAUAGAGGCAAAUCCUGAUAAGUGUGCUGCCAUUUUGGCGAUGAGGAGCCCGGCUACCGUGAAGGAAGUGCAGCAGCUUAUAAGUCGGAUGACUGCCUUGUCUCGUUUCGUAUCAGCUAGUGGAGAGAAAGGCCAUCCGUAUUUUCAAUGCUUGAGGCGAAACAAUAAGUUUGUCUGGUCGAAGGAAUGCGAAGAAGCUUUCGUGAAGCUUAAAGAAUAUCUGGCGAGCCCGCCGGUUUUGUGCAAACCUUUGGUGGGAACCCCUUUCAGGUUGUAUUUUGUUGUAACUGAGAGGGCGGUGAGUGCGGUGCUCGCCCAAGAUCAAGACCAGGCUCAGAAACCUAUUUACUUCGUCAGCAAGGUGUUGCAAGGCCCAGAAGUCAGGUAUCAGGCCUUGGAGAAAGCUGCACUGGCGGUCGUGUUUUCGGCGAGGAGGUUGCGCCACUAUUUUCACAGUUUUACAGUGCUGGUGAUGACCGACUUGCCUAUCCAGAAAGUCUUGAAGAAGCCCGAUGUAGUUGGGAGGAUGGUGAAAUGGGCGGUGGAGCUGUCGGAGUUCGACAUCAAGUACAAGCCCCAAGGACCGAUCAAGGGGCAAAUUUUCGCUGAUUUCGUGGUCGAGCUCUCGUUGGAAGCAGCACGAGUUGAGGGGGACGAUUUUCGUUGGGUACUUUCAGUGGACAAAUCGUCUAACCAGCAGGGUGCGAUGCUGAAGUCAUUCUAGAAGGGCCCAACGGCGUGCUGAUAGAACAGUCCCUAAGGUUUGCUUUUAAAGCCAGCAAUAAUCAAGCAGAAUAUGAGGCGUUGAUCGCAGGCAUCUUGUUGGCUAAGGAGAUGGGGGCUAGGGUGUUGAUGGCCAAGAAUGACUCAUUGUUGGUCACGGGACAAGUAACAUGCGAGUUCCAGGCCAAGGAUCCACAAAUGGCGGCUUACUUGGAGUAUGUGCAGGAGUUGAAGGGUUCUUUUGCCUCGUUUGAGGUGGUGCAUGUACCCAGAGAGCAAAAUGCCCGAGCUGACUUGCUAGCCAAGCUCGCCAGUUCGGGCAAGGGGGGUAGGCAGAGGACAGUUAUUCAAGAAACUCUGAAGACGCCCAGGGCGUUUGUGGCAGACCACCUGGUUCUUUAAAUAAGCAAGUCGACGGAGAAGGCGGCGAGGAGUCACAGGUCCUUGACCCAGGAGACCUUGAGAUCGCCGAGAAUAAGAGCAUGUCGAGGGGAGAGGGUGAACGUGGCGUAGGUCUGCGCUACGCAUAAGCCAGACACAUGGAUAACGCAAUACCAGCGCUGCCUGGCAGAUGGCGUUCUCCCGCUGGAUCCGACGGAGGCUAGNNNNNNNNNNNNNNNNNNNNNNNNNNNNNNNNNNNNNNNNNNNNNNNNNNNNNNNNNNNNNNNNNNNNNNNNNNNNNNNNNNNNNNNNNNNNNNNNNNNNNNNNNNNNNNNNNNNNNNNNNNNNNNNNNNNNNNNNNNNNNNNNNNNNNNNNNNNNNNNNNNNNNNNNNNNNNNNNNNNNNNNNNNNNNNNNNNNNNNNNNNNNNNNNNNNNNNNNNNNNNNNNNNNNNNNNNNNNNNNNNNNNNNNNNNNNNNNNNNNNNNNNNNNNNNNNNNNNNNNNNNNNNNNNNNNNNNNNNNNNNNNNNNNNNNNNNNNNNNNNNNNNNNNNNNNNNNNNNNNNNNNNNNNNNNNNNNNNNNNNNNNNNNNNNNNNNNNNNNNNNNNNNNNNNNNNNNNNNNNNNNNNNNNNNNNNNNNNNNNNNGAGCCAGUAGCCCAGAUCACCGCACAUAAGAUCGAGAGCUUUGUAUGGAAGAACAUCGUGUGCCGGUUUGGUGUGCCUAAGCGCCUGGUGUCGGACAAUGGGACUCAGUUUGCAAGUCACCUAUUGAAGAAGCUGUGCGAAGAGGUGGGAAUACAGCAGGUGUUUGCAUGUGUCGAGCACCCACAGACAAAUGGCCAAGUAGAGUCUCCAAAUCGGGUGUUGCUGAGAGGUUUAAAGAGAAGGCUAGAGAAAGCUAAGGGAUCGUGGGCUGAAGAGGUACUGCGCAUAGUUUGGGCGUACCAUACCACUGAGCAGUCAGGAACCCACGAGACCCCGUUUAGCUUGGUUUAUGGAUGCGAUGCAAUGAUUCCAGUUGAAAUCCAGGAGAGCUCGCCGAGAUUCCAGAACUUUGUGGCGGAAGACUCAAACGAAGAAAGAAGGUUGAAUCUGGAUUUACUGGAUGAGGUCAGGGAGGAGGCAAGAGUAAAGGCCGAGGCAGUAAAAAGGAGGAUUGAGCGAAGGUAUAACUCCAAGGUAAUGCCAAGGCAGUUUAGAGAGAGCGACCUGGUGAUGAGGAAGGCCCAUCAGUACGAGAUGGAGAACAAGUUAUCGCCUAAGUGGACGGGAUCGUUCAGGAUAACCGAGGUGCUCGGGAACGGCGCCUACUGCUUAGAGACGUUAGAAGGAGGGGCGAUUCCUCGCACUUGGAACGCCACACAUCUCAAAUUGUAUUACAGUUAAAGCUUUGUAAGUAAAACGAACAUGAAGAGAUUUACAUGCUUUCUGUUAAAACAGUUUGAAAGGGGGCACUCUUUUUUCCCUAAGGAGGGUUUUUAAUGAGGCCACCCAAUAAAGAAGAGUUUUCAAGCUUAAGUUUUCUGAGAUUGCAUGCUUUGUGUUUUGAAAGUUUUUAGAAAAAAGACCUUAUCACCCGUACGUGAUUUAAGGCAAGUUCGAAGUUAUAUUGCUUGCUUUCAGUUAAAAGUUUUGAAGUCCCCAUCGUUUUUCGGCGAUUGGCAGCACCAGUUAAAAGUUUUAAAGUCCCCAUUGUUUUUCGGCGAUGGGCGGCAUCAGUUAAAAGUUUAAAGUCCCCAUCGUUUUUCGACGAUAGGCAGCAUCAGUUAAAAGUUUUAAAAGUCCUCAUCGUCUUUCGGCGAUCGGAGGCACCAAUGAUGAUUAAAGACCUCAAACGCUCUCAUGCGUCUUGAGGCAAGAAGAGAAAAAGACCUCCUCGCCUUUCAGCGAGUGCAGGCGAGAAAGAGAAAAGUCCUCCUUGCCUUUGAGCAAGUGCAGGCAAGAAAAAGACCUCAUCGCCUUUGAGCGAGUGCAGGCGAGAAAGAGAAAAGUCCUCCUUGCCUUUGAGCAAGUGCAGGCAAGAAAAAGACCUCCUCGUCUUUGAGUGAGUGCAGGCAAGAAAAAGUCCUCCUUGCCUUUGAGCAAGUGCAGGCAAGAAAAAGUCCUCCUCGACUUUGAGCGAGUGUAGGCAAGAGAAAGUCCUCCUUGCCUUUGAGUAAGUGCAGGUGAGAAGAAGUCCUCCUUGCCUUUGAGCAAGUGCAGGCGAGAAGAAGUCCUCCUCGCCUUUGAGCGAGUGUAGGCAAGAACAGAUCGAAAGACCUCUCUGCGCAAGCAGAUAGAGGCAAGAUUGAAAGUCCUCAGCACGUCCAGGAAGGAGGAGAUGCACACCCUGGGCAAACUGAGGCACCAAAAAAAGUCCUUCUCACCUCAGAGUGAGUUCAGGCAAGAUAAAUUGAAAAGUCAGGGGUGUUCGUGACCUUAAACGGGGGGAAGGGAAGGAAAACGCCUUUUCCCCUUUAAGUGAAACAUCAAUAUUGACCCAGUAAGACUAGAUCAUUGUUCUGACACUCAGGGAGGUAGAGAAGGAUCCGAAAGGCGCCUCUACCCCCGGAUGAGGGAACAAUGGUCAAGUUAUGAAGUAAGAAAGAUCACAUCGCCAGAACCCUACGACGAUCAGAAGAAUUCUAGGCGAUGACAGGAGUAAGGGCUCACUUCAUUGGGCAGAUCAGGUGAACUGUGUCUUAAAUACCAGUUUGAGUUAAAACUUGCUGUUUAGUAAGUAGUUUUGUUGCCUUAAGUUCACAAGUUAUAUUAAGUGCCAUCGCGUGAAAGUUAAUAGUUGCUCAAGUUUACUUUGAGUUAACAGUUUGAUGAGUUGUUACAAGGUUAACAGUUUAUUCAAGUUAACAGUUUGAUAAGUUGUUACAAGGUUAACAGUUUAUUCAUGUUCGAAGCAGUGUGUGAAAGCAAAUAAAGGCAAAGGCGUGCAAAGUAAGUAGAAAGACGAUGUUGAAGAAAUGAAAAUUAUAUAAAGCGAUGUCAAUACAAAUCUAUACACAAACAACUAUUACAAACAAAAGAUGAAGGGCAAGUUUCAAAAACAAGGUGAUGGAGGGAGGCAGCUAGUCUUCGGAGGGUACAAUCUUCCCAUCCACCACCUCGUUGCAGAUUGACACCAUGGAAAGGUCGAGCUCGGGGUAUUGACAUGCUACUUGCUCCAGAGCGGCGUCAAACCCGGCGGUGAGGACUUGGGCAGUGCUCUGCUCGAGCUCUUGUGUUUGUUUCUUCAGCUCUUCGAUUUCCUCGCGAGCUCGAGCAAGUUCUUCAGCAGCCUUUUUUCCUUCGUCCCGGGCCUGGGCCAGCUCUGCAGCAGUCUUUGUGGCCUCCUCUCGAGCUUUGGCGAGCUCAGCAAGAGCAUCGUCCCUUUCCUUUUCGACCUUUCCAAGCAGAACCUCCUGAUCUGUUGACCUUUUCUCAAGGUUUUCCACCUUGGUCGCAUCCGUCUUUUUUGCAGCCUCCAAGUUUGCCACUUUGAGCCUGUAAGGGACCAACUUGCUUUCCAAGUCGAUCUUCUCUUGGACUUGGAGAUGCAGUUUCUGGCGCAGGUUGGAGGCUUCCUUGCGCAUGCUCCUUAGCUCAGCAACCAUGGCGUCCUCUAGCCUUGAGUGCUCCAACUCAGCCAUCAGCAGGUUGCACGUGAGCUUUUCAGCCUCAGCCCUUGUCAUCAGAUUUGACUCCUUGAGCGCUGAGUUCUCUUCUUGGAGCUUCUUGAGGGAGUCCUUCAGGGCUUUCGAUACGAUCAAUGGGAGAUCCUCCGCCAUCAUCUUCAGUUUGGCUGUGAAGGGUCCCAAGAUCUCUUCGAAGGAGGUUGGGAGGCUUGAGGUUGUUGCUGGUGGAGGUGCUGAAGGAGUUUGGUGCUGACUUUCACCACCACCCUCUUGGGUUUGAAGGGCAAGGGGGGCUUCUUAGCGUGGUGGUGAGGUCAGAGAUUCCGUUAUGAGUAUCGGCGAGUUAUGAGCACCCUCAUCUUCGCCUAAUGCGGCCCCAGCAAUAGACGUGGUGGAAGGAGGACCCUCUCCAACAGAUACGAACGGUGUGGAGGCGCUUGGAGGGUUCUCUAUGAAGUUGGGGUCGCUGCUUUUACCCACGGGGAGUGCGGCGGCCAAGGGUGUUGCUUGGACUGGUUGUAAUGGAGCUGGAGGUGAGGGCGGUGUUGGGAGUGCGGGUGGUGAAGAGGGAGCCGCCCUUUUUCUCUUGGUAACGAGCCCAUCCUCAGUCUCCUCAUCAUCCUCUUCUUCCUCUUGCACCACUUGAGGAGCUUUUCUCUUGGGUUUCCUCAAGACCAGUUUCUUCCUUUGGGGGGCGGGCAGUACCCCAGAGGAAGUUGGACCUCGGGGAGGAGUCUUGCCUUGAGCAGCGGCGAUCUCCACCACCGAGUUGGGCACGGUUUGGGAGCCCGCCGCGAGCUUGUGAGAUCGGGCAAUCGCCCUCAGUUCUGCCAGUUUUCCUUUCCCCAGCAUGUUAUCUGCACAAGGUAAAGGGUAGAUGAGCAACAAAAACAAAAGCAGAAAAUACAAAGUAUAUUUAUGAAGAGACAACACAAGCAGUACAUGGAUGAAAGAUCAGAGUCAACACAGAAUAAUGGAAUGCCAAAAUAGAGUGGUGAAGACGCUAAGUUAGUGUUAACUCGAAGUGAAAGACUUGGUGCUGAGGCAGGAGCUAACCUAUGUGAGCUUCGAGUUGGUCCUCAAGGAACUCGAAGGAGAUUAUUGAGGCGGUGGGGAGGGUGAUGUUGGCAGCAGCCACACUCUUCCAGAAGAGGCAGAGAUCUUUGUCUAACUCCCCCAUGUUGUCGGGACUUCUUGGCCUCCUGAAGCUUUCUUUAGAGUCUUUGUUCCCCUUGUGUACCCAGUACAAGGGGAAGCCGUCGAGCAGGGAAGGGUCUUGGUCGUUUUGGCACACCUUGACGAACUUCCCCUUCCAGUCUUUGUAAGAUUGCUGGAAGAUCGAGAGGAUUGACCUCCCAGCAAUCCCGUUCAAGCUAAUCCAGAGGCGAUCUCCGGGAUUCUUAGCCUCGAACAGGAAAAGAAAGACAUCCACCGAAGCCGGCAGCCCCAAGUGUGCACAGAUGAUUUGGAACGCCCUCACGAACGCCCAGCUAUUGGGAUGAAGCUGGGCAGGGGCGACGUUGAGCUCAGUCAGUAGCUCUCUCUCGAAGCGGGUGAAAGGAAACCUAAGCUUCACCUUCUUGAAGAAUGUCGCGUAGAUAAAGCAGAACAACUCGCCGUUGUUCCCCUUAUUAUCCGCGCAAAUCGGUUCUCCUGAGAGGCAGGGCAACACAGUCAUUUUGCUAUCGUGCUCCUUGUGGAAUGAGAGGUCGGAUUGGUCUCCUUUCCUCAGUCGGUGCACGCCCAAAUCAGUAUUUAUCGAAGAGGUCUCUUUCAGCAGAGUUGGGGUGGCCCAGGGAUAGAGUUCUUUGUAGUCUUGCGGAAGAAGGGGGGCUCCUCCGGCGACUGGUGGAGUUGCCUGAGUGGCGUUGGCGUGAGAAGAGGCAGGCCUCUCAGCCUGAUUAGAAGGAGCACCAGAGGCUCGUGGUGGGUUGCGCGCUGGUGGAGGAUUUGCCCAUGGGCAACCCUACGCGUUCUGAGUGGAGGGUUUCGCGAUGAAGGAGGAGGGUUAGCGGUGGACUUCGUGUGAGCCAUCGCAGGAACUGCAAAGGAAAGAGAAAGGGAUGAAAUGAAGAAAACAGAGAAUGACUCGAUUGGGGACAAAGAAGAUAGAACGAACAGUUAAGGGUUCGCUGGGAUGGACGUUAUCAAGGACGAAACCUUAGGUUAUGAGAAAAGGAAAAAACAGCCCACAACGUAUGCUUCAGACAAACAAUGGAUGAUGCAAACCGAUUAAAAUGCAGCAAGUAUCCAUAGAAGGAGUAAAAGGGUUACCUUUUUGUGAUCAGAUGAGCGUUGAAGAAAGUUGAAGAUUGAGAGAGGCGAGAAGCUUCGUGGUUCGCAGAGAAAAUGCUUGGAACGCUUGAGAGUGAAGGAAGAUGAUGGAACAGUGAAAAGCGCGAAGGUUUUAAGGGUUUUCAAACGUUUUAGGAAGCGCAAACGUCAACUGAAGACGACCGUUGAUGAAGCCACGUGUCGUGUGAUUGAAAAAGAGGUUCUUUACGCGCAAACGCUUGAGAACACUUCUUUACGCUUUCUGAGAACACUAGAGUACGCUUUUCAGAACACUGAGAUUCACUGCGCACGGUUCCUUGAGUUUGAUAUUCUCUUUGAGUAUUUGGUGAUUCCGUCAUUGACUUGAGCGUCGGAGCACGAUCGACCGCAGCGGCGCCACUCUGGUUCUUUGUUUUCUUCAGGUUCUUGCGAGGAAUAGAGACGUGAAGAUCGAAGGCUAACGUGGUGCGAAGCUGAUCGAGAGAAGAUACCUUUGACUUGGCAAGACUCUUGCACUCGAGUCAACCGGCAGGAUCAAACUUUAAAACAGAAAUUAAGAACAAAUAAAGGAAAGUCUUAUCCUUAUGUUAAUUCGUCAAUGAGCCAUGUUCUUUAUGAUCAAGAAGCCUCUUUUCACUGUUGAGGUCCUUUGGACAGAUGCAUAACAUUGAUUCAGCUUCAAUGAUUGUCUUUUUCUUCCAAGAACUUGAUCAUAUGACUUAGUCCUUCACACUUCUUUAGAAUUCCUGCACAAACAUGAGUUCAAGCAACAAGAUUUGGUCCCUUCACAAAUGUGGGUCCAAUAGAUUUCUUUUUCUCAUUUGGAACCUCACAUCCUUUCGGAAUCCAUUUCAUGUAGCCUCUAGGAACAAAUAAUUUUCUUAUUUUGCAGAAUCUAACCAAAUGGCCCUUUUUCAUGCAAUAAAAACAUGUAACAACCGAUUGUUUCGAUUUAACAAUCGGUUGUUUUACUGGCUUUCUUGAAAAUUUUUUUUGAAAACUUAUCUUGUUGGUUCUGUGGAUUGAAACCCAAACCAGCCUUUCCAAAAAUAUAGCUUUGAGAUGCCAAGACAUUCUCAAAGUUAGAUUUCCCCUUUGAAAGCUUGUCCACAGUUUCAACAAGAUAGUGAACCUUUUUCUUAAGAUUUUCACAAUUUUCGCAAAUGAGAGUGUCACACUUGCAAGAAGCAUUUUUGAAAUGGUUUUCCAGAUUUUUGAAAUCAUUUUUAGAUUUUUCAAUCUCAUCUUCAAGUGAUUUCACUCUCUUUUCUAGCCAGCUGUUAAGUUCUUUCAAUCGAUUGUUUGAAAGAACCAAUCGAUUAGCUUCAUCAUGAGUUUCUUGAAAAGCUUCAAGUAAUUCACUGUAAUUUUGUUCAUUCAAGGAAGCACAUGAACUUACUUCACUUGAGCUGCAAGAUUCAUCAUCAUCUUCAGCAACCAAGCAGAUGUUUGCUUUCUCAUAUUCACUUGAUGAAGAACUUGAUGAUGACACCUCAUUUUCAUCCCAAGCUAUGUAGGCUCUUUUUGUCUUGCCUUUCUUUUCCUUGUAGCUAGGAUUUUUCUCCUUGCUCUUGUUUGGACAAUCUACCUUUUAUAUGACCUUGCUCACCACAACCAAAACAAGUAUAGUUAUUGGAAUUAAACUCAUUGGAUUUCUUGUUUCCAUACCUAUCUUUGUUGUUGUCUUUGUUGCGGUUUCUCUUUAGGAAUUUGAUGAACUUUCUUGACAGCAAGCUAAGGUUUUCCUCAUCACUAUCAUCACUGGAUUCUUGUUUUCCGUUGUGCUUGGAAGCUUUUAAGGCUAUGCUCCUUGUGUGCUUGUCUUCACUCUCUUGAACAUUGAGUCUAUUCAUCUCUAACUCAUGUUCCCUAAGCUUUCCAAACAAAGAAGCAACACUUAAUGAUGUUAGAUCUUUAGAUUCGGAAAUAGCAGUUACCUUGGGUUGCCAUGCUCUCAUGAGAUGAUUGAUGAUGUGCGUGAAUCUUUUCUGCACCUCAACAAUUGUUUCUCCUUUAAGCAUUCUGAACAUCUCAUACUCUUGGAUUAGAGCAUGCUUCCUAGCUCUCUUCACCUCAUUUGUUCUUUCAUGAGUGACUUCCAAGGUGUCCCACAUUUCUUUUGAUAAUUUGCAUUGGGAGACCCUGAAAAACUCAUCAGAAUUUAAAGCAGAGGUUAUAAUAUUUUUUGGCAAUGCAAUCGAAUUUGGCCUUUUUGCUUUCUGCAUCAGUCCAUUGAGAACAUGGCUUCUCAAUGCAAGAUCCAUCUUUUCAAACUUUGGGAUAAAAGGACCAUUUUCAAUUGCAUCCCAAAUUCUUUUGUCAAGUGAUUCCAUAAAUAUUUUCAUUAUCACUUUCCAAAAUUGGUAGUUCAAACCACAAAACAGAGGUGGUCUGUUAAUUGAAGCACCUUCCCCAAAAGGUAGUCUAUCAGCCAUUUUAAAAAAAGUUUUAGGAUCAACUUGAAUAACUUUCAAGAACCAAACUCUUGAUGCCAAUUGUUAGAAUGGAUGACUUUAAACUAGAGGGGGGUGAAUUGUUUAAAGGGGGUUUUCACAAACUUUUAAAACAAGAAUGAAAUUAUCUCAAGAAACAAUUGAUAAGAAAUUCAGUUUGGCAAAACAACAAUAAAAAACAGCAGUACCAGAAAAACAAUCGGUUGUUUCAUAGAAACAAUCGGUUGUUUAUACCACCAAACAACAAACAAAACUGAAUUUAAAGAGUUUAAGGAUAGAGAGAUUGCACACAGAUGUUUAUACUGGUUCACUCCAAAUCCAGAGCUACAUCCAGUCUUCUCAAAAACCCUGAGGAAAUCCACUAAGCAAUCAAACCUUGAUCACUUACACCACAACCAAGAAAGUGACCUUGAACACCUCAAGACACACACUCUUCUUGGCCAACACACCAACACUAAGAUUGCUGAUCUUGAUCCCCUCAAGAACACACAACCAAUCUCAGCAAACACAGAAAUGAAACUUGUUCAGCAGAGUACAAGGAUUACACUUGUUACAAAAGAUAAUCUGAAAUCAAUACAAGCAGAAUCCUAUUCCACACACUUUGAUCAAUCACAAACUCUAAGCAAUCUCAGCUCUUUGAAAAACUCAAAAACUCUUUUCAAAAUCUUGUAAAAGAUUGUUACUCAAAUCUGUUAUUCUGAAUUUAUUCAAAGAUGUUGGUUGUUAUCAAAUCUUAACAAACUCUUAAAUUGCAUUAAAAGAUUGGUCAAAGCAUUUAAUGACUGGAGCGCAAGCAGUUAAAUCAUUAAAAGCUCAGUCAAAGAUAAAAUAAUUUUUCUGUAAUGGUCCCAAAACAAAAAAUCGGUUGUUUCCUCGAAUCAAUCAGUUGUUUUGGUUUUAACAGCAUAACCAUUUGAAAAUCAGUUUUCAAUAUUUUCUCAAAAUAUCUAAGUAUAAACAAUCGGUUGUUUCAACAAAACAAUCGGUUGUUUUAACUUAGUUUGAAAAGCAUUUCACUUUCACAAAGAUUGAGAAUGCCUAUGCUUUAGAUUUAAUCAAAGGGUGGAUUACAACACUCAAACUACCCCAGAACUAAACUAAACCAGCACAACAACAACAAACAAAACCAAGGCUUCAACAUUCUUCAAAGGGUUUGGAUUCUUCAAACCUUGAACACCACAUGGUUCAACAAUAGUUUCUUCCUGAAAUUCCACGUAAGAAUCUCCACUGAAUUUGGGACAAAACGCGACAAAUUUCAGGUCAAACGGAUGAGUAUUCACCCACGAAAAAAAUCAAUCAGUUUCACACACAAACAGACCUUCCUAUCGGCCCUGGCAGUGAUGAAUAAAAAUAUUAUUGCCAAUCUUGAGGGACAAAUCUGGGGCUCAAAUCUCAGCCAAAACUCAGUAGACACAGUGACGAACGUCUGGUAAAAAUUUCAGACCAAAAUACCCAAGGCGUAAGACGUAGUAAGUCCGAGACCGAGAGUGAACAAAAUUGGUUUUCCGAAAACAAAACGUCCUGACUUUUCUCCCCCGUAUCUUCUUCUUGUGAUUUGUUUAUGGACGUGCCUCCUUAUCUUGGUGCAAACAACAUAUGAAAGUACUUGUCUGAAUUUUUUCAGCGCUAUAAAACUUAGGAUAAAAUUUCAGAAAGUAAGGCGAAAUUUCACAAGUUUUUUUAAAGGAUAGCCUUGGUUUGCACAAAAUUUCUUAAAAAUGCUCUUAAAAUAGUUUUUUUCUUGAAAUUCCACAUAAGAAUAUCCACUAUAUUUGGCAAAAAACGCGAAAAAUUUCAGGUCAAACGGAUGAGUAUUCACCCACGAAAAAAAUCAAACAGUUUCACACAAACAAACUUUCAUUUCGGCACUAGUAGUGAUGAAUAAAAAAUUUAUUGCCAAUCUUGUGGGACGAAUCUGGGACUCAAUUCUCAGACAAAACUCAGUAGCCACAGUGACGAACGUUUAGAAAAAAUUCCAGAAUAAAAUACCCAAGGAGUAGGGUGAGUGAGUCCCAGAUAGAGAGUGAACAAAAACUGUUUUCCGAAUACAAAACGUCCUAGCUUUUCUUUCCCAUAUCUUCUUUUUGUGAUUUGUUUAUUGACAUGCUUUCUUACUUGGGUGCAAACAACAUAUGAAAGUACUUGUCUGAAUUUUUUCAGCGCAAUACGGACCCAUAAUAAAAUUUCAGAAAGUAAGGCGAAAUUUCACAAGUUUUGGUAGAGAGAUAGCCUUGGUUUGCACAAAAUUUAUGAAAAAUUCUCUUAAAAUACUUUUUUCCUGAAAUUUCACGUAAGAAUCUCCACUGAAUUUGGGACAAAACGCGACAAAUUUCAGGUCAAAUGGAUGAGUAUUCACCCACAAAAAAACAGUUUCACACAAUAACGGACCUUCCUUUCGGCCCUGACAGUGAUGAAUAAAACAUUUAAUGCCAAUUUCGUGGGACGAAUCUGGGGCUCAAAUCUUAGCCAAAAGACAGUAGACACAGUAACGAACGUCUAGUAAAAAUUUCAGACCAAAAUACCCAAGGCGUAAGACGUAGUAAGUCCGAGACCGAGAGUGAACAAAAUUGGUUUUCCGAAAACAAAACGUCCUGACUUUUCUCCCCCGUAUCUUCUUCUUGUGAUUUGUUUAUGGACGUGCCUCCUUAUCUUGGUCCAAACAACAUAUGAAAGUACUUGUCUGAAUUUUUCAGCGCGAUACAGACUUAGAAUAAAAUUUCAGAAAGUAGGGCGAAAUCUCACAAGUUUUGGUAAAGGAUAGCCUUGGUUUGCACAAAUUUUUUGAAAAAUGCUCUCAAAAUAGUUAUUUCCUGAAAUUCCAGUGAAGAAUCUUCACUGAAUUUGGGAAAAAACGCGAAAAAUUUCAGGUCAAACGGAUGAGGAUUCACCAACGAAAAAAAUCAAAUAGUUUCACACACAAACAAACCUUCAUUUCGGCCCUGGCAGUGAUGAAUAAAAAAUUUAUUGCCAAUCUUGUGGGACGAAUCUGGGGCUCAAUUCUCAGCCAAAACUCAGUAGACACAGUGACGAACGUAUAGAAAAAAAUUCCAGACCAAAAUACUCUAGGAGUAGGGCGUAGUAAGUCCCAGACAGAGAGUGAACAAAAACUAUUUUCCGAAAACACAACGUCCUAGCUUUUCUCCCCCGUAUAUUCAUUUUGUGAUUUGUUUAUGGACAUGCUUUCUUACCUUGGUGCAAAUAUGAAAGUACUUGUCUGAAUUUUUUCAACGCAAUACGAACCCAUAAUAAAAUUUCAAAAAGUAGGGCGAAAUUUCACAAGUUUUGGUAGAUGAUAUCCCUGGUUUGCACAAAAGUUAUGAAAAAUUCUCUUGAAAUAAUUUUUUCCUGAAAUUCCACGUUAUAAUCUCCACUGAAUUUGGGACAGAACGCGACCAAAUUUCAGGUCAAACGAUGAUUAUUCACCCACGAAAAAAAUCAAACAGUUUGACACACAAACGGACCUUCCUUUCGGCCCUGGCAGUGAUGAAUAAAAAAUUUAUUGUCAAUCUUGUGGGAGGAAUGUGGGGCUCAAAUUUCAGCCAAAACUUAGUAGGCACAGUGACGAACGUCUGGUAAGAAUUUCUUUCCAAAAUACCCAAGGUGUAAGGCGUAGCAAGUCCCAGCCAGAGAGUAAAAAAAUUCGUUUUCCGAAAAGAAAACGUCCUGGCUUUUCUCCCCCGUAUCUUCUUUUUGUGAUUUGUUUAUGGACGUGCCUCAUUACCUGGGUGCAAACAACAUAUGAAAGUACUUGUCUGAGUUUUUUCAGCGCAAUACGGACCCAGAAUAAAAUUUCAUAAAGUACGGCGAAAUUUUACAAGUUUUGGUAGAGCAUAAGCUAGUUUGCACAACAUUUUUGAAAAAUUCUUCCGAAAUAGUUUUUUCCUGAAAUUCCACGUAAGAAUCUCCACUGAAUUUAGGACUUAGCGCGACAAAUUUCAGGUCAAACGGAUGAGCAUUCACCCACAAAAAACUCAAACAGUUUCACACACAAACAAACGAUCCUUCCUUUCGGCCGUGACAGUGAUGAAUAAAAAAUUUAUUGCUAAUUUUGUGGGACGAAUCUGGGGCUUAAAUCUAAGCCAAAACUCAUUAGAGAUAGUGAUGAACAUCUGGUAAAAAUUUCAUACCAAAAUACCCAAGGAGUAAGGCGUAGCGAGUCCCAUACUGAGAGUGAACAAAACUGGUUUACCGAAAAGAAAACAUCCUGACUUUUCUCCCGCGUAUCUUCUUUUUGUGAUUUGUUUAUGGACUUGCCUCCUUACACGGGUGCAAAUAACAUAUGAAAGUACUUGUCUGAAUUUUUUCAGUGCAGUACAGACCCAAAAUAAAAUUUCAGAAAGUGGGGCGAAAUUUCACAAGUUUUGGUAGAGGAUAGCCUUGGUUUGCAAAAAAUUUCUGAAAUAUUCUCCCGAAAUAGUUUUUUCUUGAAAUUUGAUGUAAGAAUCUCCACUGAAUUUGGGACAAAAAGCGAAAAAUUUCAGGCCAAACAGUUUCACACACAAACGAACCUUCCUUUCGGCUAUGGCAGUGAUGAAUCUGGGACUCAAAUGUCAGCCAAACCUCAGCAGACAAAAUGACGGACGUCUGAAAAAAAUUGCAGAUAAAAGUACCUAAGGAGUAAGGCGUAGUAAGUCCCAGACGGAGAGUGAACAAAACGUGUUUUCCGAAAAGAAAACGUCCUAGCUUUUCUCUCCAGUAUCUUCUUUUUGUGAUUUGUUUAUGGACGUGCCUCUUUACUUGGGUGGAAACAACAUAUGAAAGUACUUGUCUGAGUUUUUUCAGCGCAAUACGGAUCCAGAAUAAAAUUUCAUAAAGUACGGCGAAAUUUUACAAGUUUUGGUAGAGGAUAAGCUAGUUUGCACAAAAUUUUUGAAAAAUUCUCCCGAAAUAGUUUUUUCCUGAAAUUCCACGUAAGAAUCUCCACUGAAAUUGUGACAAAACACGACAAAUUUCAGGUCAAACAGAUGAGUAUUCCCCCACAAAAAAAUCAAACAGUUUCACACACAAACGAACCUUCCUUUCGGCUCCGACAGUGAUGAAUAAGUAAUUUAUUGCCAAUCAUGUGGGACGAAUCUGGAGCUCAAUUCUAAGCCAAAACUCAGUAGACACAAUGACGAACGUCUGGUAAAAAUUUCAAACCAAUAUACUGAAGGCAUAAGGUGUAGUAAGUCCGAGACCGAGAGUGAACAAAAGUGGUUUUCCGAAAACAAAACGUCCUGGCAUUUCUCCCCCAUAUCUUCUUUUAGUGAUUUGUUUAUGGUCGUGCCUCCUUACAUGGGUGCAAACAACAUAUGAAAGUACUUAUGUGAAUUUUUUCAGCGCAAUACGAACCCAAAAUAAAAUUUCAAAAAGUACGGCGAAAUUUCACAAGUUUUGGUACAAGAUAGCCUUCGUUUGCACAAAAUUUAUGAAAACUUAUCGCGAAAUAAUUUUUUCCUGAAAUUCCACGUAAGAAUCUCCACUGAAUUUAGGAUUUAACGCGACAAAUUUCAGGUCCAACGGAUGAGCAUUCACCCACAAAAAACUCAAACAGUUUCACACACAAACGAACCUUCCUUUCGGCGCCAAUAGUGAUGAAUACAAAUUUUAUUGCGAAUCUUGUCGUAAGAAUCUGGGACUCAAAUCUCAGCCAAAACUCAGUAGACACAGUGACAAACGCCUGGUAAAAAUUUCAGACCAAAAUACCUAAGGAGUAAGGCGUAGUAAGUCCCAGACCGAGAGUGAACAAAACUGGUUUUCCGAAAACAAAACGUCCUGGUUUUCUCCCCCGUAUCUUCUUGUAAUUGUUUUAUGGACAUGGCUCCUUACCUAGCUGCAAACAACAUAUGAAAGUAGUUGUCUGAAUUUUUCAGCGCAAUACGGACCCAGAAUAAAAUUUCAGAAAGUAGGACGAAAUUUCACAAGUUUUGGUAGAGGAUAGCCUUGGUUUCCACAAAAUUUCUGAAAAAUUAUCCCGAAAUAGUUUUUUCCUGAAAUUCCACGUAAGAAUUUCAAUUAAAUUUGGGACAAAACGCGACAAAUUUCAGGUCAACGGAUGAGUAUUCACCUACGAAAAAAAUUUAACAGUUUGUUCGAACAUUCCUUUCGACCAUAGCAGUUUUUUAAUAAAAAAUUAAUUCCCAAUCUUGUGGGACGAAUCUUGGGCUCAAAUCUUAGCCAAAACUCAUUAGACACAGUGACGAACGUCUGGUAAAAAUUUCAUACCAAAAUACCCAAGGAGUAAGGCGUAGUCAGUCCCAAACCGAGAGUGAACAAAAUUGGUUUUCCGAAUACAAGAUUUCCUGGCUUUUCUCCCCCGUAUCUUCUUUUUGUGAUUUGUUUAUUGACGUGCUUCCUUACCUGGAUGCAAACAACAUAUGAAAGUACUUGUCUGAAUUUUUUCAGCGCAAUACAGACCCAGAAUAAAUUAUCAAAAAGUAGGGCGAAAUUUCAAGAGUUUUGGUAGUGGAUAGCUUUGGUUUGCACAAAAUUUCUGAAAAAUUCUUCGAAAAUAGUUUUUUCAUGAAAUUCCAAGUAAGAAUCUCCACUGAAUUUGGGACAAAACGCGACAAAUUUCAGGUCAAACGGAUGAGUAUUCACCCACGAAAUAAAUCAAACAGUUUCACACACAAACAAACCUUCCUUUUAUCCAUGGCAGGGAUGAAUAAAAAAUUUAUUUUCAAUCUUGUGGGACGAAUCUGGGGCUCAAAUCUCAAGAAAAACAUAGCAGACACGGUGACAAACGUCUGGUCACUUGUUUGAAUUUUUUCAGCGCAAGACGAACCCAAAAUAAAAUUUCAGAAAGUAUGGCCAAAUUUCACAAGUUUUGGUAGAGGAUAACCUUGGUUUGCACAAAAUUUAUGAAAAAUUCUCCCGAAAUAGUUUUUUCCUGAAAUUUCACGUAAGAAUCUCUACUAAAUUUGGGCCAAAACGCGACAAAUAUCAGGUCAAACGGAUGAGUAUUCAACCAUAAAAAAAAUCAAACAGUUUCACACACAAACGAACCUUCCUUUCGGCCCUGGUAGUGAUGAAUUAAACAUUUAUUGCCAAUCUUGUGGGUCAAAUUUGGGGCUCGAGUCUCAGCCAAAACUCAGUAGACACAGUGAUAAAUGUCUGGUCACUUGUCUGGGUUUUUUCAGCGUAAUACGGACCCAGAAUAAAAUUUUAGAAAGUAGGGCCAAAUUUCACAAGUUUUGGUAGAGGAUAGCAUUGGUUUGCACAAAUUUUCUGAAAAAUUCUCCCGAAAUUGUUUUUCCCUCAAAUUCCAUGUAAGAAUCUUCAUUGAAUUUGGAACAAAACGCGACAAAUUUCAGGUCAAACGGAGGAGUAUUCACACAUGAAAAAAACAAAACAGUUUCACUCACAAACGAACCUUCCUUUCGGUCGUAGCAGUGAUGAAUAGAUAAUUUAUUGCCAAUAUUGUGGGACGAAUCUAGAGCUCAAAUCUCAUCCAAAACUCAAUAGAGAAAGUGGCGAAGUUUUGGUAAAAAUUUCAUACCAAAAUACCGAAGAAGUAAGGCGUAGUAAGUUCCAUACCGAGAGUGAACAAAACUGGUCUUCCAAAAACAGAACGUCCUGAAUUUUCUCCACCGUAUAUUCUUUUUGUGAUUUCUUUAUGGACGUGCCUCCUUCCCUGGGUGCAAAAAACAUAUGAAAGUACUUGUCUGAAUUUUUUAAGCGCAAUACAGACUCAGAAUAAAAUUUCAGAAAGUAGGGCGAAAUUUCACAAGUUUUGGUAAAGGAGCCUUGGUGUGCACAAAGUUUCUGAAAAAUUCACCCGAAAUAGUUUUUCUCUGAAAUUCCACGUACGAAUCUCCACUGAAUUUGGGACUUAACGCGAAAAAAUUUCAGUUCAAACGGAUGAGUAUUCACCCACGAAAAAUAUCAAACAGUUUCACACACAAACGAACUUUCCUUUUGGCCCUGGCAGUGAUGAAUAAAAAAUUUAUUGCCAAUCUUGUGGCACGAAUCUGGGGCUCAAAUAUCAGCCAAAACACAUUAGACACAGUGACGAACGUCUGGUAAAAAUUUUAGACGAAAAUACCCAAGGACUAAAGUGUAGUAAGUCCUAGACCGAGAGUGAACAAAACUGGUUUUCCAAAAAUAAAACGUCCUGGUAUUUAUCCCCCGUAUCUUCUUUUUGUGAUUUGUUUAUGGACGUUCCUCCUUACCUGGGGGCAAAAAACAUAUGAAAGCAUUUGUCUUAAUUUUUUCAGAGCAAUACGGACGAAGAAUAAAAUUUCAGAAAGUAUGCCGAAAUUUCACAUGAUUUGGUAGAGGAUACACUUGGUUUCGACAAAAUUUCUGAAAAAUUCUCCCAAAAUAUUUUUUCCUGAAAUUCCACGUAAAAAUAUCCACUGAAUUUGGGACAAAACGCGAAAAAUUUUAGGUCAAACGGAUGAGUAUUCACGUACGAAAAAAAUCAAAUAGUUUCACACACAAACAAACCUUCCUUUCGACCCUGGCAGUGAUGAAUAAAAAAUUUAUUACGAAUCUUGUGGGACGAAUCUGGGGCUCAAAUGUCAACCAAAACUUAGUAGACACAGUGACGAACGUCUGGUAAAAAUUUUAGACCAAAAUACCCAAGGAGUAAGGCAUAGUAAGUCCGAGACCGAAACUGAACAAAACUGGUUUUCCGGAAACAAAACGUCUAGGAUUUUCUUCCCAGUAUCUUCUUUUUUGUGUUUUUGUUUAUGGACGUACCUCCUUACCUGGGUACAAACAACAUAUUUGAAAGCACUUGUCUGAAUUUUUUCAGCGCAAUACGGACCCAGAAUAAAAUUACAGAAUGUACGGAGAAAAUUCACAAGUUUUGGUAGAGGAUAGCCUUGGUUUGCACAAAAUUUCGGAAAAAUUCUCCCGAAAUAGUUUUUUCCUGAAAUUCCAUGUAAGAAGCUCCAUUGAAUUUGGGACAAAACGCGACAAAUUUUAGCUCAAACAGAUGAGUAUUCACCCAAGAAAAAAAUCAAAUAGUUUCACACACAAACAAACCUUCCUUUCGACCCUAGCAGUGAUGAAUAAAAAAUUUAUUGUGAAUCUUGUGGGACGAAUUUGGGGCUCAAAUGUCAACCAAAACUUAGUAGACACAGUGACGAACAUCUGGUAAAAAUUUCAGACAAAAAUACCUAAGGAGUAAGGCGUAGUAAGUCCCAGACCGAGAGUGAACACAACUGGUUUUCCGAAACAAAACGUCAUGGCUUUUCUCCUACGUAUCUUCUUUAUGUUAUUUGUUUAUGGACGUCGCUCCUUAUCUGGGUGAAAACAACAUAUGAAGGUAUAUGUCUGAAUUUUUUCAACGCAAUACGGACUCAGAAUAAAACUUCAGAAAGUAGGGGAAUAUUCCACAAGUUUUGGUAGAGGAUUGCCUUGGUUUGCUCAAAAUUUCUGAAUUUGACGCAAAACGCGAUAAAUUUCAGGUCAAACGGAUGAGUAUUCACCCAUGAAAAAAAUCAAACAGUUUCGCACACAAACAAACCUUCGUUUUAGCUCACAAAAAAAAAUCAAACAGUUUCACACAGAAAGGAACCUUCGUUUCGGCCUUGGCUUUGAUGAAUAAAAAAUAUAUUGCCAAUCUUGAGGGACGAAUCUGGGGCUCAAAUCUCAACUAAAACUCAAUAGACACAGUGACGAACGUCUGCUAAAUAUUUCACACCAAAAUACCCAAGGACUAAGGCGUAAUAAGUCCCAGACCGCGAGUGAACAAAACUGGUUUUCCGAAAACAAAACGUCCUGGCUUUUGUUCCCCGUAUCUUCUUUUUCUGAUUUUUUUAUUGCGUGUCUCCUUACCUGGGUGCAAAAAACAUAUAAAAGUACUUGUAUGAAUUUUUUCAGUGCAAUACGGACCCAGAAUAAAAUUUCAGAAAGUAGGGCGAAAUUUCACAAGUUUUGAUAAAGGAUAUAGCUUUGGUUUGAACAAAAUUUCUUAAAAAUUCUCUCGAAAUAGUUUUUUCCUACAAUUUCACGUAAGAAUGUACACUGAAUUUGGGACAAGACGCGACAAAUUUCAGUUCAAACGGAUGAGUAUUCACCCACCAAAAAAAUCAAACAGUUUCACACUGAAACGAACUUUAAUUUCGGCCUUGGCUGUGAUGAAUAAAAAAUUUAUUGCCAAUCUUGUGGGACGAAUCUGGGGCUCAAAUCUCAUCCAAAACUCAGUAGACACAGUCACGAACGUCUGGUAAAAAAUUCAGACCAAAAUACGCAAGGAGAAAGGCGUAGUAAGUCCUAGACCGAGAGUGAACAAAACUGGUUUACCGAAAACAAAACGUCCUGGCUUUUCUCCCUCGUAUCUUCUUUUUGUGAUUUGUUUAUGGACGUGCCUCCUUACCUGGGUGCAACCAACAUAUGAAAGUACUUGUUUGAACUUUUUCAGUGCAAUAGGACCCAGAAUAAAAUUUCAGAAAGUAGGGCGAAAUUUCACAAGUUUUGAUAUAGGAUAGCCUUGGUUUGAACAAUAUUUCUGAAAAAUUCUCCCGAAAUAGUUUUUUCCUAAAAUUCCAAGUAGGAAUCUCCACUGAAUUUGGGACAAAACACACAGAUUUCAGUUCAAUCGGAUGAGUAUUCACCAACGAAAAAUAUCAAAGAGUUUCACACACAAACGAACUUUCCUUUUGGCCCUGGUAGUCAUGAAUAAAAAAUUUAUUGCCAAUCUUGAGGCACGAAUCUGGGUCUCAAAUAUCAGAAAUCACAGUAGACACAGUGACGAACGUCUGGUAAAAAUUCCAUACGAAAAUACCCUAGGAGUAAGGCGUACUAAGAACCAGACCGAGAGUGAACAAAACUGGUUUUCCGAAGACAAAACUUGAUGGAUUUUUUCCCCAUAUCUUCUUUUUGUGAUUUUUUUAUAAUCGUGCCUCCUUACCUAAGUCCAAACAACAUAUGAAAGUACAUGUCCAAAUUUUUUCAGCAUAAUAUAGACCCAGAAAAAAAUUUCAUAAAUUAGGGCAAAAUUUGGAAAGUUAUGUGAGAGGACAACUUUGGUUUGCACAAAAUUAAUGAAAAAUUCUCCCAAAAUAUUUUUUCCUGAAAUUCUAGGUAAAAAAUCUCGACUGAAUUUGGGACAAAACGCCACAAAUUUCAGGUCAAUUGGAUGAGUAUUCACGCAAGAAAAAAAUCAAACAAUGUCACACACAAAUCGACCUUCCUUUCGGCCCUAACAGUGAUGAAUUAAAAAUUUAUUGCCAAUCUUGUGGGACGAAUCUGGGGCUCAAAUCUUAGCCAAAAGUCAGUAGAUACAGUGACAAACGUCUGGUAAAUAUUUCAUACCAAAAUACAAAAGGAGUAAGGCGCAGUAAGUCCCAGACUCAGAGUGAACAAAAUUGGUUUUCCGAAAACAAAACGUCCUGGCUUUUGUCCCCCGUAUCUUCUUUUUGUGAUUUGUUUAUGGAAGAUCCUCCUUAGAAGGGUGCAAACAACAUAUGAAAGUACUUUUCUAGAUUUUUUCAGCGUAAUACGGACCCAGGAUAAAAUUUCAGAAAGUAGGGCGAAAUUUCACAAGUUUUGGUAGAGGGUGGAAGCCUUGGUUUUACACAAAUUUUCUGAAAAAUUCUCCCGAAAUAGUUUCUUCCUGAAAUACCACGUCAGAAUCUCCACUGAAUUUGGGACAAAACGCGACAAAUUUCAGGUCAAACGGAUGAGUAUUCUCUCACGAAAAAAAUCAAUCAAUUUCACACACAAACGAACCUUCCUUUCGGCCCUGGCAGUGAUGAAUAAAAAAUUUAUUGCCAAUCUUGUGGACUAAUCUGGCCGCAAAUCUCAGGCAAAACUCAGUAGACACAGUGAUGAACAUCUGGUAAAAAUUUAAGAGCAAAAUACCUAAGGAGUAAGGCGUAGUAAGUCGCAGACAGAGAGUGAACAACACUGGUUUUCCGAAAACAAAACGUCCGUGCUUUUCUCCUCCGUAUCUUCUUUUUGUGAUUUGUUUAUGGACGUGCCUCCUUACCUGGGUGCAAACACAAUAUGAAAGUACUUGUCUGAAUUUUUUCAGCGCAAUACAAACCCAUAAUAAAAUUUCAGAAAGUAGGGCGAAAUUUCACAAGUUUUGGUAGAGGGUAGCCUUGGUUAGCACAAAAUUUCUGAAAAAUUCUCCCCAAAUAGUUUUUUCCUGAAAUACCACGUAAGAAUCUCCACUGAAUUUGGGAAAAAACGUGACAACUUUCAGGUUAAACGGAUGAAUAUUCACCGACCAAACAAAUCAAACAGUUUAACACACAAAAGAACCUUCCUUUCGGCCUUGGCAGUGAUGAAUAAAAAAUUUAUUGACAAUCUUGUCGGACAAAUCUGGGCCUAGAAUCUUAGCUAAAACUCAAUUGACACAGUGACGAAUGUCAGGUAAAAAUUUCAUACCAAAAUACCCAAGGAGUAAGGCGUAGUAAGUCCCAGACCGGGAGUGAACAAAACUGGUUUAUCGAAAACAAAACGUCCUGGCUUUUCUGCCCCGUAUCUUAUUUUUGUGAUUUGUUUAUGGAGGUGCCUCCUUACCUGGGUGCAAACAACAUAUGAAAGUACUUGUCUAAAAUUUUUCAACGCCAUACGAACCCAGAAUAAAAUUUCAGAAAGUAGUGCGAAAUUUCACAAGUUUUGGUAGAGGAUAUAGCCUUGGUUUCCACAAAAUUUCUGAAAAAUUCUCCCGAAAUAGUUUUUUCCUGAAAUUCCACGUAAGAAUCUUUACUGAAUUUGGGACAAAACGCGACAAAUUUAUGGUCAAACGGAUGAGGAUUCACCCACGAAAAAAAUCAAACAGUUUCAUUGACAAACAAAUUAUCCUUUUGGCCCUAGCAGUGAUGAAUUAAAAAUUUAUUGUGAAUCUUGUGGGACGAAUCUGGGGAUCGAAACUCAGCCAAAACUCAGUAGAGACAGUGACGAACGUCUGCGAAAAAUUUCAGACCAAAAUACCCAAGGAGUAAGGGGUAGUAAGUCCCAAACUGAGAGUGAACAAAACUAGUUUUUCGAAAACAAAACGUCCUGGAUUUUCUCCCCCGUAUCUUCUUUAUGUGAUUUGUCUACGAAAAUACUUGUCUGAAUUUUUCCAGCGCAAUAGGACCCAUAAUAAAAUUCCAGAAAGUAAGGCGAAAUUUCACAAGUUUUGGUAGAGGAUAGCCUUGGUUUGCACAAAAUUUCUCCCGAAAUAAUUUUUUCCUACAAUUCCACGUAGGAAUCUCCAUUGAAUUUGGGACAAAACGCGACAAAUUUCAGGUCAAACGGAUGAGUAUUCACCCACGAAAAAAUUCAAAUAGUUUCACACACAAACGAACCUUCCUUUCGGCCCUGGCAGUGAUGAAUAAAAAAUUUAAUGCCAAUCUUGUGGGACGAAUCUGGGUAUCAAAUUUCAGCCAAAAUUCAGUAGACACAAUGACGAACGUCUGGUAAAAAUUUCACACUAAAAUACCCCAGGACUAAGGCGUAAUAAGUCCCAGACCGAGAGUGAAAAAAACUGGUUUUCCCAAAACAAAACGUCUUGGCUUUUGUCCCCCGUAUCAUAUUUUUAUGAUUUGUUUAUGGACGUGCCUCCUUACCUGGCUGCAAACUAUAUAUGAAAGUACUUGUCUAAAUUUUUUCAGCGCAAUAGAACACAAAAUAAAAUUUCAGAAAGUAGCGCGAAAUUUCACAAGUUUUGGUACAGGAUAGCCUUGGUUUGCAAAAAAUUUCUGAAAAAUUCUCCCGAAAUAGUUUUUUCCUGAAAUUCCACGUAAGAAUCUCCACCGAAUUUGGGAAAAAACGCGAAAAAUUUUAGGUCAAGCGGAUGAGUAUUUACCCAUUAAAAAAAUCAAACAGUUUCACACACAAAUGAACCUUCCUUUCGGUCCUGGUAGUGAUGAAUAAAAAAUUUAUUGCAAAUCUUGUGGGACGAAUCUAGGGCUCAAAUCUUAACCAAAACUCAGUAGACACAGUGACAAACGUCUGGUAAAAAUUGCACACCAAAAUACCCAAGGACUAAGGCGUAAUAAGUCCCAGACCGAGAGUGAACAAAACUGGUUUUCCGAAAACAAAACUUCCUAGCUUUUGUCCCCCGUAUCUUCUUUUUCUGAUUUGUUUAUUGACGUGCCUCCUUACCUGGGUGCAAAAAACAUAUAAAAGUACUUGUGUAAAUUUUUUCAGCGUAAUAGGAUCCAGAAUAAAAUUUCAAAAAGUAGGGCGAAAUUUCACAAGUUUUGGUAGAGGAUAGCCUUGGUUUUAAGAAAAUUUCUGAAAAAUUCUCCCGAAAUAGUUUUUUCCUGAAAUUCCACGUAAGAAUUUCCAAAGAAUUUGGGACAAAACGCGACAAAUUUUAGGUCAAGCGGAUGAGUAUUCACACACGAAAAAAAUCAAACAAUUUCACACAAAACGAACCUUCGUUUCGGCCCUGGCUGUGAUGAAUAAAAAAUUUACUGAGAAUCUUGUGGGAAGAAUCUGGGGCUCAAAUCUUAGCCAAAACUCAAUAGACACAAUGACGAAGGUCUGGUAAAAAUUUCAGACCAAAAUACUCAAGGAGUAAGGCGUAGUAAGUCCCAGACCGAGAGUGAACAAAACUGGUUUUCCGAAAACAAAACAUCCUGGCUUUUCUCCCCUGUAUCUUCUUUUUGUGAUUUGUUUAUGGACGUGCCUCCUUACCUGGGUUCAAACAACAUAUGAAAGUACUUGUCUGAACUUUUUCAGCGCAAUAGGACCCAUAAUAAAAUUUCAGAAAGUAGGGCGAAAUUUCACAAGUUUUGGUAGAGGUUAGCCUUGGUUUGCACAAAAUUUCUAAAAAAAUUGCCCGAAAUAGUUUUUUCCUUAAAUUCCACGUAAGGAUCUCCACUGAAUUUGGGAGAAAACACACAAAUUUCAGGUCAAACAGAUGAGUAUUCAUCCACCAAAAAAAUCAAACAGUUUCACAGAGAAACGAACCUUUGUUUCGGCCUUGGCUGUGACGAAUAAAAAAUUUAUUGCCAAUCUUGUGGGACGAACCUGGGGCCCAAAUAUCAGCCAAAACUUAGUAGACAUAGUGGCGAACGUUUGGUAAAAAUUUCAGACCAAAAUACUCAAGAAGUAAGGCGUAGUAAGUCCCAGACCGAGAGUGCACAAAACUGGUUUUCCGAAAACAUACGUCCUGGCUUUUCUCCCCCGUAUCUUCUUUUUGUGAUUUGUUUAUGGACGUCCCUCCUUACCUUGGUGCAAACAACAUAUGAAAGUACUUGUCUGAACUUUUUCUGCACAAUAGGACCCAUAAUAAAAUUGCAGAAAGUUGGGCGAGGAUAGCCUUGGUUUGCACAAAAUUUCUGAAAAAAUCUCCCGAAAUAGUUUUUCCUAAAAUUCCACGUAAAAAUCUCCAAAGAAUUUGGGACAAAACGCGACAAAUUUCAGAUGAAACGUAUGAGUAUUCACCCACCAAAAAAAUCAUACAGUUUCACACUGAAACAAACUUUCGUUUCGACCUUGGCUGUGAUGAAUAAAAAAUUUAUUGCCAAUCUUGUGGGACAAAUUUGGGGCUCAAAUCUCAGGCAAAAAACUCAGUAGACACAGUGACGAACGUCUAGUAAAAAUUUCAUACCAAAACACCCAAGGAGUAAGGCGUAGUAUGUCCCAGACCAAGAGUGAACAAAACUGGUUUUCUGAAAACAAAACGUCCUAGCUUUUCUCCUCCCGCAUCUUCUUUUUGUGAUUUUUUUAUGGAUGUGCCUCCUUACCUGGGUGCUAUCAACUUAUGAAACUACUUGUCUGAAUUUUAUAACGCGCAAUAUGGACCCAGAAUAAAAUUCCAGAAAGUAGUGCGAAAUUUGACAAGGUUUGGUAGAGCUCGCCUUGGUUUGCACAAAAUUUCUGAAAAAUUCUCCCGAAAUAGUUUUUUCCUAAAAUUUCACGUAAGAAUCUCCACUAAAUUUGGGAGAAGACGUGACAAUUUUCAGGUCAAACAGAUGGGUAUGAACCCACCAAAAAAAAAUCAAACAGUUUCGCACUGAAACGAACUUUCGUUUCUGCCUUGGCUGUGAUGAAUAAAAAAUUUGUUAACAAUCUUGUGGGACGAAUCUGGGACUCAAAUCUCAUCCAAAACUCAGUAGACCCAGUGAUGAAUGUUUGGUAAAUAUUUUGGAAAAAAAUACCCAAGGAGUAAGGUGUAAUAAGUCCCAGACCGAGAGUGAACAAAACUGGUUCUUCGAAAACAAAACGUCCUGGCUUUUCUCCCCCGUUUUUUCUUUAGGUGAUUUGUUUAUUGACGUGAAUCCUUACCUGGGUGCAAAAAACAUAUAAAAGUACGUGUGUGAAUUUUUUCAGCGCAAUAGGACCCAGAAUUAAAUUGCAGAAAGAAUGGCGAAAUUUCACAAGUUUUGGUAGAGAAUAGCCUCAGUUUGCAGAAAAUUUCUGAAAAAUUCCUCCGAAAUAGUUUUUUCCUGAAAUUCCACGUAACAAUCUCCACUGAAUCUGGGACAAAAUGCGACAAAUUUCAGAUCAAACGGAUGAGUAUUCACCCACGAAAAAUAUCAAACAGUUUCACACACAAACGAACCUUCGUUUCGGCUCUGGCUGUGAUGAAUAAAAAAUUUAUUGCCAAUCUCUUGGAAGGAAUCUGGGGCUCAAAUCUCAUCCAAAACUCAAUAGACACAGUGACGAAUGUCUGGUAAAAAAAUUCAGACAAAAAUACCUAAGGACUAAGGCGUAGUAAGUCCCAGACCGAGAGUGAACAAAACUGGUUUUCCGAAAACAAAACGCCUACCUUUUCUCCCCCGUAUCUUCUUUUUGUUAUUUGUUUAUGGACGGGACUCCUUACCUGGGUGCAAACAAUAUAUGAAAGUACUUGUCUGAACUUUUUCAGCGCAAUAGGACCCAGAAUAAAAUUUCAGAAAGUAGGGCGAAAUUUCACAACUUUUGUAGAGGAUAGCCAGGGUUUGCACAAAAUUUCUAAAAAUUUUCCCGAAAUAGUUUUUUCCUAAAAUUCCACGUAAGAAUCUCCACUGAUUUUUGGACAAAACGCGAUAAAUUUGAGGUCAAACGGAUGAGUAUUCGCCCACACAAAAAAUCAAACAGUUUCACAUUCAAACGAACCUUCGUUUCGGCCUUGGCUGUGAUGAAUAAAAAAUUUAUUGCCAAUCUUGUGAGACGAAUCUGGGGCUCAAAUCUCAGCCAAAACUCAGUAAACACAGUGACGAACGUCUGGUAAAAAUUUCAGACCAAAAUACGCAAGGAGUCAGGCGUAGUAAGUCCCAAACCAAGAGUGAACAAAACGGGUUUUUUGAAAACAGAACAUCUUGGCUCUUCUCCCCCGUAUCUUCUUUUUGUGAUUUUUUUAUGGACGUGCCUCCUUACCUGGGUGCAAAAUUUUUUUAUCGCUAUAGGAAGCAGAAUAAAAUUUCAGAAAGUAGGGCGAAAUUUCACAAGUUUUGGUAGAGGAUAACCUUGGUUUGCACAAAAUUUCUGAAAAAUUCUACCGAAAUAGUUUUUUCCUAAAAUUCCACGUAGGAAUCUCCACUGAAUUUGGAACAAAAAGCAACAAAUUUCAGGUCAAACGGAUGAGUAUUCACCUACGAAAAAUAUCAAAAAUUUUCACAAAAACACAAACCUUCCUUUCGGCCCUAGUAAUGAUGAAUAAAAAAUGUAUUGCUAAUCUUAUGGGACGAAUCUGGGGCUCGAAUCUCAGUCAAAACUCAGUACACACAGUAACGAACCUCUGGUAAAAGUUUCAGACCAAAAUACCCAAGGCGUAAUGCGUAGUAAGUCCAAAACCAAGAGUGAUCAAAACUGGUUUUCCGAAAACAAAAGGUCCUGGCUUUUCUCCCCCGUAUCAUUUUUUGUAAUUUAUUUAUGGACGUGCCUCCUUACUUUGGUGCAAACAACAUAUGAAAGUACUUGUGUGAAAUUUUUCAGCACAAUAUGGACCCAUAAUAAAAUUUCAGAAAGUAGGGCAAAAUUUCACAAGUUUUGGUAGAGGAUAGCCCUGGUUUGCACAAAAUUUAUGAAAAACUAUCCCGAAAUAGUUUCUUUCUGAAAUUCCACAUAAGAGUCUCCACUGAAUUUGGGACAAAAGUCCACAAAUUUCAGGUCAAACGGAUGAGUAUACACCCACGACAAAAAUCAAACAUUUUCACACAAAAACAAAUUAUCCAUUCGACCCUGGCAGUGAUGAAUAAAAAAUUUAUUGGCAAUAUUGUAGGACGAAUCUAGCGCUUAAAUAUCAGCCAAAACUCAGUAGACACAGUGACGAACGUCUAGUAAAAAUUUCAGACCAAAAUACCAAAUGAGUAAGGCGUAGUAAGUCCAGACCAAGAGUGAACAAUACUUGUUUUCCGAAAACAAAACGUCCUGGCUUUUCUCCCCCGUAUCUUGUUUUUGUGAUUUGUUUAUGGACGUGCCUCCUUACCUAGAUGCAAAAAAAAAAAAAUCAAAGUACUUGUCUGAACUUUUUCAGCGCAAUACGGACUUAGAAUAAAAUUUCAGAAAGAAGGACGAAAUUUCACAAGUUUUGGUAGAGGAUAGCCUCGGUUUGCACAAAAUUUCUGAAAAAUUCUCCCGAAAUAGUUUUUUCCUGAAAUUCCACGUAAGAAUCUCCACUGAAUUUGGGACAAAACAUGACAAAUUUCAAGUCAAACAGAUGAGUAUUCACCCACGAAAAAAAUCAAAGAUUUUCACACACAAACGAACCUUCCUGUCGGCCCUGGCAGUGAUGAAUAAAAACUUCAUUGCCAAUUUUGUGGGACAAAUCUGGGGCUCAAAUCUCAGCCAAAACUCAUUAGACACAGUGACGAACGUUAGGUAAAAAUUUCAGACCAAAAUACCCAAGGAAUAAGGCAUAGGAAGUCCCAGACCGAGAGUGAAAAAAACUAGUAUUUCGAAGAAAAAAAAACGUCUUCGCUUUUCUCCCCUGUAUCUUCUUUUUGUGAUUUGUUUAUUGACAUCCCUCCUUAACUGGGUGCAAAAAAUAUAUGAAAGUACUUGUCUGAAUUUUUUUAGCUCAAUACGUACCCAGAAUAAAAGUUGAGAAAGUAGGGCAAAAUUGCAAGAGUUUUGGUAGAGGAUAGCCUUGGUUUGCACAAAAUUUCUGAAAAAAAUCUUACGAAAUAGUUUCUUCCUGAAAUUCCACGUAAGUAUCUCAUCUGAAUUUGGGACAAAACGCGACAAAUUUCAAGUCAAACGGAUGAGUAUUCACCCACGAAAAAAAUCAAACAGUUUCAUACACAAACGAACCUUCCUUUCGGCCUUGGCAGUGAUGAAUGAAAAAUUUAUUUUCAAUCUUGUGGGACGAAUCUGGAGCUCAAAUAUCAGCCAAAACUCAGUAGACACAGUGACGAACGUCAGGUAAAAAUUUCAGAACAAAAUACCCAAGGAAUAAGGCAUAAGAAAUCCCAGACCGAGAGUGAACAAAACUUGUUUUCUGAAAAUAAAACGUCCUGGCUUUUCUCCCCCGUAUCUUGUUUUUGUGAUUUGCUUAUGGACGUGCCUCCUUACCUGGAUGCAAACAAAAUAUGAAAGUACUUGUCUGAAUUUUUUCAGCGCAAUACAGACCAAGAAUAAAAUUUCAUAAAGUAGGGCGACAUUUCACAAGUUUUGGUAGAGGAUAGCCUUGGUUUGCACAAAAUUUCUGAAAAAUUCUCCCGAAAUAGUUUUUUCCUGAAACUCCACGUAAGAAUCUCCACUGAAUUAGGCACAAAACUCGACAAAUUUCAGGUUAAACGGAUGAGUAUUCCCCCACGAAAAUAAUCAAACAGUUUCAUACACAAACGAACCUUCCUUUCGGCCCUAGCAGUGAUGAAUAAAAAAUUUAUUGCCAAUCUUGUGGGACGAAUCUGGGGUCAAAUAUCAACAAAAACUCAGUAGACACAGUGACGAACGUCUGGUAAAAAUUUCAAACCAAAAUACCCAAGGAGUAAGGCGUAGUAAAUCCCAGACCGAUAGUGAACAAAAUUGUUUUUCCGAAAACAAAACGUUCUGGCUUUUCUCCCCGUAUCUUCUUUUUGUGAUUUGUUUAUUGACUUGCCUCCUUACAUGGGUGCAAACAAAAUAUGAAAGUACUUGUCGAAAUUCUUUCUGCACAAUACGGACCCAGAAUAAAAUUUCAAAAAGUAGGGCGAAAUUUCAUAAGUUUUCGUAGAGGAUAAUUUUGGUUUGCACAAAAUUUCUGAAAAAUUCUCUCGAAAUAGUUGCUUCCUGAAAUUCCAUGUAAGAAUCUCCACUGAAUUUGGGACAAAACGCGACAAAUUUCAGGUCAAACAGAUGAGUAUUCACCCACGAAAAAAAUCAAACAGUUUCACACAAAAAGGAACCUUCCUUUCUGCCUUGGCAAUGAUGGAUAAAAAAUUUAUUGUCAAUCUUGUGGGACGAAUCUGGGGCCCAAAUCUCAGCCAAAUCGCAGUAGACACAGUGACAAAUGUCUGGUAAAAUUUUCAGACCAAAAUACACAAGGAGUAACGCGUAGUAAGUCCAAAACCAAGAGUGAACAAAAUUAGUUUUCCGAAAAUAAAAUGUCCUGGCUUUUCUCCUCCGUAUCUUCUUUUUGUGAUUUGUUUAUGGGUGUGCCUCCUUACUUGGGUGCAAACAAAAUAUGGAAGUACUUUUCUGAAUUUUUUCAACGCAAUAAGGACCCAGAAUAAAAUUUCAGAAAGUAGGGCGAAAUUUCAAAGUUUUGGUAGAAGAUAGAGAGCCUUAGUUUGCACAAAAUUUCUGAAAAAAUCUCCCGAAAUACUUGUCUGAAAUUCCACGUAAGAAUCUCCACUGAAUUUGGGACAAAAUACGACAAAUUUCAAGUCAAACGGAUGAGUAUUCUUCCAUGAAAAAAAUCAAACAGUUUCAUACACAAACGAACCUUCCUUUCGGCCCUGACAGUGAUGAAUGAAAAAUUUAUUGCCAAUACUGUGGGACGAAUCUGGGGUCAAAUCUCAACCAAAACUCAGUAGACCCAGUGACGAACUUCUGGUAAAAAUUUCAGACCAAACUACCCAAGGAGUAAGGCAUAGUAAAUCCCAGACCGAGAGUGAACAAAACUGGUUUUCCGAAAACAAAACGUUCUGCAUUUCUCCCCCGUAUCUUCUUUUUGUGAUUUGUUUAUGAACUUGCCUCCUUACCUAGGUGCAAACAACAUAUGAUAGUACUUGUCUGAAUUUUUUCCACGCAAUACGGACCAAAAAUAAAAUUUCAGAAAGUAAGGCGAAAUUUCACAAGUUUUGGUAGAGGAUAGCCUUGGUUUGCACAAAAUUUCUGAAAAAUUCUCCCGAAAUAGUUUCUUACUGAAAUUCCACGUAAUAAUGUCCACUAACUCUGGGACAAAACGCAACAAAUUGCAGAUCAAAUGGAUGAGUAUUUACCCACGAAAAAAAUCAAACAGUUUCACACACAAACGAACCUUCCUUUCGGUCCUGGAAGUGAUGAAUGAAAAAUUUAUUUCCAAUCAUGCGGGACGAAUCUGGGUCUCAAAACUCAGCCAAAACUCAGCAGACAUAGUGUAGAACAUCUGGGAAAAAUUUCAGACCAAAAUAACCAUGGAGUAAGUCGUAAUAAGUCCCAGACCGAGAGUGAACAAAACUGGUUUUCCGAAAACAAAACGUCCUGGCUUUUCUCCCCGUAUCUUCUUUUUGUGAUAUUUUUAUGGACGUGCCUCCUUAGCUAGGUGCACACAACAUAUGAAAGUACUUGUCUGAAUAUUUUCAGCGCAAUACGGACCUGGAAUAGAAUUUCAGAAAGAAGGGCGAAAUAGCACAAGUUUUGGUAGAGGAUAGCCUUGGUUUGCACAGAGUUUCUAAAAAAUUCUCCCGAAAUAGUUUUUUCUUGAAAUUCCACGUAAGAAUCUCCACUGAAUUUGGAACAAAACGCAAAAAAUUUCAGGUCAAACGGAUGAGUAUUCACCUACGAAAAAUAUCAAACAUUUUCACACAAAAAACUAACCUUCCUUUCGGCUCUGACAGUUUUGAAUAAAAAAUGUAUUGUUAAUCUUAUGUGACAAAUCUAGGACUCAAAUCUCAGCCAAAACUCAGUACACAAAGUGACGAACCUCUGGUAAAAUUUUUAGACCAAAAUACCCAAGGCAUAACACGUAGUAAGUCCAAGACCGAGAGUGAACAAAACUUGUUUUACGAAAACAAAACGUCCUGGCUUUUCUCCCCCGUAUCUUCAUUUUGUGAUUUGUUUAUGGACGUGCCUCCUUACCUAGAUGCAAACAAAAUAUGAGAGUACUUGUCUGAACUUUUUCAGCACAAUAGGCCCCGGAAUAAAAUUUCAGAAAGUAGGGCGAAAUUUCACAAGUUUUGGUAGAGGAUAGCCUGGGUUUGCACAAAAUUUUUAAAAAAAAUUCCCGAAAUAUUUUUUUCCUAAAAUUCCACGUAAGAAUCUCCACUGAUUUUUGGACAACACGCUAUAAAUUUGAGGUCAAACGGAUGAGUAUUCGCCCACCAAAAAAAUCAAACAGUUUCACACUGAAACGAAUCUUCGUUUCGGCCUUGGCUGUGAUGAAUAAAAAAUUUAUUGUCAAUCUUGUGGGACGAAUCUGGGGCUCAAAUCUCAGCCAAAACCUAGUAGACACAGUGACGAACGUCUGGUAAAAAUUUCAUACUAAAAUAUCCAAGGAGUAAGGCGUAGUAAGUUUCAGACCAAGAGUGAACAAAACUGGUUUUUUGAAAAUAAAACGUCCUGGAUCUUCUCCCCUGUAUCUUCUUUUUGUGAUUUGUUUAUGGACGUGCCUCCUUCCUCGGGUGCAAACAAAAUAUGAAAGUACUUGUCUGGAUUUUUUCAGUGCAAUACGGACCCAGAAUAAAAUUUCAUAAAGUAGGGCGAAAUGUCACAAGUUUUGGUAGAGGAUAGCCUUGGUUUGCACAAAAUUUCUGAAAAAAUCUCCCGAAAUAGUUUCUUCCUGAAAUUCCACGGAAGAAUCUCCAUUGAAUUUAGGACAAAACGCGACAAACUUCUUUUUGUGAUUUGUUUAUGGACUUGCCUCCUUACCUAUGUGCAAACAACAUAUCAAGUACUUGUCUGGAUUUUUUCAGCGCAAUACGGACCCAAAAUAAAUAUUCAAAAAGUAGGGCGAAAUUUCAAAAGUUUUGGUAGAGGAUAACCUCUGGUUGCACAAAACUUCUGAAAAAUUCUCCGGAAAUAUUUGUUUCUUGAAAUUCCUCGUAAGACUCUACUCUAAAUUUGGGACAAAACGCGACAAAUUUCAGGUCAAAGGGAUGAGUAUUCACCUACGAAAAAAAUCAAACAGUUUCACACACAAACGAACCUUCGUUUCAGCCCUAACAAUGAUGAAUAAAAAAAUGUAUUGUUAAUCAUGUGGGACGAAUCUAGAGCUCAAAUCUCAGCCAAAACUUAGUAGAUACAGUGACGAGCCUCUGGUAAAAAUUUUAGACCAAAAUAUCCAAGGGGUAAGGCGUAGUAAGUCCCAGAGCGAGAGUGAACAAACCUGGUUUUCUGAAAACAAAAGGUCCUGGCUUUUCUCCCUCAUAUCUUCUUUUUGUGAUUUGUUUAUGGACGUGCCUCCUUACCUAGGUGCAAACAACAUAUGAAAGUACUUGUGUGAAUUUUUUCAGCACAAUAUGGACCCAUAAUAAAAUUUCAGAAAGUAGGACGAAAUUUCACAAGUUUUGGUAGUGGAUAGCCUUGGUUUGCACAAAAUUUAUGAAAAAUUCUCCCGAAAUAGUUUCUUCCUGAAAUUCCACGUAAGAGUCUCCACUGAAUUUGGGACAAAACUCGACAAAUUUCAGGUCAAACGGAUGAGUAUACACCCACGAAAAAAAAUCAAACAGUUUCACACACAAACGAACCUUCCUUUCGGCCCUGGCAGUAAUGAAUAAAAAAAUUAUUGCCAAUCUUGUGGGACGAAUCUGGGGCUCAAAUCUCAGCCAAAACUUAGUAGACACAGUGACGAACGUCUGGUAAAAAUUUCAUACCAAAAUACCCAAGGAGUAAGGCUUAGUAAGUCCCAGACCGAGAGUGAACAAAACUAGUUUUCAGAAAACAAAAUGUCAUGGCUUUUCUCCCCCGUAUCUUCUUUUUGUGAUUUGUUUAUGGACGUGCCUCCUUACCUGGGUGCAAACAACAUAUGAAAGUACUUGUCUGAAUUUUUUCAGCGCAAUACGGACCCAUAAUAAAAUUUCAGAAAGUAGGGCGAAAUUUCACAAGUUUUGGUAAAGGAUACUACGAAAGAAUGCUUUAAUUACAAGAUCUAAUAGAAGAACUUAUCCAAUUAGAUGCUUUUGGCCACUUCGUACAACAGGCAUGACUCGAUUUUGGAGGACACUCCCCAAACAUCUAUGGAAGAAACACCUUUCUUUUUUACUCAAGGUGCAAACUAUAUGGUUUUGAACAUGAUGAAGUACUCUUUUUUCUUACCUCAAUUUUUUUUAUCUCUAAGGAGGGUAAGGUUUUAAUGAGGCUUGUACCGAUCAGUCCUCGGGCGUCGUUGACCACUAGUGGUGAAAACGCCACGUAAGCUGGGUCCCACGAGCGGCGUGGGUCAGUGUCUCGCGAGGCGCCUGCGACAAGGUACCGAAGAGUGGUAAGACAUCGGUCAUUAGGAUGUAUCGAUGUAUCACUAGGCAGUGUAGAGAGGUCGGACAUUAGUGACUCGGACAGCAAAGCUAGGCCACGAGAGGUGGAUCCCAGACCACACACCGGUUAUCAGUUAGGGAGAAGCCUAGGUCACGAGAGCCCAUGCGUAUGGUGUGGAUGACGCGUUCAGGCGUUACACAAGUAUAGAGCCACUGGAAAAGGUACGACUUGUGAGGGUCACGUUCCAGAGGUGAGCUGCAUGCGUGGCUUGUGAACAACUAGGACGCUCCCAAGACGAGUGACCCUAGAGAUCAGGUGUGCGAGGAGGCAUCCAAGUGGUCAUCCCGUCAGAGGUUUGCACUCCAGUUAGGGAACCCCAAGCGCUAGGUUAUCCUAAGAGUGGGUAACAGCGACGCUGGGGCCCACCCUCUCAGGAAGCCUAUUUUGGGUAAUGGAAACAGUGGAAACCCUAGGCUAUAUAAAGGGAAGUAACAAACUUAGUAAGGUACGCUAUUCAUUUGCGUCGUUGAACACACACAGUUACACAGAGCUUAACGUUUAAUAGUUUUGGUGUUUCCUAGCCCUAAGAUUGACUUGAGCGUCGGAAUGCAAACAGCCUUUAGGGUGCCCUUUGUCUUUGUGUUUUUAGGCAUUCAAAUGAGAAGGAAAACACGAGUAAGCGUAGGGAUUAUGGGCGUGAGAUUGACGUAGACGCACGAAAAUAUCGGUAGGAACAUUUGGCACCCACCAUAGGCCUCGAUCUAAAACACUGUCCCACCAGCAAGAACUAGAGAGAUCCAAAAGAUGAGAAAUACGAGGCAAGGACCUAUUGCACCAAACGGGGGGAAAGCCUCACCCUGCAACAUGUUAUGAAAACGAUGCAGGCCCUUCAAGAAGAAGUGGAUGCGUUAAGAGCGAAUCAAGAACGCAUCCAGGCUUAUUUGGCUUCAUCGCGGGCGAAAAAUGAAGAACUGCGUCGAUCGAAUGAAGAAUUGCGCAGAGAUCUGCAUAAUCAAGCAGGCGAACGUGAGGAGGAAGAUCAAGAACCUACGACGUCGCCCAGGGAGUUCCCAAUGUCGUUCUCGCAAGAGAUCAUCGAUGUCGUGAUACCAGCCACGUUCGUAGGGCCUAGAGUUACCUUCAUUGGUAUGGAGGACCCAGAGGCCCAUCUCACGGCUUUCCAUACACAGAUGAUGCUAGUUGGGGGCUCUGACGCCGUGCGAUGUAACUUGUUCGUGAGCACCCUGGUGGGAACAACGAUGGAUUGGUUCAUCAGCCUCCCUAAUGGCCACGUGACGUCGUUCCCACAACUCACUAAGUUGUUCAGAGCACAGUACAUCACGAACCCCCCCCCCCCACCUAUCUCUUAUGAUCUUUUUGACAUAAGAAAAUAUCAGAGAGAGUCCCUGAAGGAGUUCCUUCACCAUUUCGGAGCACAGGAGGUGAGGUUGAACACCAAGGACGAAACGAUGAUGGUGCACGCGUUUAGAAAGGGCAUUGUGCCAGGACCUUUCGGUGAAUUGCUCAUCAGCAACCGCCCCAAGACUUUCACCGAGAUAAUGCACCGCGCGGUGGCUCAUAUUGCGGCUGAAGGGAAAGUUAACGAGAAGCACAUGUGUGUGGUACCCACGCGCCCCGCGUGCAUCAGGUCGACCUCAACCCCUAAGGGUGCAUGAGGCGACGAUAGAGAAGAAAGUCCUCGUGAAGCAGCAACUCUACCAACUAAGAAAGCCUCAAACCAGGGGGCGCGAGAGAGAGAACGUGUCGUCGAGGCCAACUUUGUGGUAGAAUGGAAGGAUCUUAUCGCUAUCCCCAACAUAAUGGAGAGGCUAAAGAUACCCCCCAUGACCGACAAGAAGCUCGGGCCCAACAAGAACGCCUGGUGUGAGUUCCACCAAGCGUUCUGCCACCCCAUAUGCAACUGUCUAGCGCUGGGACACCAGCUAGAUGAGUUGGUGAAGAACAGUUUCCUGAGAGAUUACUUGUAGGAAAAGUAGGGUGUCGAGGACGUGGCGGUGACAGGGGGUGAGCGGGGGCAUGGAAUUCCCGUACAUGGUGAGAUCCACACCAUUGCGGGAGGGUUCUCAGGAGGAGGUUGCAUCGCUUCCUAGUGAAAGAAGUAUGCGCGGGCGAUGAUGUCAGUAGAAGCACAAAGGGCAAACGAUGCCUUUGACGUCGACCUUGUCUUCACCAAAGCAGACCUUCAAGACGUCGUUUCCCAUGACAACGACCUGGUGGUGAUCUCAGUAGUAAGUGCACCGGGUACGGAUAGAUCAAGGAAGCUCGACAGACGUGAUGUUUUGGACGACUUUUAACAAGAUGCAGUUGUCCCCUGACAUGUUAAGGCCCUAUAUUGGCUGCCUGUACGGUUUCGCGGGAGACCAAGUGGAGGUGCGUGGGCACAUGGAGCUGAGCACCACCAUCACGGAUGGUACCGCGUCCCAUACGAAGAACAUCAGGUAUCUUGUCGUCAAUGCCCCUAUAACAUGUUGCUGGGUAGACCUACGCUGAACAGGCUAGGGGCGGUGUAGUCGACGAGGCACAUGAAGAUGAAGCUACCUGACUUGGCGGGAAAGGUGAUUACCAUCAAGUUAGACCAGAAGAAGGCCAAGAGGUGUUAAGAGAACAACCUCAAAACAAAGAGAGGUGUAUUCAAGGUCACUACACGUGCACCGCACUCAGGAGAGGUCGCUCAGCCUGAUAUCAAUCGCAGGGACCGCUCAGGAAAGGCGACCUGAGCCGAUCGGCGAUGCAAGGGAAAGAGAGAUUGGAGGAAGGGUCUUCAAGCUUGGCAGUGCUCUCGACCAAACAGCGCAGGAUCAAAUUGCCAAGGUUCGACCUAUCCACCGACGAGUGAAAGAACGACACUUUGUUGACUUAGAAUAGUUAUUCACGACAAUAGCUGAGUCCAGAUUGAAGCUGAACCCCGAGAAGUGCGUGUUCGGAAUAGAAGCUAGGAAGUUUAUGGGUUUCUUGCUCACCGAGCGUGGGAUAGAAGCAAACCCAGAAAGGUGCGCGGUGACGAGGUGCAUGGCUGCCCUGUCCAGAUCCGUGUCAACUAGAGGAGAUAAGGGCCACCCUUACCGCCAGUGCCUAAGAAGGAACAACCGGUUUGUACGGGCCCAGUGUAAAGAGGCGUUCAUCAGGCUGAAGGAGUACCUAGCAAGCCCUUUGAUCCUGUGCAAACUGCAGCCAAGCACACCACCUAGCCUCUAUUUUAUGGAGACCGACCAGGCGAUCAGUACAGUCCUUGUUCAGGAACAGGACUAGUUUCAGAAACUCAUAUGUUUCGCGAGUAAAGUAUGGCCAAAACCUGAGGUAAGAUACCAGGUAUUGGAGAAGGCGACCCUGGCGGUCCCAUGUCAGCUGAGGAGCAAGCUCAGAGUGAUAGAGGUCCUUGGGGACGGAGCAUACAGACUUGAGACGCUGGAAGGAGACGCGAUUCCUCGCACAUGGAAUGCGGUCGACCUCAAGUUUUAUUCCAGUUAAACAAUAACAUUGUACAUCGUAUUAGGGGACGCUCUUUUUCCCUUAUAAGGAUUUUUUGACGAGGUCACCCAAUAAAUUUCGGUCAAAUAUUUUCUCGAGUUUUGUACAAUUCAGUUAAGAACUUGUUUUCCUUGGGUUAGAAGUCUCGAGAGUGGUAAAGGUAGGUUCGUAGAGAACACUUCCCCCCUCGAGUGAGAAUGCUAAGGUUGAAAAUAGUUCACCAGAUAAAUCCUCCUCGCACUUGAAAGAAACUGAGGUCAGUUAAGAACUUGUUUUCCUUGGGUUAGAAGUCUCAAGAGUGGUAAAGGUAGGUUCGUAGAGAACACCUCCCCCCUCAAGUGAGAACGCCAAGGUUGAACGAAAUAGUUCACUAGAUAAAUCCUCAUCGCCCUUGAGCGAAACUAAGGUUAGUUAAGAACUUGUUUUCCUUGCGUUAGAGGUCUAGAGAGAAGAAAUGCAGGUUCGUAGAAAACGCCUUCCCCCUCGAGUGAGAACAUCAAGGUUGAACAAAAUAGUUCACCAGAUAAAUUAUCUUCGCCUUUGAGCGAGAAUGAGGUCAAUUGUUAGUUGUCCCUUGGGUUAAAAUUCUCGAGAGUGGUAAAGGUAGGUUCGCAGAGAACACCUCCCUCCCUCGAGUGGCUGAACAGCCCAGUUCACAGUUAAGCCCUCCUUUAGCUUAAUACAGCAAGGGCGGGGUCAACACAAGUUAACAGUCGAGUAAGAUAGAAGAGCGGUUCUCAGUCACACAGAGCCACGUAGGACGCCAAUGGCAAGGACUUAAUCUCUUCGCUGAACAAGUUACAGCUCGAGACUAGGGGGCUUGUGUACCGACCAGUCCUCGGGCGUCAUUGACCACUAGUGGUGAAGGGGCCAUGUAAGUUGGGUCCCACGAGCGGCGUGGGUCAGUGUCUCGCGAGGCGCCUGGGCCAAGGUACCGAAGAGUGGUCAGACAUCGGUCACCAGGAUGUAUCGAUGUGUCACUAGGCAGUGUAGAGAGGUCGGACAUCGUUGACUCGAACAGCAGAGCUGGGUCACGAGAGGUGGAUCCCAAACCACACACCGACUAUCAGUUAGGGAGAAGCCUAGGUCACGAGAGCCCAUGCGUGUGGUGUGGAUGACGCGUUCAGACGUAACACAAGUAUAGAGCCACUAGAAAAGGUACGACCUAUGAGGGUCACGUUCCAGGGGUGAGCUUCAUGCGUGGCAUGUGAACAGCUAGGGCGCUCCCAGGACGGGUGACCCUAGAGAUCAGGUGCGCGAGGAGGCAUCCAUGUGGUCAUCCCGUCAGAGGUUUGCACUCCAGUUAGGGAACCUCACGUACUAGGUUUUCCUAAGAGUGGGUAACAGAGGCGCUGGGGCCCACCCCCUCAGGAAGCCUAUUUUGAGCGUCGGAGUGCAAAUGGCCUCUAGGGCGCCCUUUGUCUUUGUGUUUUCAGGCAUUCAAACAAGAAGGAAAACACGAGUAAGCGGAGGGAUUCUGGGCGUGAGAUUGACGUAGACGCACGAAAACAUUCUUGGUCAACCGGUAGGAACAAGGCUUAUUCCUUUAAAGUAAAGUUCAUUUCCUUUUUACACAUAAAAGUUUAUAAUGAUACUGUUAUUCGAGUUUAAACGAACAUAAAAAAAACUUUAUCAAACUUGAACCAAACGGUCAAGUCACAAUCCGAAUUCAAACGAUUAUGAGAAAUAUUCAUUACUCAAAAUCACAAUAAAGGGUUGACCUAUGCUAAAUCCAAACAGGUCCAAACUAAUCUCGUUCAUCCUUCAAAUUUAUCUACCUAUACAUCUUCUCGAAUUCUGAGCUAGGGGGCUUUCUGUACAUACCUCCAAUUACGACCGUGUACAUUCAGACAAUAACUGUUUGUUUAAUAUUAUAUUUAAGACACAUAAAUUCGACCAUAAACCGGUUAUAAGUUAUUAGCAGUUAUAAAUUACUGUUAUAAAAUCCAUUUAUAUCUCAUUAUAACUAUUCAAUGCUUUGUGGAGAUGGACCUCCUCCUUUCAUUGGAGACGAACUAAAAAUUUGUUUUCCUAAGAAACAUGCAGUAUUCACCGAGUUACUCCAAGUUCAUUUUCGGUAGAAACAAAUUGUAAAUUGAAAAAGAACUAUUACUUUAUUAAAUAUAUUGAUAUGAUUUAUAAUUUUUUGGGUAUUUGAAAUUAAACCAAAAAAAAAUCGAUUAUUGAUAUGACUUGAUCACUAGGUUUUUUUAAAUUAUUAAUGUAAUACUUAUAUGAUGCGAUUGUUUGAAUUAUUAGAUUGAGUCCCAUUAUUUGUCACAGGUAAAACAUAGUACGGAUUUGAAUAUCUCAGAAUAAGAUAAAUAUACUUUAGAAUAAAAACACGAAAAUCAAUCAAAUAAUAGCAAAAAUAAUAUUCAAAAGAAUUAAUAAGUAUGUUGUUCCAUUAAAAAUGUAUGAUUUAUUUAUUUAUAUAAUAUAAUAUAACUACGAGCUUAUAAUAGAUAAUAAUAGGAUAUUAGUGUAUAAAUAGACUUUGAUAAAAAACUGGCUCAUGUAUUUCGGUGGAGAAUAGGAAAAUUUAGCAAGAAACCUUGCACGGGUCAUCAUUGGGAAGAGAUAGAAGCCGGUUGAUUUAUAUACUGAGAAACUUUCACAUUACAAUCACGAAACUAAACACAUAAAUCUGGAGCAUCAAGAUUGUAUUAGUUCUUGAAAUCUAAUUGUUUAACAAGCAUUUGGUGAGCAUAAUUGGGUUACUUCAACGUGGCUUUGGGUCGACAAUCUCGGAAAACAACUCAAGCAUCAACUUAUCAUUGUCCUUGGAAUUAUUGUGGUGCUCUUCUGUAUCAAUCACAUCUUCACGAACUCCCUCUUCGCUUUCGUCGGCACUCUCUUGCAGUUUCAAUGCAGACUCCAGCAUCAAAACGACAUCGUUCAUGGACGGCCUCUGCAUCCCUUCUUGUGACAAACAACUGAUUCCAAUCUCGCAAAACAUGGCGAAACACUGGGGAGCGAUCUUCCCCUUUAAUAUGGGAUCCACAAUCUCCGCCACUGUCCCGUUUUGGUAGCAAUAUCUGGCCCAACUAGCUAGUGACACCUGUUCGGUUUCUUCCGUAUGGAUCAGAGGAGAACGGGCACAGAGUACCUCAAACAACACCACCCCAAAAGAGUACACAUCAGACUUCUCCGUCAGCCGCUGCCGAAUAAAAUACUCCGGAUCCAAAUACCCAAAGCUGCCUUUCACGGCGGUGCUCACAUGGGCCUUCGACAUCUCAUUUGGCCCUAUUUUGGAUAGCCCGAAGUCCGAAACUUUCGCCACCCACCUCUCGUCCAGCAAGAUGUUCGUCGUUUUCACGUCCCGAUGGAUGAUCAUGUGCUUCGCGCCACUGUGAAGAUAGCGUAGACCGCGCGCGGCGCCAAUGCAAAUCUUCAAGCGCUGCCUCCACGAGAGGGAGGGAUUGUCGGUGCCGUAGAGAUGGUCGCGAAGGUUUCCACGUCCCAUAUAGUCGUAAACCAGGAUCAUCUCUUUCUUAUCGCAGCAGUAACCGAUGAGUGAUACCAGAUGGCGGUGGCGGAGCUGUGAAAGCAUCUGGAUCUCGUUCAAGAACUCGCAAGCCCCCUGCUGGGAACCCUGUCUAAGGCGCUUGAUUGCGACGGGGAUUGAACCGUCUUUGAUGAAGCCCUUGUACACGUGGCCAAAUCCCCCGUCGCCGACGAUGAAGGCGCUGUCGAAGAUUUUGGUGGCGGCUUUGAUCUCGACGAUGGUAAACCGACGGCAUUGAUCAGAUGGCAGAGAAAAAUUGUGGUCGUUGGUUGACUUCGUUAAGAACAACAGUGGAGUCCACUUGGAAGUGGUGGAGAACAGGACAAAGAAAACGACAAGCGAGAUGAAAACAACACCGGAUACUACCCCCGCCGUGAUACCAAUCAUCCGCCUUCUGUUAUUAAUCGGGUCCGGUCCGGCGUGGCUGUUAGACUGAACCGGGUCUGGGUUGCGUCCGGCUAGGUUGUUUGAUUCGGCUUCGCUGAUUUUAAAGAUCUCGAGACCGUUCAGGAAGGGGUCGCUGUAUCUCGUAUCCACACCGCUUUCGUAAGGGUGCAUUUGAAGCGAGAGAUUAAACCUUUUCUGAUUACCAUUCUUGGGAAUCAUAACGGCGUAGUUUUUGUGCACAGCUAGGCCUUUUUGUUUCUUACUCCAUUUCAUUACAUCUGCACGUUCUUCAGCCAACUGGCUAUUUAUGUAAAUGAAGAAUUGUCUGUCAGCGAUGUCAUUGAUAAGAGGAUCAAGCUCGCAAAAGUGGAGCCUGAGAACGUAAGUGAAGCCACAAUCAACGGGGAACACCCAAGUGAGGUAGCUGAUUUUGUUCAGAGUGCCGUUUGUGCCCUGGCUACGCGCUGUUCUGAACAGUUCCUUCGGUGCCACGUAAUCAGGAUUCACGGUUAUGUUCAUCUCCCCAUCGAUGUCAGCUUGUAGGUCAUUAUUCUUUGGAUUUUGUUUAAUAAAAUAAGGUAGUUCGUCAGCCCAAUCCCUAAACAAACCGGUGUCGUUUUGUGGCGGGAUUUCUUGGCCUCCAGAGUUGAUUCUAUACUCAGUCUGGAGCGCAUCGCUGGUUCCAACGCUUAAUAGCGUACCAUGUCCCACUAGCGUGAAUCCUAUAUCAUUUCGUUGAGUAUAAUAUAAAUCCGUUGGCAUGGAAAGCACCUCAAUUCCGUUGAUGAAAGCGUAGGAGUUUGGAUCGGAUGGAGUGAAGGUGACGAUAAGCCUCUCACCGUGGUUGACGUUGACCACGUAUUCUCGGAAGAUAGUCUGAGUGGCUUGAGCGUCGGCGUGAAGAGAGGCGUUGAAAGCGUUGAGGAGAGUGAAUUGGUUGGAUUGAUGGGUGAAAGAAGCUUGGUUGCGGGGAAAGGAAGGGUAGUCGGAAGGGUAGAAGAAGAGGCGAAUGAAUUUGGGGCCUGGGGAGACGGGGAAGGAGUAGUUGAAUUGGGAACGGGACAAGCGUGCACUGGAGUAGGGGAUUUGAUUGGUGGAAGGAGACUGUGUUGUUGCCUUCUCUGAAACGGAGCCGUCUUUGAAAGAUAAGUACUUUGUGUCUUCGUCGCCGAUCCACCUUCUUUGACCGUCGAAGGAUAUCCCGGUGGAGCCGCAACUGAUGGUGAAAAUAUCCUCCGGGGUGUAGGCCUGGAGAUGUACGGAGAAGUGUAGAAGGAAGAAGAAGAGUGUCAAGGAGGUGAUGAAGGUGAUAGCCAUUGUUUCUGGUGGGAGGGAACAGAAGUGAAUGAAGUCGCGAAAGACUUAUCAUGAGUGUUAGGUUAGAAUUACAUGGAAGGCAUGGAGAAAAGAACAUGCAGCGUUGUUUGUUAGCGAAAGCUCACUGCCUGUCUAUUUAGUUGACGGUUUCUUCUUCAGUAUAGAACAAAAAAAUAUACAGAUAACAUUAAUUUUAUAAAUUUUAAUUUUUCAUUAAAUUUAAUUAUAUUUUACCACUCUUAUAAAAUUAAAAUUUUGAAUACUGAUAAAAUGAAUGAUAUAAGUGGUAAGAUGGUAAAUUUAUAACAUUCUUAUUCAAUUUUGAGCUCCUUAUACUUCACACACAUGACUAUUUUCUUAACCUAAAUAUUAUCCUCCAUCGAAUUUAAAUUAGUGUGAAUAAAUAAUUAUCGUUUCUUUCAACGUUUUUUGUUUUUUUUUUUCAGGUCAGGUGCUUUUUUUUAUAUCAAAUAUUUAUUUUUUUAUUUAUAUUUUUCAUUUUUUUUGUUAAAUUUAAUUUGUAUCUUCAUUUAACUUAUAUUUUGAAUAUUCAUAUAAUACUAAAUUCAAUAUUCUCUCUUUUAGAUAAUCAAGUUUCAAGAUAAUUAUUAAUCGUAAUUUAAAUUUUGAAUUUUAACAACCCAUGUUAUAAAAAUAUUAUGUCUUUAAAUUUUAUUAGUUAAAUUUAAUUUUUAUCUUCAUUUACUUAUAUUUUUAAUAUUGAUAUAAUACUUGAUUAAAGAUACGGUCCCAUGUUAUAAAAAUAUUGUGUCUUAAAUCUUAAUUUAAUCAAGCAAUUUUGAUAACCUCUUCCUAGACAUAAAAAUACUAUACUUUUAAUCUAUUUAUAUUUAAUACAAAAAUAUAUUUAUUAUCAAGAAAAGCAUAGAUGUUAGAGUUAAGCAUGGACUAAUAAAAUUAUUUUUUAAUUUAUUAAUUAGAAAUAUUAGUACAGAUUGGGCCAACGCAUAUUUUUUUAAUUUUUUUUACAAACUUAUGAAGUUUUAUUUCGUAAAUGUGUUGGUUAUGACGAUACAUACGUGUGUUAACUUUAAAAAAAAUUUGACGAUAUCUUUUAAAUUUUUUUUAGAGGAUAUCAUUCAAUUCUUUGUUAAUGAUAAGUAAAUGUAAUUAAAAUAGUUUAAUUGUUAAGCUGGUUAUAAAUGUUAAAAGUGAAUUGGAGUAUUAUUCUUUUGAUUAAUAUUUGAUAUAAUUAAAGAAGAAUUCCUAAUAUUAAAAUUAUUAAAAAUAAAAAUUUGAAAAGAUUAAGAAAGAAAUGAAAUACAAAGAUACAAACUGUUGAGUAAAUAAAAUAAUAGGUAGAAGAAGUACUUAAAAAUAAAUAAAAAUGAUUGAGGAAAGAGAAUCUUAUAAAAUUUGUAAUAUCAUAAAAUUUAAAUAAAAAUGUUUUUAUAAGCAUAAAAAUAAAUAAUUAUGACUUUGGAAAUUUUAUAUAAAAUACUAACACAUUUUAGAUAGACUAAUUUUACAUUUAUUCUUUUAUGUGAAUUAAUAAUUUUGAAAAUUAAAAAAUAAGAACCAAAUUGAAGUUUUAAUAUUUGAAAACAAACCUAGAAAAAAAAUUGAAGAUAAAACUUUGUUUUCCUAACAUUGUUUAAUAUGAAGGAUGUAACUAAAUUGAAAAUGAAUAUUGAAAAUUGACAUUUUAAUUUAUCGUAUUGUUAUAAACUUUUAAAUUUUGUUAACUUAAUUUGUUUAAUUUUUUUAUAUAAUAGUGAGUUAUUUCACAAUUUUUUUUAUAUAAAUAAAUGAAUUUGCGUUUUAGAAAUUCACUCCAUCCUUACUAAUAAGUAUCAUUAUUUAUUAAAUUUACAUGACAAAAGUUGGUCACUUUUGGUCUUAAUGGCUGUUUAAAAUUGAAAUCAUCCCUAAUUUGAGAAUUACUAAAUUUAAAUAUAUGUUUGAGUCAUAAAAAAAAUAAGAUAUUUAAUAUUAUUUUUGUAUAAAUUUUAGGUAAUUAAGAAAAGAGAAAGAAAGGGAUUGGAAGAUGCAUGAAAGAAAUCAUAAGAAGAUAGAAAAUAGGAGUUUUGAUGUUUUGAACUCCUCAAGUUAGAAUUCACUCAAGUAAGAAUGUCUUGCUUAGGUGAGAAUUAUGCAAAGGCAGAGAAGUAUUGCUAGAUCACUGGAAAGGAUACGACCUGUGAGGGUCACGUUCCAACGGUGAACUGCAUGCAUGGCACGUGAACAAUUAGGGCGCUCCCAAGACGGGUGACCAUAAAGAUCAGGUGCACGAGGAGGCAUCCAGGUGGUCAUCCUGUCAGAGGUUGCACUCCAAUUAGGGAACCCCACGCGCUAGGUUAUCCUAAGGUGGGUAGUUGCGGCGCUGGGGCCCACCCCCUCAGGAAGCCUAUUUCGGGUAAUGGAAAUAGUGGAAACCCUAGUUUUCAGUCUAUAUAAAGGGAAGUAACAAACUUGGCAAGGAACGCUAUUCAUAUGCGCCGCUUAACACACACAGUUACAGUUUUAUGUAAAGAGUUUUGGUGUUCCCUAGCCCUAAGAUUGACUUGAGCGUCAAAGUGCAAACGACCUCUAGGGCGCCCUUUGUCUUUGUGUUUUCAAGCAUUCAACCAAAGGGAAAGCACGUGCGAGCGCAGGGAUUUUGGAUGUGAGAGUGACAUAGACGCAUUUGGUCAACCGGAAGGUGUUGAAGCUGGAGGAAGCUUCUUCCCUACCAAGACUUGAUAUGUGUUUGAUGAAGAAAAUGGCUUGAGUGCUUUGAAAAUUGUAAUAGGUUUUUAGAUUCAUUUGUAAUUAGGCUUGUAAGUGUGUAUGAUUGCCUUUUGCUGUAUAACCUAUCCUAGAUGCCUAACCAAGUCUAGAUCAAGCACAUGAUGUGGUUAAAUGGUUUUUGAAAAGCUUUUUAAAAUGAUUUUAAAAGUUUUAAAUCAGUACACAAAUAAAUCUGUUUUAUGGAGAAAGAAUCUGUUUAUUUCUUCUCUGUUAAAAGGCUUUUCUAAAUUUAUGUUAGGGCACCACAGGCAAAGCUUAGAUCAUUAUUUCAGUUAAAGCUGAGCUGGCCUAUUUGCUCUCAUUUAAUCUGUUUCAUUGUGAAAGAAUCGGUUUGCCCUUCUGGUCAGUUAAAAGGUUUUUCACAAGUUAGUUAGGGCACCAAAGGUACAACUCAGACAGUUAUUUCAGUUAGCUGAGUUGGCGGUUUUCACAAAAAUAAAUCUGUUAAGUUCAAAAAUGAAUUUGUUGUUUUCAUAACUGCUUUUCAACUGAUUUUUGAAAACAAGUUAGAAACUGCUUUUCUAUAUAAAGAAAAGUCUCUCUCACAUGAGAGUGAGCUGAGCAAUUACGUUUUUUACAGAGAUCAAACAUUUUCCAUGUGAGAAGAAGGAUGGAAAGAUUUUUGAAAGGUUUUCCAAAGAGAUUUUCAAGUGUGCUUGUUCUAGGAAACCUUUGAUCUUGGUGAAGGUGCUGGUGCAGUUCUGCAGCAAAUUGAACUACUGGUUUUGAGUUCUUGCAUCUUCUUUUCAGGUGUAAUCUUUCCUUUAUUCUGUUUUGUAAAGGUGUAAGUGUUAGUCACUCCUUGAUAGGGUUUCUUGGAGUGCAAGGUGUGCUGAAAUAGGGUUUUUCAGCAUUGUUGGUGUUGUUCUUGUAGUGUUCAAGAACUGCUAAGUUUGUAAGUAAUUGGUACUGUUUUUAGUGGAUUCCACCUUGGGGUAAGGUGAGACUGGAUGUAGCUCUGUAUGAGUGAACCAGUAUAAAAACUUGUGUGCCUUUUCUUCUCAUCCCUGCACUCAUUNNNNNNNNNNNNNNNNNNNNNNNNNNNNNNNNNNNNNNNNNNNNNNNNNNNNNNNNNNNNNNNNNNNNNNNNNNNNNNNNNNNNNNNNNNNNNNNNNNNNUUAAUUCUGGGUUUAAAUAAGAACUGUUCUUCCUGAUUUGUUAAAGCUUUCUAAUCUCAAACAAGGCAGUUGUAUAUGCUGUUUUAAUUGAUUUGAAAAACAAAUUGUCUAUUCAUUAAAACCUGAGGAAGAUUCAUUCUCAUUAAAAUCUUGUGUUGAAUGAAGUUGAUUGAUUUCUUGGCAUAGCUGUAUUCUUCAUACUCAUAAAAUCAAAUUAAUCUGAUUCUGUUAUAGCUCUUUGCUGAUUACAAUUUUAAUUUGAACAAAGUCAAAUUGUGCUAGACUGCUCUGAAGAAUCAAUCUGUUUCAUGUAAAAUCAAUAUGUUCUUUUUGUCUCUGGUAUACUGAAAAUUGUGUGAUCUUGCGAAAAUUUUAUAAGCUCAAUUCACCCCUCCCCUCUUGAACUUAGACACUAAUAGACCCAACAGAAGGAACAUUUGGCGCCCACCGUGGGGCACUAUACAAAACAUUGUCCCACCAGCAAGAACCAGAAAGAUGAGAAGUACGAGGCAAGGUCCUGUUGCACCAAACGGAGGCGAAAGCCUCACCCUGCAACAGGUUCUGGAAAUGAUGUGGGCCCUUCAAGAGGAAGUGGAUGCGUCGAGAGCAAACCAAGAACACAUCCAGGCUGAUUUGGUUGCGUCACAAGCAACGAACGAAGAACUGCGCCUUUCGAAUGAAGAAUUGCGCAGGGAUCUGCAAAACCAGGCAGGCACACGUGAGGAAGGAGAUCGAGAACCUGCGACGCCACCCAGGGAGUUUCCGAUGCCGUUCUCGCAGGAAAUCAUGGAUGCCGUGAUACCGACCACGUUAGUAGGGCCCAAAGUUACCUUCAUUGGUACAGAGGACCCGGAGGCCCAUCUCACGGCUUUCCACACGCAAAUGAUGUUGGUUGGGGGCUCCGACGCGGUGAGAUGCAAACUGUUCAUGAGCACUUUGGUGGGAACAACGAUGGAUUGGUUCAUCAGCCUCCUUGAUGGCCACGUAACGUCGUUCCCACAACUCACCAAGCUAUUCAGAACGCAGUACAUCGCGAAUCGCCCCCACCCCACCCCACCCAUCUCUUAUGAUCUUUUUGACAUAAGACAGUAUCAGGGGGAGUCCUUGAAAGAGUUCCUUCACCAUUUUGGAGCACAGGUGGUGAGGUUGAACCUCAAGGACGAAACGAUGAUGGUGCACGUGUUCAGAAAGGGCAUUGUGCCAGGCCCCUUCAGUGAAUUGCUUAUCAGAAACCACCCUAAGACCUUCGCCGAGAUAAGGCGUCGCGCGGUGGCUCACAUUGCAGCAGAAGGGGAAGUUAACGAGAAGCGCACGUGUGUGGUUCCCACGCGCCCGCGUGCAUUAGGUCGACCUCAACCUCUAAGGUUGCAUGAGGCAACGACAGAGAAGAAUACCCCCGCGAAGCAGCAGCCCUAUCAGCCAAGGAAGUCUCAAACCAGGGGGCGGGGGAGGGAGAACGUGCCAUGAGUAGCUAACUUGGUGUUUGUAAAGACUAUAAUGAGUAGCUAACUUAUUUCUUGGGAUUGAACUUAAUCUUUUCUAACUCAUGUAUUUUGGUAAGAUUUAUAUGGUCCUAUAUUUUACUUGUUAUUGGUAUUUUUGUUUUGUGCUUAUUGCUAGAUUUUAUCUGAUCAAUAAAUUCUUGAUUUUGAUUCUUAAAUGUAACUAGAAAGUAUUUAUAAAAAUAUGAUCUAAAUGAAAAUAUUCAAUAUAUUUUAAUGCUAGUAAUAAAUUUCAACAUGUUGAUUGCUUUACAACAUCUAAUCCUAAUGUUGGUUAAUUUGCUAGAUAGCUGAGGAAUCCGUGUUUAGGAAACUUCCCUGUGAAUUUCAUGCAUGAAGAAUCAGUAUGUUGUAUCAAUAUCAAGUAAUUUUGAGUAUUAUAUAUUUUUAUCAAUCCCGAAUAUAGAUAAAUAAGAUAAAUUAAGUUCAAUCACAAUCUUGUUAACUAAAUUUUGUAGUUAAAUUACCUUGACGCUCUUUAGUUUCAUAUGCAAAGUCAUUAUUGUAAUUUCAAUGUAUUAUGAACAAAAUCAUUAUGCAUGUUUAUAUAUUUAGUGAGUGUUACAGUAUAAAUUUUUAAUUAAAAUGCUCCUUGUGGGUUUGACACUCGUACUUCAAAGUAUUAUUCAAAAUAAAUAAAUUAAUCUAUUUAUUUGGAGUAUAAUGAAAUUGAAUAAAAUAAAUAAAUCAUAGAAAAAAAGUGAUCCUGCUGGUUGACUUGAGUGCAAGAGUCUUGCCACGUCAAAGGUUUCUCCUCCUAGAUCAGCUUCGCACCACGUUAGCCUUUGUUCUUCACGUCUCAAUUCCUCGCAAGAACCUGAAGAAAACAAAGUGGCGCCGCUGCGGCCGAUCGCGCUCCGACGCUCAAGUCAGUGGAAGAAUCACCAAAAACUCAGAGAGAAUAUCUCAACUCAAGGAACCGUGCGCAGUGAAUCUUAGUGUGCUAUAAAGUAUUCUGAAAGCGUACCUCAAAAGUCUGUUAAGUGUUCCUUAUAUACCUGAGGAUUUUCUCUCUCCUGACGGUUACACCUCUGGACACGUGGCUCAUAUCCAGUUGUACACGUGUCGUCAUCUGGAGCUUCCUCCACUUGAGCGUCACUUCUACUCUUCAAGCCAUUCGACUAAGUUACCCAUACAAGGAGUAACUUGGUGCACAGCUUUCCUUGGAGCGCGACCCCUUAAGUGACGAGUACGAGGUGUCACCAUGCACACCUUCUCUGUGGUCUCGUCUGUCGCUAUCACGAUCUGCUUCACUUGCACACCAUGCACGUUCUGGGAAACUGUUCCCUUGCCCCGACCUCUGGCUAGGGAAUGAUUAUCUGAUAACCUCAUCCUCCACUGCUACGUGACAAUCAUAUCACUCGUCCCCCGUACUUGUACCCCUUGGAAACCUUAAGUAAGCUUUCCUGAUCUUUUGGCGAUGUGCCCCUCUUGGCGGUCUCUAACCACCUGAUCUCCUAGUACUCACAUAUGGCGACUAUGACGCAACUCUGGUGACCGCCGGUUACACACACUAGAGAUCGGAGAACGCCAAGUCAACGAUCGGCGACUACACAGACUUCUCGAUGUACUUCCCUUCUGUCAGUCAGGUGUCCCGUUCAACACGCCUAUAUUAUCGCUUGAUGCCACGUCAUCACUCCCGAUUACCUGAUCGGUACAAAAAGUAAUGAAGCACUUUUUUUUAAAAUAUGGGAUAUUUGAAAGGAUGAAUACAUGUAAAAAAAAAAUUGUUAUUGAAGUCAAUAUCAUUUUCAUGAUAUAUUUGUUGCAUUUCGAGACCACCUUCCUUCAAAUUUCCAAAUUUCUUUCCUUUCCUUGAGGGCUCAUGGAUUUUGCAACUCCAUAAUUACUAGUUAGACUCCAUUUAAAAAGAAAAAAAUAGACUAAAUAUUGUGUCUAUAUCGUGUUGUUGACGUCAUUGUUGCAACCACUUUUUCCUUUAGCUAUUUCUCCAUUAUUUAUCGUGUUGCACUCUUAGAGAGUGAGUUGUUCUAAAAAUUUCAUUUUGAAAGGUAUUAUUUAUGUUGUGGAAAGUUUGUUCUAGAAAUUAUGUUGUAAAAAGUUCGUUUCAGAAUGCAAUUCAUAUGUUAAAGAAAACUUGUUUUGAAUAACCCAUUAUGGAAAGCUUGUUGUAGAAGGUAUCAUAUUUCUUUUCGAGAGGUUGUUCCAAAAAUUCUGUAAUGAAAACCUUAUUUUAGAAUGUAUUUUCUUGAAAGUUUGUUGUAGAAAUCUUAUUGUAGAAAUCUUGUUCUAGAAAUCAUGUUUUGGAAAUUAUAGAAUGCUUGUUUUAGAAUAUUUUGAAACAUAUAAUAUGGAAGUCACUUUUAUAAAUGGUGAAAUUGCAAUUUUCAAUUUUAGAGCUACGGUUAAAAAUUAUAAGGGUGCAGCAAGAAAAAACCUUCCUUGAGUCCUAUUCAUACUAUUAAAUCCACUCUAUUAUUUGUAACUUGAUUUUGUCUUUAUUUUCAAGCUUUUAUUUCAUGCAUCCUAUUAUAUAUUUCAUGGCACUAAACUUUCACAUUACAAUCACGAAACCAAACACAUAAAAAUCUGGAGCAUCUAGAUUGUAUUAAUUAGGUCUUGAAAUCUAAUUGUUUAACAAGCAUUUGGUGAGCAUAAUUGGGUUACUUCAACGUGGCUUUGGGUCGACAAUCUCGGAAAACAACUCAAACAUCAACUUAUCAUUGUCCUUCGAAAUAUUGUGGUGCUCUUCGGUAUCAAACACUUCUUCACGAGCUUCCUCUUCGCUUUCGUCGGCACUCUCUUGCAGUUUCAAUGCAGACUCCAGCAUCAAAACGACAUCGUUCAUGGAAGGCCUCUGCACCCCUUCUUGUGACAAACAACUGAUUCCAAUCUCGCAAAACAUGGCGAAACACUGGGGAGCGAUCUUCCCCUUUAAUAUGGGAUCCACAAUCUCCGCCACCGUCCCGUUUUGGUAGCAAUAUCUGGCCCAAUUAGCUAGUGACACCUGUUCGAUUUCUUCUGUAUGGAUCACAGCAGAACGGGCACAGAGUACCUCAAACAACACCACCCCCAAAGAAUACACGUCAGACUUCUCCGUCAGCCGCUGCCGAAUAAAAUACUCCGGAUCCAAAUACCCAAAGCUACCUUUCACGGCGGUGCUCACAUGGGCCUUCGACAUCUCAUUCGGCCCUAUUUUGGAUAGCCCGAAGUCCGAAACUUUCGCAACCCACCUCUCAUCCAACAAGAUGUUCGUCGUUUUCACGUCCCGAUGAAUGAUCACGUGCUUCGCGCCACUGUGAAGAUAGCGUAGACCGCGCGCGGCGCCAAUGCAAAUCUUCAAGCGCUCCUUCCACGAGAGAGAGGGAUUGUCGGUGCCGUAGAGAUGGUCGCGGAGGUUUCCGCGUCCCAUGAAGUCGUAAACGAGGAUCAUCUCUUUGUUAUCGCAGCAGUAACCGAUGAGUGAGACCAGAUGGCGGUGGCGGAGCUGCGAGAGCAUCUGGAUCUCGUUCACGAACUCGCAAGCCCCCUGCUGGGAACCCUGUCUAAGGCGCUUGAUGGCGACGGGGAUUGAACCGUCCUCGAUGUAGCCCUUGUACACGUGGCCAAAUCCCCCGUCGCCGACGAUGAAGGCACUGUCGAAGUUUUUGGUGGCGGCUUUGAUCUCGACAAGGGAAAACCGACGGCAUUGAUCAGACGGCAGAGAAAAAUUGUGGUCCUUGGUUGACUUGUUCGUUGAGAACAACAGCGGAGUCCACUUGGAAGUGGUGGAGAACAGAACAAAGAAAACGACAAGCGAGAUAAAAACGACACCGGAUACUAUCCCCGCCGUGAUACCAAUCAUUCGCCUUCUGUUACUUCCCUUUUGGUGUGGUGUCUUAAUCGGGUCCGGGUUAGGUCCGGCGAGGCUGUUAGACCUUGUGUCGCUCAUUUUAAAGAUCUCGAGACCGUUGAGGAAGGAAUCGCUAUACUUGGUACCCCUACUAUCAUAAGGAUGCAAUUGCAGGGAGAGGUUAAUCUUUUUCUGAUAAAUAUUCUUGGAAAUGAAAACGGCAUACUCUUUAUACACGCCGAAACCUUUCUGUUUCUGGCUCCAUAACAUAACAUCAGCGCGACUCUCCGCCAACUUGCUUGCUAUGUAAAUGAAGAAGACCCUUUCACCGGCGUCUUCAAUAUCGUGCUCAAACUCGCAAAAGUGGAGCCUGAGGACGUAAGUGAAGCCAGAAUCAACGGGAAACUCCCAUGUGAGGUUGCUGAUUUGGUUCAGGGAGGCGUUAGAACCCAUGCUACGCGCUGUUCUGUACAGUUCCUCGGGUGCCACGUAGUCAGUCUUCACUGUUAUGUUCAUCUUUCUAUCCGCCAUUGCUGAUACACCAGUGUUUUGUUUAAUGAAAUAACGUUCUUCGUCACCGGCCCAUUUUCUGAACAAACCGGUGUCGUUUCUUGGCGAUAUUUCUUGUCCUCCCACAUUGAUUCUAUACCCAGUCUCCAUUGCAAAGCGGGUUCCAACAACGAAGGGUUUGCUACUUCCCACGUUCGUGAAGCCCGUGUCAGUUACUGACGUGUAAUAUAAAUUGCUUGGCAUGGAAAGUACCUCGAUUCCGUUGAUGAAAGCGUAGGAGUUGGACUGCGAGGGAGUGAAGAUGAGGAUAAGACCCUGACCGUCCUCCACGUAGACGAUGUAUUCUUUGAAUAUGAUUUCCUUGUUUUCAGCGUCGGCGUUGAGAGAGGCGUUGAAAUCUUGGAGGAGGAUGAAUUGGUUGGAGUGAACAGAGAAGGAUGAGAGGGUGCGAGGAAAAGAAGGGUAAGAAGCGGGGAAGAAGAAGAGGCGAAGGAAUUUUGGGCCCCCUGUGUGGAAAUAGAAGGAGUAACUGAACUGGGAAGGAGAAAGGCGAGCAGUGGCGUAGGGGACAUGGUUGGUGGAAGGAGAUAGCGUUGUGGGUUUAGCUGAAACGGUGGCGUCUUCGUUUGUUAAGAGCAUAGAAUCUAUGUCCCCGGUCCAUGUCCUUUGGCCGUCGUAGGAUGUUCCAGAGGAACCGCAAGUGAUGGUGAAAUUGUCGAGUGGGGUGUAGCCUUGGAAGUGUGGGAAGAGGAGGAGAAGGAGGAAGAUGACAGCGUUGAAGGUCAUGGUUUGCAGUGAGAGUGAUGGAGCCAACACUUAUUAUCAUCUUUAGGUUGCAAUUGCUAGGAAGGCCGCGAGAAACAAUACGACUACUACUACCUGCCAGCUGCGUCAAAUAAAAUACAAAAACUUUUGGUUAACAACCUCUGCAAAAUGUAAUGUGCCAAAAAAAUAUGAUGUCCGAGGCAAUUUUAUAAUAACAAUAAUGAUUUCAGAUGCAUGUGGGAGAAUGCUUUUAUGAAACUCUUGUCCACCACAAUUGAGGACUUCUCCGAUGACGGUCAUCUUCAUAUUCUGGUUUCGUCUCUUCGACGAGUUUCUAUGCUACGAGGCCAAGUUGAAAGUUGUUGUUCUCAUGGGUCGCUAUCCCUCCCAGAUCGUCAUGCGAGAUCGUCAUUGUCGUGUUUAACGUGAUGACAUACCGAAACAACUUUAUCGCGUUUAACGUGCGGUCGCUGUCGUAAACGAUGAUGCGGAACUGGUCGGCAUCAAAACAGAUCCAUACAACUCUCAAAAAGCUGUCAUUUGAUGAUUCCAUUGUUGGAAGACCUACUAUGCUAGAAUCUCAAUAAAAUACCACGACUCAAUAAAAUAACUAUUACAUCUCACAUAAUUACUUAUUUUAUUAUGUAUUAUAUCAUAUAUAUGUAUAUAAAAUUAGAGUGUUAGUAUCUUUACACUAAGAAUAAUAACUGCAUCCUACCUAGUAACUAAAUAAAGAUCCCCGAAAAUAUUCUUACAUUUCAUAAAUCAAUAUAUUAUUACUUUAAUUAUACUUUUUAUAAUUUAAUAUAAAUUAUUAAUAUAUAUUAUUAUAUUGGUAGACUAGUUUGUAAAGGGAAAAUAUUUUAUCUUAUAUGAAUAUCAAAGUAUAAUUUUUUUCUUAAAAAUUAAUAUUUUAAAUGUAUUUUUUAUUUUAAUUUAAAUUUUAGUAUAAUGGAUUUUCUAAUGAUUGUUUCCUUUCGGUAUGUCAAAGUAUUUUAUUUUCCUAAAAAAAUAUAUUCUUUUACUAAUUGAGUCUAAAGAUCAUUUGGAAAGCCGGCAGAUAUUAAUAUUAAUGUCAUGAGUCAAACAAAUACUACACUUGAUAUAAAUUUAUAUUUUUAUAUUUAUAACUAGUCAUAUUCAUUAAAAAUAUAUUUAUGAUUUAUAAUUAUAUAUAAAGGACUUAUGAAAGUUUAGUAUGUAUAUAUUUAACCUUUAAACAUCUAUUUGAUUCUUAUAACUACACUCGUUCACCCUUUCAAACAAUUUGUUUCUGUUUCAGCAAACUAAAAAAAAAUAUUGGAACAUCUCUAAAAUUAGAACAUGGUGAUGUUUUAAGAUUGUUGAGGUGAGUGUUGUGAAAAUCAAUCAUCCUUAUAUCCAGAGUUAUAAUAUAUUUAUAGGAGUAUAAGUUGAAACUAAAUCUUUCUACUUUUCUAAAUAUUUAGAGUUUAUUUUUUCUUUUAUCAACAAUGAAUUAAUAAAAUAAAACGAGAUACUUAAGCGGUGUUCCAACCCUUAUGCGUACCUUUCUCUGUAUUAAAGUUCAGCAAUUCAAAACACAAUAAAGCAAAAAAAAUCUUAAACUACCAUAGACCCUUGCCCUUACAAACCCAAAGGAAUAGAAAAGCACUUUAAACCAGUCCUAACAGUAUUGUUUAGCAAAGCUAUAAACACAUAAAAGAUUGCUUCCUCCACCCUAUGCAUAUGGUUGAGUUGCAUGUGAAUACCUUGCUACUGGACCUCAGAUUUCAAGCAAAAGAAAUUGGGAAUUAAUGCAUCAUAAACAACUAGCCAAUUGCUUACGAAUAAACUACUACAACACACCACGUUUAGGUUCACUUUCCAUUCUAGCAUACCAACUCCUUACAGGCUCACUGCACGGAUAAAACAACCAACAAGUCCAUUGCAUCUCCAUCAGCACACACGGAAGACGCACAAUUACAUCACCGGGAUUAGCAAAUACUGCUACAUACAACGAGAAAAAACCAGCAGAGCACCCUACUUCCCUGCUUUUGGUUAUGCAUUUGGAUAAAGCUGUACCUGCAAAAACUUCAGAUCAAAGUUAGCUAAAGACUGUUUCUGGUAUGUGAUAUGUAUAGUCAUUCUUCUUGCUCCAUAGGUAGUUUUUCUUUAAGACAGUCCCUUGACAUCAGCAUCAGGAAGUCAGAUAACAUAGCAAGCAGGGCUGCUGAGGUAGAAUUGACACCUCACUCUUUCAAUGUUCCACGUCUUUGCAUGCACCUUCCCACCACCUGUUUGAGCUUAUGUCCCACCAAUCUUAAAAAGCAUUAUGGAACCAUCCCACCACCUUCUUGAAUUCAGUUUCUAACCCCUGCACCUUUGUUACUUGGUCUUAGGUAUCGAUUAAGCUAAAGUUUUAUGGCCUUUCAGAAUCUUCUCCAGAGCCCCUCAACCAAUCUGAAUCUGUCAACCCCUUCCUUUGUCCACUUCAAACCAAAAGGCCCAAAAUCAACCCAUCCUUUACUUGAUUCCUCUCAAACUCCUGCAUAGCAGAAAGGUGUAUUGACGCUUCCUGCACUCAACCCCUCUGUGACACCAGUUAUGACUACUACUACUGCUAAGAACCUGCAGUUUUGUUCCCCAAAUUCUUCUGAUACUACCAGGAUCUCUUGUAUGCUAUAUUUGCUUCCAUAAUUGACAGAAUUGUAAUACAAAUACAACAAAUACUGACCAUCACUUAACACAUAGAGGCACAUAUUUCACCCCUCCAUCUCCAGAGUUUAUCCUCCCAUGUGUACACCAAUCACUCCCUCCUGUCAUCCACAGUUUCGAAUACAUUGGUUAGGAUUUAGAAUCCAAUCGGAGAAAGCAUAGAUAUAAAAGACUUUAUCUUAUGUUUCAACCAUAACCAAGAAAGCAGUUGCGCCGAAUGAAAUACUUCUUUUGCCUCCAGAACCCCUUGUUUAAAAAUAAUCUCAUUUCUUUGAUCCCAAAUAUAUCUUACUAUUAAAUCUCUUUGUUAAUGCUUAAUAGGCCCUAUAAAUGACUCUUUGGACAAGUUACAUUCUCUUUUAAUAGAAGAUCAAGCUAACUCUUGGUACACAACCCCUCAGGCCUUUUCAAGCAAAAAGCCUUAUACUCAAGUUUUGGACGAGUUAAGCCUUAAAAAAUUGUUAAACUAAUUCAUAACUAACUAGUUUAUUUUAAACAAGAAAUAGAAAGAUAAAACCCAUUUCAAAAUGGUGUGACAUUAAAACAAAUUUAAUGUAGUUAACCGAAGCAUUUGAGCUAAAAACGUAUCAGAAUUGAAUAACUAUUUGAUCGUCGAUCUGAGUAGAGGUUUAUGAAAUUGUCUUAAUAAGAAUACCUGAUAGAGGACCAUCAAGCCACCACAAAUUUGGACUAAGAAGAUUGAAUAAGAUAGAGCUUUCAUUACAACAUCUAUUUCUAAGAGUCUUUUUCAUCUUCUUAGUCUUGUAUAAAGUAGUGGAGUUUGGUAAUUUUUGUAUAGGAUUUAAUUGAACUUGUAUUUGGGCCUUAUUUGGAAUUUUACUUGGGCCAUGUAUUAGGCUUAUUUUCAUGGGUCAUGUAUUGAGCCAAUUUGAGUAGGGUGUAAAUAGGAAAAAGAGUACAGUUAGAGUUACAAUUGGGCCUCUUUGGACCCAAUGCAACUUUAGACCAUCUAGGGUGCACAAAUAAAUUACUACAAUACAAAUAGAAACACAUGGAGUGUCAAGGAAUGCAUGAAGGUCCCCAUGUCAUCCUCUCAAUGGAGAGGAUUCCUACCAAUGCCAAAACACCACUUGUCUUCAUGGGAAUGGAGAUGAUUCUCUCCAAUUAAAGGAUGAUACUUGUCUACCUCUAAUUUGAGAGGAUUUGCUCUAAUUUGAGAGGAUUUGCUCUAAUGAGAGGAAGUCAAUUGUCACCAUGGGAGUGCAGAGUUUUUAAGGCUAAAACUUGUACCUUGAUUUCCCUUGGACCUAUAAAUACAAUUGUUAGCCCUAUUGUAAAUGAGCUUAGAAUUUAUUAAAGAAAUGUUGCCCAAAGUUGUGCACAUCUUGUCUUCUUUUCUCACUCUUUGUUAGCACUAGUUUUGUGUCUAGCUUAGAAAUUUUUACAAGUUGACCUAACCUCUUCUAAGUCUCUAUAUUGACCAACCAAAUUCAUCUUCUCCGUUUAAAUUUCUUCAUCCAUUUAACUCAUACAAGGCAUCCAAAAAAUCACAAGAUAUUAAAAAUCCCAAAGAGCUACAUGGCUUCAACAUAGGAUUAGAUCACUACCACUUUGACUUACAUGAGUGAAAUAAAGGCCAGAGAGUCUCGUUCUAGAGAGAAGAAACUUACACACUCAAUGAAUGAGAAGUGAAUUGUCCUAAGAUUGAGAUGGUUGAGAUAAAAGGGGGAUGUAGACAAAUGUUAAUGAAAAUCUUAAGUUGUAAAUAAGAUACUUAUAACCGAGCCCUGUUUUUUAUAACUUAUUAAUUGAAACCUUAAAGCUUAAAUUGUAGGUAAUUAACCGAGAUAUAACUUAUAACUUAUCACAACUUAUAAAUAGUGUAUUUAAGUGGUACCUCGUUAUUAGUGCAUGAUGUGUGUCAUUUGAAGACUUCGUGAAUUAAUUAUUAAAAAAGAGAGAUUCAAAUCCCGAUCAAAGUCGUAAUGGGGUGUACAACUCCACGUGCAUGUCCCAACCUAAUGAGGAUUAGAAUCUCGUUUAUAACUGUGUUGAGUUUUACAAACCUUGUGUGCAUCUCUCGACCUUGAUGAAGAUUAAAUUUUUUAUCAGAGUUGUAAUGAGGUGUACAAACCUCGCUUGCAUGUCCUGACCGUGAUGAGGAUUAACAUCUCGAUCAGAGCCAUAAUGAGGUGUACAAAAACCUCAUGUGCAUAUCCUAGUAAGAUCCCGUUAAAAGUCGUAAUGGGUUGUACAAACCUCAUGUGCAUAUUUUGACAGUGAUGAGGAUUACAAUCUCGAUCAUAGUCAUAAUGAGGUGUACAAAACACGUGUGCAUAUCCCGAUCGGAAUGAGGAUUAAGAUCUUAAUUAGAAUCAUAAUGGGGUGUACAAAACCUGCAUGGAUAUCUUGAAUAUGAAGAGGAUUACAAUCCUGAUCAGAAUUGUAAUGAGAUGUACAAAUCUCCCAUGCAUAUCCCGACUGUGAUGAGGAUUAAGAUCCUUAUUAGAGUCAUAAUGGAGUGUACAACCACACAUGCAUAUCCCAAAUGUGAUGAAGAUUAAGAUCCUGAUCAAAGUCAUAAUGGAGUGUACAAACCCCACAUGCAUAUCCCAAUUGUGAUGAGGAUUAAGAUCCUAAUCAAAUCACUUGAAUAUUAGAAAUCACCAACAAUUUAAUUUCUCUACACCGUCAAUAUAGAAUGUUAGCGUAGUGAAUUGUCUGGUUGAAUGAUUGGAUGUUAACCUGGUAAUGAUGGGACAACUAAAAAAACACUGAGAAAAAAUUGAGACAAUAGUCAUCAUAAUUUAUUACGAAAAACUACGGAAAAAGCAAAAGAAAUGAUAUGCGAUACCAGAUUUAGGGUUUGAAAGUCGGUUAAAUGUAGAGAAGGUGUUAGUACCCUACAACGUUUGUCUUAAGACAAUACCUUUUAUUAAAUAUGCAAAAAUGAAUGUGACUUUUUUUAGAAUAUUUAUUUCCUAAAAAAACAAAAAUGCAUGUGAAAAUAAAGAACAUAUUUUUUAAAUUUUUUAUUUGGGUAUGAGUCGUCCGUAUUAGGAACAUGUGUUUUUCUCUUUUCAGAUCAAAUUUAAUGACUUUAUAUUAUAUAUUUUCACAACUACUUAAUAUUCAUGCUAGGUUCUAAAUAACCAUUUACUUUUUAAAAUAUAUUCAUUUUGUUAAUGAUAAUAAUGGAAAUCCUUAUUAAUAAUAAUUAUAUAUAUAACAUAAUUUAAAUAAACAUAAAUAAUAUUAAAAUUAUCUAAAUAAAUUAACUUAACUAACAAAAUUAAUUUAAAUAUACAAAAUUAUUUAUUUAUUUUUUUGAAUUUUAAAUUAUUAUUUUUUUGUUUAUAAUUAAAACUUUAAUUUUUUUUAAUUAAAUAUAAUGUGCACAAAUUAAUUAUCAUUUAUUUCUUCUUUUUCUGUAUACAAGAGUAAAUUUGUAAUCUUACAUUGUACACAAUUAAAAAUAAUUCAAAAUAUCCUUAUCAUCAUCACAUUACUCACAUAUUUUAAUAAAUUUUUAUCACACAUCCACUCUAACAUACAUCAAUCCAAACACUCUCAACUUUUUUUUAGACUUUCUUUCUUCACACUUUUACUCUCCCACACAAUCUUAUCGAAAGCAUUAAAGGGAAUCAAGUCCUUGAACAAAAAGGGUACUAAAAUCUUCCAUCUCAGCUUUACUUAACACCAGUCCAAUCUCAAUUCCUCCACUGAUAUCCCUACUUUCACUGAGAGAAAAUGCUCUGGUUUUGUCUGUGGAUAUGAUAUCCAUCUUCUUUGGCCUUCCCCACCCAAAAUCAAUACUAUAAAUCUCCAACAAUGGAGAUCCAGUAGUAGAAAAGAUUAUAGUGUCCCUGAGUUUAUCCAUACCCGCACCCCAUGUUUCUGCUCCCUUCAACACUCCCUCUUCUUUCACCCUGUUCAAAGUCUCAACUAUCCCCUCCAAAGCACAAAUGAACCCAUCUUUUUCAACCAACUUCUUAGUCGGGACCACAAAGCUCCCUCCUCCAACGCAGUUUCCAAAAUAUGUGGCAGGAAUUGGAGGGUCCAAGCGCGAUCUACAGUCAAUACCAAAUACGAAAAACAUAUUUUCUUCCUUCAUUUGUUUCACUUUGACCAAACACGCCAACACUUAAGCACACGUGACACAAAAGGUUGAGAGAUGAACAUUCACUUUCAUCUUAGAGCUUCCAUGUUGUUUGAGCUUUAGAAUCUGUGAAGGGGUCAAUUCAAACAAACCUUUGAGUGCAUCGCUUGGUGUUUCCGUAAGAGAGUCCCACACCUUGAGACUUCGGUUAUUGGAACCAUUCUUAUUCUUCCACGACUCCGUGUACAGUUCACCGAUUCCAGAAGGGUCUCUUAUCAAUGAUCUGUCAAAGAAAGGUGUAAGAUGCUGAGGUAAGGACGGUGUUGGGGUGGGUGUAGUAGGGUUUUGAAGGGUAGAGCAUAUGUAGGCCCAUGAUUUGAUGAACAUGAUAGAAGAUAUUCCGUCGAAAGCUGCAUGGUGUGAGUUGAUUCCAAUGCAAAAGCCAGCAUUUGGGAACACAGUGACUUGAACUGCCAACAGAGACGAUUUAUCAUGGGAAUUGACCAAGUUGGGUGCUAAGUGGUAUCGUUGUGAUGCUUCACAGAGAUAGGAGGAAAGAUGGUUGAAGUUUUGGUGGGACUCAGCAACAGUGAAGGAAACAGUGUCGCCGGGGAGAUAGUUGAUGAUGGGUUGGGGAGAGUGAGAGGGCCAUGUGAGGGUGCCGGCGAAAGGUAGAAAGUGUUGGAGAGUGAGGGAAAGAGAGUGUUUGAGAGAGGGAAGAAGAGAGUGAAGGAAUGAAGAGGUUGGGUGUGGGAAGGGAUAGAACAAGAGAAGUUCAACAGGUGGAAAUCGAAGCCAUAAGAUGUCGAAGAAGGUUAGUGGAAGAGAGGUGGGAGGAAGGGUUGGUGCAUGAAAUGGUUCCACUGAACAAACUUGGAUAACUUUGAGAGGUUCCGGUGAUGAUGCUGGUUCAGCCAUGGUUCAAAGGAAGCCAAGGGAUGAGGGUUUUUAUAGGAUGGGGGCACCUUCAUAACCUGCUAUAACUACUUUUAGCGGUGAAACUAAAGGGAUUUAUUUUAAAAAUAUAACAUAUUUAUUAUAUAAAUUUAGUUUGAUAAAAAUAAAAAUAGUAUAAAAAUAAGUAAUGCGGUUAUUUGAUAAACAUAUCAUAUCAAUAAUACUAAAUAAAAAGAUUUUAUUGACACCAAAAAGUAAGAUACAUAGCUAUGACAAACUAUUAUGAUAAUAUAAUAAUAUUUUAUAUAUUUUUCCAAUACCAGGAGAAAGAGAAAAAACAAAACAUAAGGUGAAUCAGAGCUAAAUAUUCGACGAAGACCCGUAGGCAGAGAUUGACCCAUCCAUCAACAAACAUUCAGCACAACCAUUCUUUUAUCUGAACAAAUGCUGAUUGGAAAAAAUUUCCAGUCUGGAGAAGUAGUUUUUUUCUUUUUUAUCAUAAUAGAAUGAUAAUCAUCACCGAAUAAACUUUUGGAACGGAACAAAGGUUUAAAAAAGAUGGAGGCUCGGUGGCAAGGAGGUCAGGGAGGACCUGGUUCAAACCGUAAAGUUCAUAGUAGCUCAAAUAAUUUUACAACGUUCUUCUUUGCAAAUAUCUCAAAUGGGUAUGGGAAAUUGGACAUGAUCAAGAUUUUCAAAAGAUGGAUUAGGGUUAAGGAAGUGUUUAUCUCAAGAAGGCUUAAUAAUUGGGAGAGAAGAUUUGGGUUCGUUAAAUUCUUCGAAGUGAGGAAUGUGGGGAGGAUAGAGAUGGAUUUAGAUCAGAUAUACAUUGGUAAUAAGAAGCUACACUAAACAUUUCGAGAUACAGCAGGAGUGAGGUGGAACCUAAAAGGGUGGAGAGCGAAAACAGGGUGAAGCAUACAGAGAAGAUAAGGAACCACAGAAAGAUGCAAGAGGAGACUCGUGUCUUCCAUGAUCAGAAGAGAACAAAGGAGGUUUGGAAGGUGAAGACAGGGAGAAAAUCUUUUGUGUUGUCAAAGAGGAUUCACAAAGGAGUUGGAAGGGGCCAAUCAUUAAAACAGAACAACAGGUUUUACCUUGGAUGGAGUACAGCGUGAUUGGGCAGUUUAGAGUGAAUUGGACUUUGAACAGCUGGGUGACAAAUUUGUGAAAGGAGGCAUGAUCAUGGUUAGAGUGAGGUAUAUGGAAAUAAUCUCGUCCUCCUUACCCCGCGAGAAGAUCACAUGACAGUGCAUAAAGUUCUACACAAGUCCCCACUUGAAAUCAAAGGGGUCCCCAAAUACAUUGACACACCAGAAGUGAAACUAGUAUUGCACUAUCCAAUUCCCUAACCUUAAUUAAGCUCACUAGAGUCCCAUUUGAACCCUCACAAUACCAAAACAAAUAACUUUCAAACAAUAAGUUGGAGGAUCACAUGACAAUGCAUAAAGUUCUACGCAGGUCCCCACUUAAAAUCAAAGGCGUCGCCACAUACAUUGACACACCAGAAGUGAAGCUAGUCUUGCACUAUCCAAUUCCUUAGCCUCAAUUGAGCUCACUAGAGUCUCAUCUGAACCCUCACAACACCAAAAAAAAUAACUUCCAAAAAUUAAGUUGGAGAAUCACAUGACAGUGAAUAAAGUUGUACACAGGUCCCCAAUUAAAAUCAAAUGGGUUUCCACUUCACAGGUCUGGUCUCGUGUGCAUCUCUCGACCUUGAUGAAGAUUAAAUUUUUUUUAUCAGUUAUAAUGAGGUGUCUUUAUUUAAACUGCCUUCUGUGGUGGCAGACAAGUUAGUUCGGAUCCAAAGGAAUUUCCUUUGGGGGUGGGGCUCUGAUGGAAGGAAGAUCGCUUGGGCUUCUUGGGAUAAGGUGUGUGAGCCUCGGGAUUCUAGAGGUCUUGGAAUCAUUGAUCUUAGGAAAUUUAACUUGGCUUUAUUAGGAAAGUGGAUUUGGAGACUGGGUACGGAUAAAGGAGGUUUGUGGAAAGAGAUUCUUUAUUCUAAGUAUGGUGGUUGGAGAAGUUUGAGAGAAGGCGGUAAGUCUAGUAGGGGCUCUCUCUGGUGGAAAGAUUUGAAGGAGGUGUGGGAUUCAGAGGGUUGGGGUAGAAGUUUUAAAGAUGGGUUUAAGUGGAAAGUGGGGAAAGGUAAGGAGAUUUUUUUUCUGGGAGGACAGUUGGUUGAGCUGUGGUACUUUGAAGGGAGUUUUUCCAAGAUUUUUCUCUCUAAGCUCGGCUAAAAACGCAAAAAUGGCUGAGCUUGGGUAUUGGUAUAAUGGUGAAUGAGUGUGGAAUUUGGACUGGCGUAGAUCAUUUUUCGACUGGGAGAAGUCUUUGAACAGCUGUUUCAAAGUCUGCAAAAGGUGAAGUUGGUUUUUAGGGAGGCGGACAGUUGGGUCUGGAAGAUUGGGGAGAGUCAAACUUUCUCAGUCAACUCUGCCUAUGUUCAGGUAAGGCGGGUUAGAGGAGGGGAGUAUUCUCCUGUGUAUAGUAAGUUGUGGAGGUGCAAAGCCUUGCCAUCUGCUUUGUUCACUGCUUGGAGGGUGUUGGAGAAUAGGAUUGCCUCUAGGGUUAACUUGGUAAGGCGCAGAGUGGCGGUAGAAAAUCUCUUGUGUUGUUUGUGUGGGGAGGAGGAGGAGUCAUCUUGUCACUUGUUCUUUGUUUGCAGGUUUUCUUGGCGUGUCUGGUGUCUGUGCUUUAAGUGGCUUGGUGUGUCGUCUGUAAUUCACAAGGACCCUAAGUCAAAUUUUUCACAAUUCAGGAUGAGUCAGGCUUCUGUUUCGGUUAACGAAGUUUGGGGUACAAUUUGGGUUGGCAUUGUGAGCGAAAUCUGGAAACAUAGGAACUCGGUCAUCUUCAAUAGAGGUGUGGCAUAUGUGUCUGAAGUAUUCGCUUCAAUGCAAGUAAAGGUAUGGUCUUGGAUUUAUGCAAAGUCUCGUUCUGCUUAUUUCCCUUAUUCUAGUUGGGUUUUAAAUCCUUUGGCUUGUAUGAGGUUUAUUCAUUAACAUUGGUUAGUGUUGGUAUGGUUAUCCCUUUGCUAAUUUGGUAAGCGUUCUAAUAGGAGACUGGUAUCAAGUAUUUUUGUAUAAGGGUUGGACCACCCCUGAAGUGGUCCCUAUUUAUUUAUUUAUUUGUUUUAUUGUUGAUAAAAAAAAUAAUGAGGUGUCUCGACCGUGAUGAGGAUUAACAUCCCGAUCAGAGUCAUAAUGAGGUGUACAAACCUCAUGUGCAUAUCCUAGUCGCGAUGAGGAUUAAGAUCCCGAUAAAAGUCGUAAUGGGGUGUACAAACCCCGUGUGCAUAUUUUGACAGUGAUGAGGAUUACAAUAUCGAUCAUAUUCAUACUGAGGUGUACAAAACACGUGUGCAUAUCCCGAUCGUAAUGAGGAUUAAGAUCUUAAUUAGAGUCAUAAUGGGGUGUACAAAACCCGCAUGGAUAUCUUGAAUGUGAAGAGGAUUACAAUCCUGAUCAGAGUUGUAAUGAGAUGUACAAAUAUCCCAUGCAUAUCCCGACUGUGAUGAGGAUUAAGAUCCUUAUUAGAAUCAUAAUGGAGUGUACAAACCCCACAUGCAUAUCCCGACUGUGAUGAGGAUUAAUAUCUUGAUCAAAGUCAUAAUGGAGUGUACAAACCCCACGUGCAUAUCCCAAUUGUGAUGAGGAUUAAGAUCCUUAUUAGAAUCAUAAUGGAGUGUACAAACCCCACAUGCAUAUCCCGACUGUGAUGAGGAUUAAGAUCCUGAUCAAAGUCAUAAUGGAGUGUACAAACCCUAAAUAUUAGAAAUCACCAACAAAUUUAAUUUCUCUACAGUGUCAAUAUAGAAUGUUAGUGUAAUGAAUUGUCUGGUUGAAUGAUUGGAUGUUGUUUUAACCUAGGUCAUGACGAGACAACUAAAAAAACAUUGAUAAAAAAUUCAUACAAUAGUCAUCAUACUUUAUUAUGAAAAACUACGGAAAAAGCAAAAUAAAUGGUCUGUGAUACCAGACUUAGGGUUUGAAAUUUGGUUAAAUGUGGAGAGGUCUUACCACCCUACAACGUUCGUCUUAAGACAAUACCUUUUAUUAAAUAUACAAAAAUGAAUGUAAUAUUUUUUAGAAUAUUUAUUUUCUAAAAAAACAAAAAUACAUGUGAAAAUAAAAAGAAAAUAUUUUUUAAAAUUUUUAUUUGGGUCUGAUAAUAAUUAACCUUAGUCGUCUGUAUUUUCAUUUACAAUAGAAAAUUAAGUUUUACAUAAGGUCAAAAAAAUGUUGAUUGGUUUUUAUAAUUUUAAAAUUUUAAAAUUUUAUAUUUUUUAGGAUUUAAUUUUUUUGUAUAAUUCACGCUAAUUAAAAUAUAAAAUUGUUCGAGAGACUAUAUUUAAUACUCUAUAUACUCUUUUAUGAAUCAUAUAGUAAGUACAAAAAAUAAUGUAAAUUAUACAUCGAUAUUUUGAUCGUUUACAUUUUAAGUGAAAUUUUCACUGUCAAAACAUAUUUUUUUUAAUGAAAAUUCAUAUUUCUUUAUUUAUUUCAAUAUAUCAAAGAGAUGAUGUAAUCAUACAAGUGUCUAAAAUUUAUUUGGAGAUAGUAUCAAAAUUAUAUUUUUAUUUCUUCUUUUUAUUAUUUUUGAACAAAAUAAAAAAAAUGUUGUGUAUAUGAAAAACGGGUGCCAAAUAGUAGGAACAGAGCCGAAUAAAAGGCCUGCGCUUUUCAAAGAAAAUUAAAGUUGGUGUAUAAAAUAAAUAGCGUGUGACAAAUAACAAAAAGGUCUGGCCAGCUGUUUGUGAAAAUGGUUGGCUAGACAAAUAGGCCCAGUUUGUUUUGGAAAAAACAUUAAACCGACAGGAUGGUGCAUAUAAAAAAUAUGCUGCAAAUAGUUAAAGACUGGGCCGAACUAAUGGGCCCAAACUCUCUCUUCUUUAAGAGAACAAAAUGCUGGGCUUGGUAAUAUCAAACUGGGGGCCUCAAAUAGUAAAUGGUCUGCAUUUCAAAAUAAUAACAAAAAAUGGAAAAAUUGUCAUCAAUUCCUUUUAAAUGGAAACAAAAACAAAAAUAGCCCCAUACCAACCAAAUGAGAAAAAAAAGUAUCUCUCCACCUCUAUAUUAAUUGUGAAAAAUCAGUUUUAACCUUUUAAAAUUUUUUAAAUAACCCUAUGUGAAGUAUAAUCUCAUAUUUUUUUAAUAACUUCAGUUGCACCUCAUACUUCCCUUUCAUUCUUCUCUAGCCCUAGCGUUUGAGAGGAUGGUCUCAUCAUUUGAGCGCAUGUGAGAUGGUUAGUGAGAAGAUUCGUUAUAUUCAAUGUUUUCUAAAUAUUUUGUAUUCCAUUUUUGUACUUUGUUGAUUUUUUUUCUAGGUUUUGUGUCUUCUAAAUUUUUUUAAAAAAAAUAACGAAAAUACAGUUAUCAAUAAAAACAUUACAAAAUUUAUUUCAACCAAAAUUUACCACCGACUAAACCCUAAACCCUAAUCUUGGACGUAAAUAUAUAACUAAAAGAAGCACCUACAAACUUAAAAACUUACCGAGACAAAAACGUAUUCUACGAAACUUUGUGCAGCGGACACUCAUCAACCAUGGAGAAAAACCAUUGCAGUCAUCACCUGUUAACAAAAAAAAAAAACACGUAUCCUUAACCUCUACAUACGAGACACGUGUAAGGAUAAUGUCUGAGGGAAGAAAGGAAGAAGGAAGAGAAGGAAAGAAAGAUUUUACUGUGUUCUAACUGUUUUACAGAAAUCAGAGGGUCAUAUCUAUAAAACUGAGAAAGGGAUAGAUGGUCCCAUGAACAGUAACACGGUCUAUCUCGUAACAUCUUUCCUUAAAAUUGCGGUGGGAAAAACACGAACCACAAGUUUAAAGUUUAUGUCUAAGUCUAAUAAGGAGGCACGCACACGAUAUAGGUUUCGUGAAAAGAUCAACAACUUGAAAGUAGAUAGAUUUGUGAGAAGGUCACUAAUUUAGAAGUACGUUGGAAAGUGAAUGAGUUCGAGUAAACGUUUUUUUAUGAACCUGACAAGAUUUGUCUAACUCAAAGUGUUCAUCUAACUCAUUAUUUGGAGUGAGAAUGUAUAAUAGACUUCAUUAUUGUUAUGAGAAAAAAAAAAUUAAAUUAAAUUAGUUACUAUAGCAAAUUUUAUAAACAGAUUCAAAGAUACUGGUGUGUUUAAAAAAUAUUAUAUAUAGGUGCAAAAAGAAAAGAGUCAAGCAGCCUCUAAGUUCAAUAAGAGAGUCUUAUAAAUAGAUGUUCAACAUAAAAGGUAAGUAGAGUGAAUUAGAUAUCAAUUAUUUAGAUUCUAAAUUUGCUAGCAAAAACCUUAGUUGCUAAUUUGAUAUCAAUAUAAAAACCAUUUAACAAUAAUGGAAACUAAUUUAGAAACUAAAUUUUUUUUGUCUCAAAAAUGGUUUCUACUUUAGUCACUAUAGCAACUAAUUAUUUUUUGUCUCUAAAAUUGGACUCUAUUUCAUGAUUUUCUUGUAGUGCAAUGUGUAGCUCAGUGAGAAACGAUUGGACCCAAGUGAUGUUAGCAAGCUGGUAUGCUUCUCUAUUUUUUGGUACUACUAUGGGAAACAACUUUUUAUUUUUGAGAGUCCCAUGAGAUUAAGUUGCAUCCAAAAUACACACAAUAACCAGUUGUAGAUCGUUUGUUGUAUAUAUCAUACCCCUAGUCUACAUCACUAAAGUCGAUGAUGGAAAAACUAGAAAAUAAUGGGUUAAGAAUAAGACCACGAUGCAUUGUGCCAACUAAGUACCGUAAAAUCAAUUUGACAACCUUCCAAUGAUGUUCUUCAGAGUUAUGCAAUUAUUAGCAAACUUUGUUGACAGAGAACGAGAGCUCCAAUCUAUUGAUAGUAAGAUAUUGUAGAACACCGACUACAGACUACAAAUCUAUAAUGAGUGAAGUCUUGAAUAACAGUGAUUCUAUCUUGUAUUAGCUUGAGAGAAGAGACCAUAGGGGUUGCUUGAGGACGAGCAAUUUAGCAUGUGUGUUCUGUUAAGAAGUUCUUUGGUAUAUUUGCUUUGAGUUAGAUGAAGACCGUCAUUAGAUGUAGGAAAAACCUUUAUUCCAAGAAAGUAGUGUAGGUAACCGACGUCUUUUAACGAAAAUUUAGAUUGAAGAAUGUUGAUGAAUUAUUGAACAACGAUAGUUGUGUUUCUUGUUAUUAUUAUGUCAUAAACAUAUAUGAAAAUGUAUAAUGUGUUACCAUGCCAAAAUUUGAUGAAGAGAGAUGAAUCGUUGACUCAAGCAUCAAAGCCCAUGUCUGAUAGAGUUUGACUUAUUUUGUAAAACCAGGAUCAAGGAGCGUGCUUCAAGUUGUAGAUAACUUUAUCGAAUUUGCAGACAAGAUGAGGGUGAUUAUAAUUGAAACUCGAUGAUUGUUAUAUGAAGGCAAUCACUUUGGGUGUGUUUGGAUUGAGGAGAGGAUUUGAGAGAGUGAAUUUAGAGUGAUUUGAGAGAAAAGUGUAAAGAAAGAGAGGUUGUUUGGAUUAGGGUAUAUUAUAGUGGAUUUGUGAAGAAAGUUUAUUGAAGUUUGUGAGUGAUAUGAUAGUUGUAAGAAGAUUUUUAUUUUUUUUAAAUGUGUAAAAUAGAAGUUUACAAAUUUACCCUUUCUCUAAAAAAUAUUUAAAUAAUAAAAUAUAAGAUUUUUAUAAAUAUAAAUUUUAGUUAAUUUAGAUUUUAUAAAUAUAUAUAAAAAUAUUUUCAUAAUACUAUUAUUAUAUAAAUUAUCUUUUAUUAUAAAUAAUUAUAUUUAUUAUUAUUAUUUUAUUUUUAUAAUUAAUUAUUAUUAUUAAUAUUAUUAAAUAAAUUUAUAACAUCAAGGAUAAUAAGGAUAAUUAACAAUGUCUAUGUGGCUUUCUUUGUAUAUCUUCGGACACAAGUGAAGAUAGAAAAAGUUAUUUCCGUAUUUUUUUCGCUCACAAAUGCUCGGUAAUUAAUAGAAAUAGACAAAAAUAAAAUAAUCCAUGCUUUUCUUUCUUCGUGUACAGUGAAUAAGCAGAAAAGCUUUGAGAUUUCCAUGAGAAUAUGCAUUAUCAAUAUCAAAUAUGAUGGAUGAGUCACUUCAUAAACAACGCUUGAGUGAAAAUGUGGCAGACUUGACAACUGGACUAAAUGUACUAGAUUUUUUUUUUGUUUUAUACCGUGCUAGAUUUUGUUUAUAUCUUAAUAAAUACUAAAUGAUAUGAGCAACUAUAAUAAUAAUAAUACUAGAUAUUCAAUAAAUAUUUUAAUCACAAUUUAUUAUUUGUAAGAUUUUUAAAAAAAUAAAAUAAAGUAUUUAUAAAAAAUGUUACAGAACUUAUUCUUUUUAAAAUAUUUUAUAAAAAUAAAAAUUUCAAAAUAAUUAAUUUUAAAAAAAAUUCUCUUUAGAAAAAUCUAAGACUUAUAUAAAAAAUUUAAUAAAAAGAAAAAUGAUUGAUUAACACCUUAACGGUCCUUUGUAUCCAACGACAGAAUUUUAGAGAGUGAAAAAAUGCACUGAAAACACACGAAUCAAGAAAUAAAAAAAUAUUAAAAUAUAAAAAUUGAGACAAAAUUGUAUGAGUGUUCUUUCUUUACAUACGAAGAAUUAUAAAAUGAUAUAAAUUUUAUAUUAUUUUUUCACAUAAUAUAAAUUUUAUUAAAAUAUUAAUAAAUAUAUAAAAUGAUAAUUAAAAUAAAAUAUAAAUAAUUAAUUUAUGAAAUAAUAAAUAUAAUUAAAAAUAAUAAUUAAUAAUGAUAAAAAUAAAUAAUAGUAAAAUUAAAAUUAAUUUAUAAUAUAUGUCCCGACCAGUCUUUGGUCAUCGACUCAGAGACUGACCUCAGACAUCGUGCAUCGAUGCUUGGUAAGGGACGGGGGCCACGAGGCGGAACCCAGAUGAUAAGUGCCAAUGUGUAGUUUUUAUGAUUGAGAAAAUUGAACACUUUGGAACUUAAUUGUUGCUUAAUGUAAGAAAAUUACCCUAAUCUGAGAAUUAUUGAAUCUGAUUAUAUAUUUUGAACCAAGAAACAAAUGAAGAAAUUUAAUCUCAAUUUUUGUGUAAAUUGCAGAUGAAUAUGAAGCAUUGAAAGAAUUAUUCAAGCUGGCAUUGAAAGAAAGAAAGUAAAAACUUAAUUGGAUCACAAGAAGAUUUAGCUCAAGCUAGAGGAUUUAGCUCAAGCUAAAACUGUCUAGAGUUGAUUAAAGGUGCAGUACAAUUCUAGCCCAGGCUAGAAUUGCUAGCUCAAGCUAAAACUGUCCAGAGUUGAUUAAAAGGUGCAGUACUGAUCUAGCUCAGGCUAGAAUCGCUAGCUCAAGCUAAAAAUGCACCGAAAGAUCUAGCUUAAGCUAAAAUGGGCUAGCUUGAGCUAAAGUUGAUUAUAUAAAUUCUGAAACAUAACUCAAAACCAGCGGUGGAAAACAGAUUGGGUUUUUUAGAGAGAGACUAGUGAGAGAAAGAGAAGAAACCUCUGUUCUUAGGAGAAGAACUUGCUCAGAUCAGCCCUUCUUAUGCAAUCCAGAUCAAGAAUGAAGAUUGGAGGAGCUGUCAUGAGUGGCUAAGUUCUUUCUAACUUGGGAUUGAAUGUAAUUUAUCUUGAUCAAAUGUAUUCUUGGUGAUAUAUAUAUAUAUAUAUAUAUAUAUAUAUAUGUGCUGUAGAUUGCCGAUCUUUGGAGGGGCUUUACGUUAGCGCAAGAAUCAANNNNNNNNNNNNNNNNNNNNNNNNNNNNNNNNNNNNNNNNNNNNNNNNNNNNNNNNNNNNNNNNNNNNNNNNNNNNNNNNNNNNNNNNNNNNNNNNNNNNUCUAUAUUUGAUAAGUUGGUUUUGUUACAUCCAGAAUCAAACCCUAAAUCUUUGAGUUCUUGUGAAAUCUUUAAUUUGGUUAUGAACAAAGUCUCAAAAUUAUUUUCUAUACUUAGUGAGUUUUAAAACAGAACAUCUUAAUUAGAAUUGUUCCCUGUGGGUUCGACAUUCGUACUUUAAAGAGUACUAUAUUACAGUUGAUUCGGUACACUUGCCGAGAAAUAUCAACACCAGACACACUUACCAGGGGAACAAUUAGUCUUUGGACAUUGGUAUCAUAGACCCCGAUGUUGGAGAUCGACAUCGGACCCCGCCAGUAGAGGGAGAAGAUCGGACAUCGGUGGUUUGAACAUUGUACAGGGCCACGUAAGGUGGGCCCUAAAGUUAUGAUAAGUUAACAGUUAAAGACAUGAGAUAUGUGGGAAGCCUAAGUCACGAGGGAUCCAUGCACGUGGUGUGUAUGACGCAUGAAGGCGCAACACGUGUGAAUAAUCCUGGGAGGCGUUAAAGCCCAUUAGGGUUAGGGUUUUCAGGGAAAGUUGCAUGCAUGGCACGUGAAUACUUAGGGAACCCACAAAGCAGAUGGCGCUAGAGAUUAGGUGCACAAGUUGGUACCCAAGCGGCCACUCUGUUAUUCGUUGCACUCCAGAUAAGGGAAGUUCAUGUGCUAGAUACGCUAAGAUUCUGUGAAUAGCGGCGCAAGGACGCUCCCCAAGGAACCCUAGAUAAGGGUAACAACACAAAGGUAAACCCUAGCUUCAACCUAUAUAAAGGGUGCCAAAACCCUAGAAAGGUACACAGUUUCUAAGACUGAAGCUAAUAUACACACUUGGUGUUUCUUUGCCCUAAUACUGACUUGAGCGUCGGAAUGCAAACGGUCGCUAGGGCGUCCUUUUGUCUUUGCAGGUGAGAGGUUUCUUGAUCAAGGACAUUAGAUUCUCAGGCGGAGAUAGAAGGGCCAAAGGCUACCGUUGGAGUCAACCGGCAAAGCGAGUCAACCGGCAGGAACAAUAUACAUUUUACACCUUUUAAAAAAUUAAAAAAAUUUCACACAAUCAUCACAUUACUCACAAAAUUCAAUAAACUUUCCUCACAAAUCUACUUUAACAUACCCCAAUCCAAACAACCUCACUUUCCUCUCAAAUUAAUCCAAAUCCACUCUCUCAAAUCUCUUCCCCAAUCCAAACACACCAUAAACGAUAAUUUACAUUUUAUCUAUAUCUAGAAAGAAAAAAAUAAUGUAAUUUUAAAACAUGUAUAUAUAUAUAAUACAAAUAGAGAGUACUCUUAGGAUAAGUUUAAACACGUGUCAUCACCAGAAUUUUUCACAAAUAAAAAAUAAAAAAUAUUUAAUACCAAAAAUAGAAAAACUUCCACCAAUCAACACAACACACCCGGACCAACCAAAAUGUGCCACGUAGGAGUUUUUAAAAGUAAAAUUUCUCUCUCUCAAACCGCUAUCCCUCUUUUUUUGUAUAUCACUCUCUUCUCUCUCAAACCGCUAUCCCUCUUUUUUUGUAUAUUACUCUAAUUGUUACGUUUUCGCAUUUUUUAGGGUUUUCUUAUUAAAGUUGCUUGCUUUUAUCUUUUCGACCGAUACUUUUGAUUUGUGGUUUGUUUUCUCCAGUCUUUUUGCCAUUUUUGGUUCUCUGUUUCUUACAUUUUUUCGUAACUGAUGCAGUUUGUAGGUUUUUCUGUUCAAAGUUUCUUUCUUUUAUCUUUUGUGUCGAUUCUCUUCAUCUCUUUUAUGGUUUAUUUUCUCCAUUGUUCAUAUCUUUUUCAGUUUGUUUAAUCUACUAUUCUUGAUAUUGUUGCUUAUCUGUUUGUUACAUUUUUUCACAACAUAAAAAUGAUUUUUUUUUGUUUUCUUAUCAAAGUUGUUUGUUUUUAUCUUUUAUGUUGAUUCUCUCCAUCUCUUUUAUGGUUUGCUUGCUCCAUUGUUCUUGAUAUUUUUGCUUCUUUGUUUGUUAUGUUUUUUCACAACAUAAAAAUGAUUUUUUUGGGUUUUCUGAUCAAAGUUGUUUGCUUUUAUUUUUUCUGUCGAUUCUCUUCAUCUCUUUUAUGGUUUGUUUCAUCCAGUGGUUUUGAUAUUGUUAUUUCUCCGUGUUACAUUUUUUUGCAACAUAAAAAUGAUAUUUUUAGAUUUUCUUAUCAAAGUUGCUUGGGUUUUAUGGACAAGAAUAUCACCUCAUUUUUGUCGUUUUCUGCAUUUUUUUUCUUUUUUGUUCAAUGUUUCUUGCAUUUUUUUUUCUGUCCAUUUUGUUCAUCUCAUUAUUUGGGUUUUUUUUUCACUUUUUCCUUUUCUGAUCAAUGUUUCUUGCGUUUAUUGGUUCUGUUCAGUUUGCUCUUCUCAUUCUUUUCGUUUUCUGUAUUUUUUUCUAUUUUGUUCAGUGUUUCUUGCAUUUAGCUUUUCUAUCCAUUAGUUAAUCUCAUUCUUUUCAUUUUUUUGCAUAUUGUUUUCUUUUUUGUUCAGUAUUUCUUGCAUUUACCUUUUUUGUUCAUUUUGUUCAUCCAUUCUUUUUUGUUUUUUGCAGUUUGUUUUCUUAUUUGCCAGUGUUUCUUGCAUUUAGCUUUUUUGUCCAUUCAGUUCAUCUCUUUAACGAUUUUUUUUUGGCAAUCUAAUGUUUUUCUUCUUCAUCUAAUUUGUUCAUUGAUCCAACUUUUGAAAGUUUAUUUUGUUGAAAUCUGUUUAUGUUUCCAUCACUAAUUACGUGUAAUGAUGGUUUACUGCUCAUCACUUCCUAUGUAUUCAUUAUUACAUUCAUUAAAUCUUAUUGCUAAGUGUCAUCUAACAACAUUUUUUGUGAGUUGGGUCUUAUAAUAUCAAUCCUUUUCUUUAGUUGGGCCUUAUAAUAUCACUUCAUUUUUCUGACCUUAAUAAUUAGUAAUAUAUUAUAUAACUUAGCAAAAUGUUUUGUUUGGUAUUCUUUCUUUACUGCUUCAAAGCAUAUCAGAUUCAGAAUUGGGAUGACAAUACUAGGUUGCCAACCAAGGGUAGAUUGAACUCUAUGAACAUCUGUGGUGAGGUAUGUUGUAUUCUUUUUAGUUAACUAACAUUAUUGUUUUACAAAAUACGAUAAAAACUAAUCAUGCAAUUAUAUACAAAUUGUUAAAUGAUAUUGCUUUUGUGGAUAUUUCUAUUGAGCUCAGUGUUCAAUUUGGAUUGUCAUGUGUAUUGAUACUUUAUGGUUCACUUAUUUUAAGUACCAUUGUAAUAUUCUUUUAUUUUAUUGGUGGAGUACUUGGCAUCAAUUUAUGUGCCUAACUCCAAAUUCAAGUUUCUGUAGAGAACCAAAUUCAUGUAUUCAAUAAUUUGUCAUAUUGGUUUAUGUAGUUAUUUUUUGUUAUUUUAUCCAGUAGUUUGCAUAAUUUGUUGUAUUCCUAUUUCCGUAUAGAAACACAAUUUUUUUUUAUUUACAAAUCUUAAAUUAAUAAAUGUAGUACUUAAAUAAAAAUUUGCAAUAAAUAAAAUACCUAAAUUAUUUAAAAUUAAAAAUAAAUAGAAAUCCUAAAUUAUUGAAUGUCAUACUUAAAUAAAAAAAAUUACAAUAAAUGAAAUUCCUAAAUUAUUUAAAAUUAUAAAUAAAUAAAUACAAAUCCUAAAUUAUUGAAUGUCAUACUUAAAUAAAAAUUUACAAUAAAUAAAAUUUCUAAAUUAUUUAAAAUUUUAAAAAAAAUAAAAAUCUUAAAUUAUUUAAUGUCCUACUUAAAUAAAAUAUCUAAAAUAAAUAAAAUUCUUAAAUUAUUCAAAAUAUUAAUAAAUAAUAAUUCUAAAAUAUUUAAUUCUAAAAAAUACAAACAUUAAAUUAUGUAUUAAAAAAUUAUUUCAAUUAAAAUAACUAAUUGUUGUAAUGCAUUCAGACAUGUAUUUGGUUGUUUGUUUACAAGAACAAGCGGCACAGUCACCGAUGAACAAAAAUUAAUAGAAGUUUUUGUUAAUUAAAUUUAUUGUAUCAUAUUAUUCUAUCUUAUUUAUUCUGUAACUAUUAACUUGAGUUGUAUAUUUCUUUAAACUACUGAGACAAAAACUAUGACAAGUACGCAAUCAUUCUUCAUAAUUUUUUUUAAAUAUUUUCAUGAUUUUAUUAAUUGUCCAUGGUUAUAUUUAGAUUUUUUUACUUUUUGCAAUAAUGCAAUUAACGUGUUGUGCUAAUUGAGAUGUGUUGACAUUAAAUAUAAUAUUUAUCAACACUUAUAUUAUAACACCUAAAGAAAAGCAACUAUGUAGUCCAUUUUGUAUUGUUUUUUAGUAUGUUCUGUUGUUUUACUGAGUAUUUCUUCUGUUACAAAGAUUUAAAUUUAACAAUACAUCUUACUCAUGUUGUUCUGGAAAUUAUUUUACAUUUUUCAUGAAAUUGUUGUAUGAAUUGAGCGUUAAAUAGAGUUGGUAAAAAGUAAUGAAGUUGUUGCAUUAUUUUGUAACAGUAUUUCUGAUAAUUCAUGAUAUGCUGCGUUAUGUGACAAUUACUAUGUCAAAAAGUGUUUAUUUAAUAAUAAGAAGUCAGUAUACAAUGUUUUCCAAAAUACGAUUAUAUAUUUUAAGUUAUGACUUGUUGUCUUUAGAACAAUGUGUUUAUCAUUGCUAUGUGGUUAACAUGUAUAAUAAGACAGCUACACCAAUAUAUGAUUUUUAAAAUUACUUUCUUCAUUAUUACCUCAUGGAUAUUGUAUCUAAAAGAUUCCCUAUAUUUUAUUUUUGCAGCUAUAAAAUGAAUUUAACACACCUAUAUGAAAAUAACACAUAGUUCAGAAAGCUCAUAUGAUUCCCAAGAGUGUUCAAAUAAAAGGUAUAUUUAAUUCAUAUUUUUUAUUAUUUUUAUAUUUUAUAGAUUUUAUUUAAUUAUUUUGAUAACAUUAUAUCUCCUUCAAAAAGGUAAUAUUGAAAAAAGAGACCAUACAAUUAUCCUGUAUAAAUCAUUAAUUUAGAUCAUAAUACUUUUUAUUUUUAGUAGAUUUUAUCUUUAUUUAAAUUAUGUAAUCAAUAAUUAAUGUGAUUUUGAUUUAUAAUUAUGAUAAAACAUAUUCAAUAUGAUAUUAAAUGUAAUAUAUUAACAUUAUUUUUCUUUAUUUCUUUAAUAUUAUAAUAUUAUAAAUUAAGUUUAUAAUUUUUAAAAUAUAAUAGUGCGGUUAACUGUUAUUCAUUCUCAUUUAUCGUCUUCUAAGUGUUUUAAAAUAUUAUUUAAUCUUCAAAUUUUUUUUAUAUUGUAUUUUUAAUAUAACAAUUGUAUGUAUUUUAUAUUUAUAUGAUUUUUAAUUCAUUUAAUUUAAAAUUAUAAAAUAUUGUAUAACUAAUAUUAUAAUUUAAUAUAUUAUAUUUUAGAAAAAUAAAUCUAUUUUAAUAUAUAUGAUUUAUUUAUUAUUUAAAAUUAUAAUAUUAUUAUUUAAAUAUGAAAUAUUUAAAAUAUUCCCAUACACGAGUCGGUCAAAAUACUAGUAUACAUAUCUUUUAAAAGAACAAAAUUGUGUGUGUAUCUUUGAAGAUGGUCUAUUUGUUUACCACAUGCUGUCCAAACAGUGUUUGUUGGAAAGUGUGUCACAUAGAAAAAGAAUACCUCUUUAUGCUUUAUUCAAGGUAAUUUAAUUGCAUCACACAAACCAAGGAUCCAUCACAUUCAUGUUAAAGAACAGAACACAGAAUUCGGACAUAAGAAAAUAAGAAAACUACCUGCGUGAACUAGUUGAUAACAAAAGCAUAAUUUCCACAAGAGAACUAUUAUAUGAACAUGGUGCAUUGAUACCCAUUUUUCUUCUACACCCACUUUAUAAUUUUUUAUAAUUUUCAAAUUUAAUUCUUUGAAUUUUCAAAUUUUACUCUUUGAAUUUUCAAAGUAUACUUUUCCUGGUGUAUUCCACAGACAAAUUAUUCUUUCACACUACCAUUUUUUUCUCACAUUCACAUUUAUAACUCCGUUUAAUAAUAAAAUAUUUUAUUUAACUAAUAAAACAAAUAUAAACAAAAUUUUAAACUAAAAUAAUAAUAUCUUUAGAAAGAAAAAAAAAUGAUAGUAUCAAAGUAUCUGUAAGUAUUCCAUAUACCUGCAUUAUUGAAUCAGCUCUUAUAACAGAAUAAGCUAAUUCUCACCACACAGUCAUUUUCAUUUAUUUAUCCCACUAAACUAACAUAUAUGAAUAAAGUGGGUAGAUAUGAAAGGGAAAGAUUACAUUUUUCUGAGAGCAAUGAAGCUUGAAACUUAAAGAGAAUCAAGUCCUUGAACAAAAAGGGUACUAAAAUCUUCCAUCUCAGCUUUACUUAACACCAGUCCAAUCUCAAUUCCUCCACUGAUAUCCCUACUUUCACUGAGAGAAAAUGCUCCAGUUUUGUCUGUGGAUAUCAUAUCCACCUUCUUUGGCCUUCCCCACCCAAAAUCAAUACCAUAAACCUCAAACAAUGGAGAUCCAGCAGUAGAAAAGAAUCUAGUCUCCCUGGGUUUAUUCAUACCCGCACCAAAUCUUUCUGCUCCCUUCAACACUCCCUCUUCCUUCACCCUGUUCAAAGUCUCAACUAUCCCCUCCAAAGCACAAAUGAACCCAUCUUUUUCAACCAACUCCUUAGUCAGGACCACAAAGCUCCCUCCUGCAACGCAAUUUCCAAAAUAUGUGGCAGGAAUUGGAGGGUCCAACCGCGAUCUACAGUCAAUACUAAAUAUGAAAAACACAUUUUCUUCCUUCACUUGUUUCACUUUGACCAAACACGCCAACACAUAAGCACACGUAACACAAAAGGUUGACAGAUGAACAUUCCCUUUCAUCUUAGAGUUUCCAUGUUGUUUGAGCUUUAGAAUCUGUGAAGGGGUCAAUUCAAACAAACCUUUGAGUCCAUCGCUUGGUGCUUCCGUAAGAGACUCCCACACCUUGAGACUUCGGUUAUUGGAACCAUUCUUAUUCUUCCACGACUCCGCGUACAGUUCACCGAUUCCAGAAGGGUCUCUUAUCAAUGAUCUGUCAAAGAAAGGUGUAAGAUGCUGAGGUAAGGAUGGUGUAGUAGGGUUUUGAAGGUUAGAGCAUAUGUAGGCCCAUGAUUUGAGGAACAUGGUAGAAGAUUUUCCGUCGAAAGCUGCAUGGUGUGUGGUGAUUCCAAUGCAAAAGCCAGCAUUUGGGAACAAAGUGACUUGAACUGCCAACAGAGAUGACUUAUCAUGGGAAUUGGCCAAGUUGGGUGCUAAGUUGUGUCGUUGUGAUGCUUCACAGAGAUGGGAGGAAAGAUGGUUGAAGUUUUGGUGGGACUCAGCAACAGUGAAGGAAACAGUGUCACCGGGGAGAUAGUUGAUGAUGGGUUGGGGAGAGUGAGAAGGCCAUGUGAGGGUGCCGGCGAAAGGGAGAAAGUGUUGGAGAGUGAGGGAAAAAGAGUGUUUGAGAGAGGGAAGAAGAGAGUGAAGGAAUGAAGAGGUUGGGUGUGGGAAGGGAUAGAAGAAGAGACGUUGAACAGGUGGAAAUCGAAGCCAUAAGAGGUCGAAGAAGGUUAGUGGAAGGGAGGUGGGAAGAAGGGUUGGUUCAUGAAGUGGUGCCACUGAACAAACUUGGAUAACUUUGAGAGGUUCUGGGGAUGCUGCUUGUUCAGCCAUGGUUCAAAGGAAUGGAGAUGUGAGGCUCUUCAAAAGGAAGCCAAGGGAUGAGUUUUAUAGGAUGGGGGACCUUCAUAACCUAGUAGAACUACUUUUUUAGCGGUGAAACUACCGGUGAAACUAAAGGGAUUUAUUUUUAAAAUAUAACAUAUUUAUUAUAUAAAUUUAGUUUGAUAAAAAUAAAAUAAUAUAAAAAUAAGUAAUGUUGCUAUUUGAUAAACAUAUCAUAUCUAUAUGUUUAGAUUAAUUAGUUGAGAGUGUUUUGAUUUAGGAUAAUUUUGAUAAUUCAUAUUUUUUAUACAAGUUACAAUUUUUAAUAUUAUUAUUUUAAUAUUUUUUUUAUAUUAUUUAAUUAUAAAUUUAUUUUUAUUAUAUAUAUUUAUAUUUAAAUCUAUAUUAAAAGUUGUAUAGGUUAUAAGUAUAUUUUUCUUUUAUUUAUUUUUAAUAGUGUAAAUUGUAAGAUUAAAAAUUUAUCAUUGUGUAUAAAAAAAGAAAAAAGAAUUAAUAAUUAAUUUUAUACACAUUUUAGUUAAUUAAAAUAAUAUAAAAUUUCAAUUAUAAAUAAAAAUAAAAUAAUAUAAAAUUAAAAUAAAUAAAUACAAUUUAAAUAUAAUUAUAUUAUUUUUUAUUUUAUUAAUUUAAAUUAUUUUUUUAGAUAAAUUAAUGUAUUUAGAUAAUUUUAAUAUUAUUUAGGAUUAUUUAAUUUAUAUUAUAUUACGUUAUAUAUAUAUAUAUUUAUAUAAAAAAAUUUAAUAUUAAUCAUGGUUUUUAUUAUUAUUAUAAAGAAAUUAAUAUAUUUUAAACACAAUAAAUGAGUAUUUAAAACAUAGGAUGAACAUUAAAUAGUCAUUCAUUGAAAGGAAAAAUAUAUAAAGUCAUUGAAAGGAAAAAUAUAUAAAGUCAUUACAUUUAAUUCAGAGAGAGAUAAAGACAUGUUAAUUUCUUCGUAAUUUUGAAAUUAUGACAAAAUUAAGAACAUACUAUUAGAAAAAGAAAACACAUCCCUAACAACAUUUGAAUCUUUAUUGUGGAGACCUUCAAACGUUUUUUCUAAAGACAUAUAUUAUUUCUUUGUCGGACAAUAAUUGCAUAUCUUUCAUCGCUAAAAUCUUCAAUGCACCAUUUGAACAAAUUACAUGCUAGAACUAUUCCACUUCUAAUAUGUUUUGAAGAGAAGAAUAAAAUUAAACAAUGAAUAACUUAAAAAUAACAUUCUUAAGUUUGCAUGAAACCUAGUUGAAUAAAUUUUACCUUGUACUUAGGACAAUCCCAAAAUCGUUUUUCGACAUUUUUUUUCAGUUGUUAUUGUUCUCAAAACAGAACAAUCUCCACAACCACAAAUAGGUGCAAUAACCCACCAACAUGGGUAAAAGUAUAACGUUUUUGCACAACACUACCGGUACAAUUAGACGGUGAUAAGGUGUGAUACGCAGACAUUGAAGGCCACUAAAGCAAUACUCUCAAUUCUCCAGUAGAAGUAAUGGAGCCUAAAUUUGAUUUAUGCAUAAUAUAAAUAAAAUGUUACAAAAGUUGCAUUCAAAGAAAUAUCAUUCGCUAAAUGAGUACCAUGAAAACUUGAAUAUUAAUUAACAAUUUAUCAAUGUUCAACAUGAAAAAUAAAAAUAAAAAUUACAAUAAUAAUAACAUAAUGAUAAUACAAUCGUUGGCUAAGUGACUUCUUGCUUGGGCGUUAUUGGACUUGCCUGGGUGAGUUUCACGAAAAAAGACCCAACGUCACUGGAGUAACUUCGCUUGGGUGAGCUUUGGUGAAUGUUGGUGUGUUCCAACUUUCUCUUUUUAACUUUGUAUAUUCCCAUUUUGCCCAAUCAUCUCUAUUUUUCCACAGAAUCCUUAAAUUAACAUAAAUUUGAGAGUAAAUCGUUCUUAUUCAAAUUAAAAUCACAAAAUAUGUAAAAAGGUAUAACUUCAUAAAUUAGAGAUUAUUUUAUCAAAUAAUAUCCAUAAGUGUCUGUAUUUUAAUAUGAAUUAUUAUAGAAAUUUGGGACUUAUCAAUAGUUGAGGCAACUUUGCUGGGCAAUAAGGAGGCCCUUGCCAUUAAGAACAAAGAUACAAAAAAAAAAAUAUGGAGGUUGAGAUGGACUUAUUGAAGAUGGAGUUGGAAGCCAUGAGCAAGGUGAAGAAGGAGGCUGAGGAGAUCAUCGGGCGACUUUAAAGGGUACUUCAACAAUCACAGUGUCGCAAUCGGAAUCGUGACGGGUGGACGACAAACCAAAAUGAUUUUGGAAAUAUAGAGAAUGGAGUUGCUAUCAUAGUUUAUUGCAGAAAACUACAGAAAAAAUGGAAAGUUAGUAUGCGAACUAGAUUCGGGGUUCGGGAGUUGGUUACGUGUAGGGAAGGUAUUAACACCCGUACUGUCCGAAGAUAGUGCCUUUAAUUAAAUUCGCAAAAUGAGUGUGGUUCUUUAAGAAUGAUUGCUUCUUUUUUUUUUAAAAAAAGAGAAACAAAAAUGUUGUUUAAAAAUAAAGAAAAAAAAUCAAAUUUUUUUAUUUGGGGUCGACAAGGAUUGUCCUUGGCCCUACCUAUGUCUGUUUGUAAUGAAAAAUUAGGGUUUACAUAGUUCUAAAGGUUUUAAUCAAUUUGGAAAGAAUUUUUCCUGGUGUGAGCUGGACUUUUGCAAAAGUGAAAUGAAAUUUUGAGAAAAUUAAUCCCAAUAAGGAUUGACCUUGUUCCUACGUAUUUCUAUUAAGAACAGAAAAUCAAGGAUUACGUAGGACAAUUGCUUCUUGUACCAUAUUAAUGCACCCAAUUUCAGUAUGAAAAGACAAAAAUGUCCUUAAAUAAAAUAGGAUAUAUAUAAAAAUACAUUUCGGAUCCCCUUUUUCAUAAUAUGUUUCUGGAUUUUUUUUUUGUAUUGUGGAUUUUCUUAUCCGAAUGAGAUUUUGAUUUUUGUUUCCGGAUUUUAAUUUUCAGAUCAUAAUAAUCUCUUUCGGAUCUAGUUUUCCAAAAUAUGUUAUUUUCAAUUCUAGAUUUUCAUUUCUGAAAUGAAAGGUAUUUCCAGAAAUUUAAAAUUGUGUUGGGUGCAGGUUUAAAAAGAUUGGGUGUAGGAAGAAUUUGCCAUUACGUAGUUCUACCAAUAAGAACUGGACAUUUUUUCUUAGAAAAAAAAUUGUUUGUUUGUUGAUAUUUUUAAUUUUGAAUUUUUUCUAUUUUUUGGAUUUUAUGUUUUUAUUAUUUAUUAUAUUUUUAUCAAAAGAAGAGUAUUGAGUAAAAUGUGAUGCGUACGAUCAUACAGUUACUCAAAUACUUAUUUUAGGAAAAAGUAAAAUAUUUAUUAUAUUUUUUUUAAAGGAAACUAUAAGCUAAUGGUGUAUCACAUAAAAAGAGUGACAAAUAGUAAAAGUGUUGGGCCAACUAAAUAGACACAGGCUUAUUUAGGUAAGAGUGGUUUGGAUAUUGAAAGCGUUGUUGGCGAAUAGCUAAAUGUGGCAGUAGAAUGCGUCCAAGCUUUUGAAAGCGUGGUGCAUAUAGUAAAGUUAUGGAACACUAAAAAAUAUCAUUAAAUAUAAAUUAAUUUUAGAGACAAAAUAGUUAGUUAGUAUGUUUACUAAAUUAGAAAUCAUUUUAUAAACUAAAAAAUAUUGGUUUGUAAAAUAAUUUUUACUAUUAAUAAAAAAAUUAUAAAAUAUUUUUUAAUUGUUUUAUUAUGAUAAUCGGAGUUCCGUUUAAUAAAUAUGUUGUUCCAUGUAUAAACGUAUGAUUUUUUAUUUAUAUAAUAUUAUUUAACUAUGAGUUAUAAUAUAUUAUAAUAUAUAAUAGGAUAUAUAUUAUAACUCACGUAUUUCGGUGGAGAAUAGGUAAAUUUAGCAAGAAACCUUGGACGUGUCGUAAUUGGGAAGAGAUAGAAGCAGGUUGAGUUUUAUACAGAAAAACUUUCACGUUAUCACGAAACUAAACACAUAAAUUUGGAGUUUGGGUUAGCAUUAUUGAGUUAGUUCAACGUGGCUUUGGGUCGAGAAUCUCGGAAAACAACUCAAACAUCAACUUAUCAUUGUCCUUGGAAUCCCUAUGAAACACAUCUUCACGAACUUCUUCUUCGCUUUCGUCGGCACUCUCUUGCAGUUUCAAUGCAGACUCCAGCAUCAAAACGACAUCGUUCAUGGACGGCCUCUGCAUCCCUUCUUGUGACAAACAACUGAUUCCAAUCUCGCAAAACAUGGCGAAACACUGUGGAGCGAUCUUCCCCUUUAAUAUGGGAUCCGCAAUCUCCGCCACUGUCCCGUUUUGGUAGCAAUAUCUUGCCCAAUUAGCUAGUGACACCUGUUCGGUUUCUCCCGUAUGGAUAAGAGGAGAACGAGCACAGAGUACCUCAAACAACACCACCCCAAAAGAAUACACGUCAGACUUCUCCGUCAGCCGCUGCCGAAUAAAAUACUCCGGAUCCAAAUACCCAAAGCUGCCUUUCACGGCGGUGCUCACAUGGGCCUUCGACAUCUCAUUUGGCCCUAUUUUGGAUAGCCCGAAGUCCGAAACUUUCGCCACCCACUUCUCAUCCAACAAAGAUGUUCGUCGUUUUCACGUCCCGAUGGAUGAUCACGUGCUUCGCGCCACUGUGAAGAUAGCGUAGACCGCGCGCGGCGCCAAUGCAAAUCUUCAAGCGCUGCUUCCACGAGAGGGAUUGUCGGUGCCGUAGAGAUGGUCGCGGAGGUUUCCGCGUCCCAUGAAGUCGUAAACGAGGAUCAUCUCUUUGUUAUCGCAGCAGUAACCGAUGAGUGAGACCAGAUGGCGAUGGCGGAGCUGCGAGAGGAUUUGGAUCUCGUUCAUGAACUCGCAAGCCCCCUGCUGGGAACCCUGUCUAAGGCGCUUGAUGGCGACCGGGAUUGAACCGUUGUCGAUGUAGCCCUUGUACACGUGGCCAAAUCCCCCUUCGCCGACGAUGAAGACGCUGUCGAAGUUUUUGGUGGCGGCUUUGAUCUGGACGAGGGAAAACCGAUGGCAUUGAUCAGACGGCAGAGAAAAAUUGUAGUCGUUGGUUGACUUGGUCGUUGAGAACAACAGCGGAGUCCACUUGGAAGUGGUGGAGAACAGGACAAAGAAAACGACAAGCGAGAUGAAAACGAAACCUGAUACUACCCCUGCCGUGAUUACAAUCAUCCGCCUUCUGUUAUUAAUCGGGUCCGGGAUAGGUCCGGCGAGGCCGUUAGUCUGAACCGGGUCUGGGUUGGGUCCGGCUAGGUUGUUUGAUUGGGCUUCGCUGAUUUUAAAGAUCUCGAGACCGUUCAGGAAGGCAUCGCUGUAAGUCGUAUCCACACCGCUUUCGUAAGGGUGCAUUUGAAGCGAGAGAUUAAACUUUUUCUGAUUACCAUUCUUGGGAAUCAAAACGGCGUAGUUUCUGUGCACAGCUACACCUUUUUGUUUCUCACUCCAUUUCAUUACAUCUGCACGGUCUUCAGCCAACUGGCUCGCUAUGUAAAUGAAGAAUCUCCUAUCACUCAUGUCAUUGAUAAGAGGAUCAAGCUCGCAAAAGUGGAGCCUGAGAACGUAAGUGAAGCCACAAUCAACGGGGAACACCCAAGUCAGGUUGCUCAUUUUGUUCAGAGUGCCGUUUGUGCCCUGGUUACGCGCUGUUCUGAACAGUUCCUUCGGUGCCACGUAAUCAGGAUUCACGGUUAUGCUCAUCUUCCCAUCGAUGUCAGCUGGUAGAUCAUUAUUCUUUGGAUUUUCUUUAAUAAAAUAAGCUUUUUCGUCAGCCCAAUCCCUGAACAAACCGGUGUCGUUUUCUGGCCGGAUUUUAUUGCCUCCAGAGUUGAUUCUAUACUCAGUCUGGAGCGCAUAGCUGGUUCCAACGCUGUAGAGCGUGCUGGUUCCGACUUGAGUGAAGCCUAUAUCAUUUGGUUGGGUGUAAUAUAAAUCGGUUGGCAUGGAAAGCACCUCGAUUCCAUUGAUGAAAGCGUAGGAGUUUGGAUUGGAGGGAGUGAAGGUGAGGAUAAGCUUCUCACCGUCGUUGACGUUGACCACGUAUUCUCUAAAGAUAGUAGUGGUGGCUUGAUCAUCGGCGUGAAGAGAGGCGUUGAAAGCGUUGAGGAGAGUGAAUUGGUUGCAUUGAAGGGUGAAAGAAGCUUGGUUGCGGGGAAAGGAAGGGUAGUCGGAAGGGUAGAAGAAGAGGCGAAGGAAUUUGGGGCC